Molecule: long non-coding RNA, 91641 nt
Filed under: Citrus maxima (pomelo)
Lineage: Eukaryota; Viridiplantae; Streptophyta; Magnoliopsida; Sapindales; Rutaceae
Description: long non-coding RNA (CMAX_LNC004031)
Source: RNAcentral
UGUAAGUUCAAAGUAUCAUCAUUUUACCGACAUAUAUAUUUUUAGGGAGAUUACAAUUUUUCCACCCUACAGAUGGCAAAAAUUUCAAAUUUACCAUUUUUAUGCCAAAAGUUUUCAAAAUACCAUUUUUAUAUUCAAUUUUUGGAAUCAGAAAAGCAUGAAUUAUGAUAUUCACUAUUUUGUAAUUUAGAAAAGCACACUCAAUUAGUUUUUUUGGAUGUAAAUUUUAGAUAUUGGAAUCGUCGAUGUACGAUUUUCCCUCUGCUUUGCAAAUUAAUUUUUCUGAUAAGUGAUCUUUCAGACGUUUGGAGCCCUAUGGUACUAUUACGCCAUAAAAAAAGCGACUGAUUGCUGGAGGGAAGCCUACGAAAAUCAUACCAGACGCAGUCAUAGUUACUUUUUUUGUAAGAUUUGUUUCGCAGACUACAAUCUUCUAAAUGAUUCUUGCCCUAUAAGUACAGGAAGUACUACCAACUAUAGUUUUGGAAUAUAUGAAGAUGCUCUUCAGAAUGGGAUUGUGGUGGAGACAGAUUUUCCUAAGAAAUUGUUGCGUUGUUUACAUUGGGGCCUGCAAAAACUCAGGUUUGCCGUUUUUCAUUUGGCUUGGAUAAUCAUUACCGUGCAUGUUCAUUUUGUAGUUCUUUUUGCAUGCAUGUGUUUUUCUCUUUCUCUUCAUCAAUUUAUUCUUUUCUUUGUAGCUAUAUGCAUACUCUAAUGGGAACAUUUCACUGAGAGAGGGCUAUAUCUGAUAACACCAAUUAAAUCAAAACAUAUAAGAUUAAUCAAGUUUAUAUAAAAUUGAAGCAAAUUUGUUAUUUUUAUUAAAUUAAGAUGAUAUGUGAAAGUUAACAUGGGGCGUAAAAAAUAUUGGUUAAAAGUAAAAUGGAAACUAAAUUAAAGAGUAUUGAUUACUCAACCUUAUUUAAAUAAUUUUUAAUUGAAAAAAAGUAUGUCAAUGUAAUAUAACAUUGUCACUAGUAUUAAAAAUACUUAAAAAACAUAUAAUAACAAUUAUUAACAAUUUCAUAAAAAUUUUAUGUGAAUGUUGAGAUUUAUUUAUUAGUUACAUUAACUAAGAGGAUAAGUUAGAAAGUAAAAUUUGAUAGAAGAAUCAUUAGCAUCUGAGUUUUCAAAGAGAGUCAAAGUGCUUGGCAAAGAAAAAUAACGGCACACAAAUACAUUUUUGUUGGGUUAGAGUUUAGUUUAUUAUUGAAACUCUUGACUAAUAAUAUUUUUAUAAUUUAAAAAGAUGAAUAGAUUUUAAUUGUUUAAUUUAUUUAAGCUUGGUAUUUAAGUACUUUUAAGAAUAAAAGUUCUACUUGCAAUUUUUAAUUGAUUAUAAUUACAUGUAUUGAUUUAUUUAUUCUAACUUGAAAUUAUUAAUUAUUUAUUAAUUAUUUAUUAAUUCUUAUAUAAUUCGAUGUUAUUAUAGGUUGUAGUGUUAGAUUCCAUAAUUGAAAAAUAAUAUUUCUAUAUUUGAAUUAUUUUUUGUUUUCUACUCUUUUUGUAUCAUUAUUUUUGUUUAGAGUUCAUAUUCAUAGGGUUUUUCGUAUCCACCUUAUUUGAUGUACUUUUUUUUUACUCAUGAAUGUUUAUGUUCAUUUCAAAAUAUAAAAUUUUUAAUUUAGCCUGGGAUAAUAUAAAGUUAUGGGUCCACUCAUGUAUAGGGGUUUAUUUCAACCAAAACUCUUUUAUUCAACCAGAAGGGGAAAAAAAAAAGUAAUAUUUUUGCUAAGGUCUCAAAUAAAAAUUUCACGGGUUAUACUGAAAAUUUUCUUUCCACCGGACUGGUCAUUAGGUAGGUCCUCAACGUAACAAGGUGUUCAAUCCUGUUGAUCGUGUUAAAAAAAAAAAAAAUGAUGUCUGCAUUGGAAAGAAACUCUAUUAUUUGUUUUCUAUCAUUUCAAUUGUUGUUAAAUACGCAGGAAAAUAUAUAUAAUAAUUUUCAACUGAAUGAACCUUUUGCAGUGCGUUUGGUCAGGACCUUGAAACAAGUGAUGAUGUCGGGGAAAACAUCUUUGCAAUUUGCAUGACCAUCUACGGCGUACUGCUGUUUGUCUUUUUAAUUGGAAGGAUGCAGGUAAUUCGCAUUCAUUUUUCUGUUUCUUAUCGAUCCAUCAAUUUAUAUAGUUGCUCACCUCUAAAAAUCCCUGAUUUUUAUAAAAUCUGGAAUGAGUUGACAAUGAUGUUAACAGACUUUUUUACCGUUUCACAAUAUUGUCAAACAGUUUACAACAUUAUAACAUUAUGUUCACAUUGGUGUCAACUCGUCUUGGAUUUUAUGUUCUAAUUGAAAAAAUUUCAUAUGUAUAGUUUUUAAUUAGAUUUUAAACCUAGAAGUUACUUGUGUCAAUGUAUUAAUGACUAUAUGUACGUACAGUCUGAGACUACAAGAGCACAAAAGAUAAACCAGAAGUUGCGGCAGAUCAAGCAGUGGAAACACUUUAAGGAUAUCUCCACUUUUGUCCGUGCCAAGAUAAGGGAAGCCAAGCGUGAAAAUUUGCUAUUCAAACAUGAUAUUCACAUAGAUAGUUUGGUAAGCGAUCUCCCCGAUGACACUGCAAAGCAAGUAAAACUCCAUUUCGGCAGAAAUCUGCUUGGCCAGGUGAGUUUCUAUUGCUUUCUGUACAAUUAAUAAUCCUUAUAGUUAUUUAUCAAAAAAGAUGUCAAUUUUGUUACAAAUAUUUUGAAUGGGCGUCUUAUAGCAACAUCCAGAGUCUUCGUUGUAUGUGCUUGAUUGUUAGGAAAAAAAAUUAGAAAAUUUAUAAUAAAUUAAUUAAUUAGUACCUAUUAACCAUAUGUAUUAAAUGAUUAUUAAAGAAAAAAUGGGGCUAUUUGCAUUUUAAACAUUACUUUAAAUACUCUUAUUAAAAUAUUUUAUUACAAAAAUCUAUUAUAACUGAUAAAAUAGUUUAUAAUUCUUAAACCUUAAAUCCUAAAACUUCUUGUUCUAAUAAUAACUAAAUUUGUAUUACAUUUUUUUUUUUUACUUUUUUACAAAUUGUAAACAAUUAUCUCCUGAUUCAAGGGAAUGAAUAAACCCAACGGCUGGAAAAAAUUUCUUGGGAGAAGUCGUUUGAUCUCAUCAUGUAAACGGGAAAGAAUUUUGAAAGUCAAAAUUAUCAGGAGGUAUGCUUGGCAUAUUUUAAAGAGUGUAUAAAUUAAGUAAAACUUAAUUUUCAGAAUUUAUUGAAUGAUUGUAAGUGUUUAGAGUAAUAUAUAUAUAGAGUGCAAAUAGCCUCACCCAUUACAAAAAUACUUAUAAUGUAUUUUAUAUUUAAGGACAAUUUAUUAGUAUAUUAAAUAUAAUAUUAUUAUUUUAGACACCCAUCAAAUACACCCAUUUAUUUAUAAUUAUUCUUUAUUUAAACCCUAAAACUUGCUUCUUCAUGUCUAAUAAAACAAUUUGAAAAUUGUUCACAGUGCAUGUAUGAAAAAAAAAGAAAAAAAAAGGUAGUACAAUUGUCGUAGUACAAAAUGGAAUAGUGAAAACGAAAAAAAGAAAAAAAAAAGAAAGCAAUUAUAUGAACGAAAUGAAAGAAAAUGCUAAAUAGCAAUGGAUUGAAAUUAGUUAAGAAAAAUGUGAUUGAAAUUGGAGUCCUCUCAAUAUAGAUGUAAAGAUGUACCGAAUAUUCUCAUAGGUAUAUAGCGUAAAUAAAGAUGAUUAAAUUAAAGAUUUAAGUAAGGACUUUUUUGGUGUUUUAAAAUAGUGGAUAGAGCUAAGCUCAAAUAUAUAAAUUUUAGAGAUAAGUGUACAAAGUAAUAAUCGAGUACUCAAAAGUAAUAUUUAGAGUACAAAUAGCCUCACCAUUAAAGAAAAGAUUAACAAUAAACAUCUCUAAUGAUGAGAGUUCUAAGUAAAUUAAUUAAUUAUAUAUUAUCUCACAAUCGACAAUCCACUUCAUACUAUGCGACUAGCCAUGCAUUAUCAAAUUGGUGAUUAUGACGAGUUGUGAUUUUUAAGUAGUAACUUAGUUAUUUAUAACCUUAUGAUAUAAUCGUUGCAUGAGUAUUGACGGCUCUGAUUCUCAUUAUCAAUUCUCAUUCAUUCUUGGAUGUACAUCAAGAUGCAAAAAUUUGAAAAUUGGGAAGACUACUCGUUGGAUCAUCUAUGUGGUUGUCUAAAGCCAGUCUUCUUUAGUGAACGUUCUACAAUUAUUUCGGAGGGAGAGUCAAUUCAUGAGAUGCUCUUUGUGUUGGAAGGCCAGAUUUGGAUCUACUCAAAAUUUAAGUUGAUUGGAUUGAAACGUCAGGAAGAUGGUAACUAUUGCGGAGAAGAAAUUAUAGAUUGGGCUGAGAAUCAGAGCUCGUCUCACGGCCACCUCCCUAUCUCAACCAGAACCAUUAUAGCACAUACUAAUAUUGAAGGUUUUACUCUCAAGGCUGAUGACUUGAAACAGGGUGUAGCACUUCACCGGCGUUUCGAUCAGUUAGUAAGAUUCGUACAAUCAUCCUGGCGUUCUAAGAAGUCCAAGCAAAUGCAGAUGAAGAGAAGGCAAAGCCGAAGUCAUGAGUAACUAUUUGGGAUUGGACUUGUAGUUCUUAUUAUACUACUAUGUCUACUGUUUACGUUGGGUUUCUGUUUACUUGCUUAGGUACCAGAAAAUAAUCUACUUUUGUUGUGACAUAUUAGACUAUAAUUAUCUGGUACAUGAUUUUAGAUGAAAAUAAUAAGUAGCACCAGGACAACCUAUAGAUCACAGUGAAGAGCUGAAGCAGAUCAUCUCAGGGCAAUCCUAAGUGGGUCACGUGGGUAAAGUGAUGUUUUGCCAACGGUGUUGAGGCCACAGAAAAGCAUCACCAUGAAGAGGUGCACCGUAUCCGAAAAUCAGUAUCAAUCAUAACACAAGGUUAAACAGAUUUUAAAGAUUAACAGAAUGCUUAUGCAAACAUAAAGCGACACAUCAAGCAACAAACUAUAUUUCUUCUCGCUUAAGUACAAACUGAUAACUGUUUCAGAAUAAUCCAGCAUGAUCAAGAUUAAAAUCACUCAGAAAAAUCUAAGCCAAAUGCAUGUGAAAGCUUUUAGAGGAACACGGGUUGAGCUGAUAUGCCCUUCGCGUAAUAGGCUCGCGGUUGUUAGCAACAAGAUCGAAGAGGUAAAAUCAAGGUGACAAGGUAACAAUACCUGAAAGGAUCAAUAAAUGUUGUUGAUAUUGUCUUGACAUAUGAAUGCCACAUGCCUGCACGUUCGCUCUGCCAAGAACUCUGGUAGAUGAGUACAUUGAGCACCUGAAAUUAUCUUUUCACCUGAAAGGAAGGAACAUAUGCACAAAUUCCAAUCAACUGAAUAAUCACUGGAUAUUUUCAUCCAACAAGUGAUAGUGAUUAUAAAAAAUAUAAAAAUGAAAACCAAGCAGAAAAUUCUUAAACACAAGUAAGAUGACUGUGAUUAUCAUUAUUAAGCAAUCAACCUAGUACAACCUUCAACCAGUGUUUGAGACAAUGCAAGUAGUAUCAUGAUAAUAAAUCUUUACUUCCAAACAGAACAUCAUUUCUUCAUGUAAUAAAAUGAAUGAAGAUAGAUUUCAGGAAGACAGCAGCACGAAAUCAAAUAUAUGUGCACAAAAAAAGUAGAAGAAAUAUUUCAGCGUCAUCUAUUAGCUCGAAUAAAAACAUCAAUGCGGUGUAAAACAAACUGAUGAAGAGAUUACUGGGCAUGAAAGUGUACCCAAAGUGUAAACAUGAGUUUCAACUUUUGAUUUUGGUCGCUUCACAUUCCGGAAUGCUCUUGUGAGAAUUAGUUGUACAAUCAAAUCCCAUUCCAUAAAAUAUCAGAUACUCCCUGAAAAUGCCAUGCCACUUGAUACAGCCAAUGGCCGUGGUAUCUCUAAAACUUUUCCCCUUUGAGGAUUGCAUAUAAAGAGUUCCACUAGAUGCCAUUUAUUUCAAAAGAUCAAUAAACAUUAACACUGUUUUCGCCAGCAUUACAUCCCUCAGAGAUCUCAAGAUCCUUGAUGACAUUACCAUUGCAUAUAAAUGAAUGCAUGGCGUCCUCAAGAACAAGAAGCAGAAUUUGAGGUUCUUCAGCAGCAGCCGCAGCCUGUGUUGAUAAACGCUUGUUAGCAAAAGAAUGGCUGUCAAUUAUGUCAUUCUAGAAUUUAGAAACAGAUCACAAACGCAACUGAUUAUGCGGGGAAUCUCAGAAAGAUACCAUAGAAAAGAUAAUCAGAAACUUCUUCCUUCAUGUGUCUUAUACAAUUUUUAGCAUCCUUUCGAUUAUCUUCGAUUGAAAAUUUAUUACUUCCUGCAUGUGAAAGUUAUUUGAGUGUCAGAAAGCCUGCAUUGAAUAUAGAUUUGAGGGAAUAAUUUUGACAUAAAAAUUAACAUGAAAGCUAAUACAAAGAAACAGUUCUUAUAUGAACAAAAUUAACAUGAAUCGAGAAACAGAGCGUAACAGGGUAGCUGCAACUAAUAACUCACAAACUAACUUCUAAAGUGACCUACUGGGCAUCAAAUCUAAGGAUUAAAGCACUAAUUAUAGGAUUUAACAAAAGAUCAGCCAAACAUUAUUUAUUUAUUUUCUCUUUUAAAAAAAAAGGUCAGCUUUUUCGAGAUUUCAGGAAGACAACAACAUAAGAUCAAGUAAGUAUAUGUGCACAAAAAAUGAAGAAGAAAUAUUUCAGCUUCGUCGAUUACCACAAAGAGAACAUCAAUGCUGUGUAGAACAAACUGAUAAAGAGAUUACUCACCAUGGAGGUGUGCCCAGAGUGGAAACUUCAGUUUCCACUCUUGACCUCGUAAGCGACGCGAUAAACCAGUCCUUUGCAAUUCACGUACCUGAAAAAUCUUGAAAGAAUUGGUUGAACUAUCAAAUCCCAUUCCAAACAUGUUGGUGUUAAUAAGUUGGUUAAUGAUCUUCCUGACGAACUUGGCAACAAAAUAAAGCGCAAUGUCUGCAUUAAACUGUUCAAGAAUGUGAGUCCCUUCAUCAUAUAUUAAUUGUUAAAUAAAGUUCCGGAUGUACCCUUUAUUGGUCAAAUAUUCUACCCUUUUAGUUGUUUGAUGUCUGUGACACAACUUAAAAGUAAUUUUUAACUUCCAAGUAUAAGAGUGUCUUGUUGUAUUAUAACUCGGUGAGUCCGAGGUCGAUCCACAGAGAAAAGAUUUAAUUUGUUUAUUUUAUUUUAACUAAAAAUUGAAAUUAAAACUUAAAUAUAAACAACUUAAUUUAAAUGAAACUAUGAAAUUAAACUAGUUAGGGUUAUGGAUCCACUCAUAGAAGUAAAUAAAAUUUAAUAAAUUCUUUUUGCCUUUUUUUUAGAUUUAUUACCCAAAAGAUUAAUUAUAUAAAUUAUUAUUAUUUUCCCUUUAAUUUUAUGAUGGAUUAAGAAUUUAUUGUGCCAAAAUUUAAUUUGUCUACAAUAAGUCAAAAUACCAUUUUACCAUACCUUAUAUUAAGAUAUUAAGAAUUUAUUGUGCCAAAUUUAUUUGUUUGUUCACAAUAAAUCAAAAUUUCAAAAUAUAAAAUUUGUAUAAAAUUAAAUAGAAAAUAAUUUAAUUUAUAAAAUUAAAAAUAGAAUUUGCUUAAAUCAUAUUUAUUUCCUAAGAGUUUCACCUUCCUCUAACUAAUAUUAUUUAGUUAAGCAUAAUUAAAAUACAAAGAAGUAAUAAAAUUGAAUUACUUAUAAUUAAAAGUAAUAAAAACAACUAAAAUUGGAAAUAAAACUAAUUUUAUUUAUAAAAAUAAUUAUACAAAAUAUUAAAAACACACCUGGAAAUGAAGAUUACAAGGAGAUGGAGAGAAUUUGAGAAGAAGAGAGUUGUAGAGGGAUGAUUAAAAACAUAAAAAUGAGGCUCUAUUUAUAGAAAAAUAAAUUCAUAAUCCAGUGCUUUGUGGUCCAUCAUAAGCUUCAUGCAUGUGCUCCUCAUACCUUUAGAUCAAGAUCCAAUGGCUGGUCAAACUUCAAAAGUCAACAUCACACGUGGCAUCGUUUGACUCGUCCGAUUUGCCCAAAGAACGGUUGAGAUUUGGCGAGUUAAUGGGUGGAUCGGGUCGACCCGAAUACAAGGAUUUGGAUCCUACAACUUGCUUUACCAACCAUUGCCACGUGGCACAAUCAUAGCCAUUGAAUCAUGAACGGUUGAGAUUUAGUCAAAAUUGCCAGCUAUCCCAUACACUCAUAUAUAUUGUAAGCUCAUUUCAUCAUCCAAUCAGUGGUCGGUCAACAGGAAAAGUCAACUUUUUUUACACAAGCCCAAUUUUAAGCCGAUCUUGAUUGAUCUUAAGGUUUUUCGGACCUUUGGAAUCCAAAUUUGACCUCUGUUUAUCUGUUUGGAGCCUCGAAUUACGUGAAAUUAAUAUUUUUCCUAAUAAACACAUAAAAAUACACAAAAUUAAAUAUAUUUAAAACAUAAUUAAUAAUUCCUAAUAUAUUACAUAAACACAAAUAUAAAUUAUAGCAUACGCAUAAACUAACAUAUUAUCGCUUGAUAAUUAAACAAUUUUUAAUACUAAUCGGUCUGAUUUAAUUUUGUAAUUCUCAUUCUCAAAAUUAAAUGUAUAUGAAGGUAAAAGAGUUUAGAAAUUUGAGCGAAAAUCAUUAGGGUAUCUGUUUGAAUUUCUGAGGCCAUUCUUAUUUGUGGAGCAUACUCGCAUUUUUAAGGAGGGUGACCCAAUUGAUGAGAUGCUAUUUGUGUUUAAAGGCAAGGAGCUACUCCUACACCUCCAGGAAUUUUAAUGUAACAACAACAGCCGCUUCUAGAAGAAAUAAUCGUAUGAAAGAUCGAUGGUGACUAUUUCAGAGAAGAACUUAUCACGUGGGCUCAGAGUGAACGCUACUCCAAUCUGUCCAUCUCAGCCAGAACUAUUCAAGCGCUUAGUGACGUUGAAGCCUUUACUCUUAUGGCUGAUGACUUUAUCACUCAGUCAGACAUUUCGAUUGGGCGGCUCUUUUGUUACAGUCAUACUGGCUUUUUAGAAAGCUUUUACGGGACUAAAGGAAGGCUAAGCAAAAAUCAUGCCUGAAAUAUUGGACUUGGACAACCAAAGAAAAUAAAUAACGCGGGACAUGUAUCAGCGAUACAACGCAAAAAAUUUUAACACUUGUGAUAGAAUCAUUGAUGACAAAUUUUUUUUUUUUGAUAUAAAAGGGAGCCAAACAAGGCUAAGCCGAAACAAAACGCAGGAAAGCAUUCCCGUACAUGUUGUGAAUUAAGCAAUUGACAACACCACAAGGAGGAUUGUGAAGGAAAUGGAAGCCAAGAGGUUGAUUCAUUGCGAAAUUCGCAAGAAAAUCCGCUGCAAAAUUUGCUUCACAAUAAAUAUAGUUAAUGCACACAUUCCAGUCCCUAUCAAGGGGCCUCCUGAUGCUUUGAAUCACUGAAGAAAAACUGUUAGGACUGUUGCUUGUGUUUGCAAGUAGAUCAAUGGUGCACUUACUAUCAACUUCAACCAACAAAUUCCGAACCCCAAGCUUCCAAGCCAGAUCAAGACCAUAGAAUAAACCCCAGAGUUCAGCAUUAGCAACCGAACUAAUGCCAAUGUUCGUACAUAAUCCAGGAACCCAACUCCCAUUAGCAUUUCUUAUCAACCCACCCGUAGCUGCCAUGUUCAUCUUCUUGCAGGCCCCAUCGGUAUUCAAUUUGAAGGCAUUUUCAGGAGGCGGUUUCCAUCCAAAGUGUUUCACAAUCUUUGAAGAUCCAGGUUUGAUCAAAGUCAUCAUAGUUUUAUGGGAAUUUUCAGCUCUAGUAAUAAUAUCUAAAAUAAUGUUGUGAUUACUCCUCUGCACAUUCCUAAACAGAGCUUGGUUCCUCCAAAACCAAAAGCUCCAGAUUGCUAUGCCAAAAAUUACAGACCAAUCCACUCCAUUACUAUCAUAACGAUUAGGCUUUCAAUUAGUAAGAAUCCAAUCCUUUAAGUCUAAAGAGAAAAAACUAUCUCGUAGGCUAAAAGGGACAAUAUCUAGCCAAAUAUACUUGGCUGCCACACAAUCUCUAAGGGCAUGAAGAGAGUCUUCCACGCAAACUCUGCACCUUACACAUUGAUUCUCUGCCAAAAUAUGUCUUCUAGUAAGCUCAGCUUUGGUCUUUAACUUAUUUUGAAUAGCAAACCAAAGAAAAGUUUUAACACUUUGUGGUCCUUUCCAGCUCCAAAUAAGGUCCCAUUUUGAGCCGAUACGACUGGAGGAUUUGCUUGAAAUACUUUAGUAUGCUGAUUUUACUGUAAAGUUGCCCUUAGUCGAGAAGCCCCAAAAGAUUCGGUCUAUACCCCCCUCGACACAUGGAGGCAUAAUGGCAGUAAUAGCAAGCGCUAAACUGUGAGGGAGAUAAUUGCUGAAAGCAACCCAAUUCCAUUGACCAUUACUGUCAACAUAUUCCUUAAAAGAGUUGUCAAGCAUAUUACUCGGAACCGGCAUCACAACAUAAUCCUUCAAAAUGACAUUUUGCAUUACCCAACAAUCUUUCCAGAAACGAAUCUUUAAGCCAUCUCCAACUUGCCAACGAAUACCAUUCAAAACUUUUUGCCAAACCGUACCCACUGCACGCCACACAUAAGAACCAUACUUUGUAGGUAGUUCUGUUUGGGGAGAUUAUCAUUCUUGACACCGUAUUUAGAGCAAAAAACUUUGAUCCACAGGCUUGUAGGAGAAACAAUAAUAUUCCACCCAAUCUUCAUCAAUAGUGCCUAAUUGAUUUGGAGAAGAUUUUUUAAGCCAAGACCACCUGCCAUUUUAAGUUGACAGAUUUUAUCCCAGCUAGCCAUGGACAUGUUAUUCCCCUCGUUAUUCCCACUCCAUAUAAAACGAUGAGAAAUGCGAUUGAUUUUUUCUUGAGUGCCUCGCGGAAUCAUUGUGGUUUGCAUAGAAUAAAUUGGCAAGGCUUGGAUUACCGCUUGAGCAAGUGUAAGCCUUCCAGCAAAAGAAAGAUGCUUCGCAUUCCAUCCUGAGAGACGUUUAUCUACUCGAUCUAUAAUCUCUUGAUAGGUUUUAUUGGUAAUUUGACCAUGAAGAAGCGGCAUACCCAGAUACUUCCCUAAAUUUUUUGAAGUUGAAAAGCCACUUAGAUAACUGAUUUUUUUUUAUAAAGCAGGGUCCACAUUUUUUUAGAAGUAUAAUCGAGUUUUUUCUGUGCUAACUUUUUCUCCCGACAUAUUGCAAAAGUUAUUUAGAGAUUUGAUCACCAUCUUCGCCUGCUCAGAGGAAGCUUCUGCAAGAAGAAGAAGAUCAUCAACGAAAAAAAGGUGAGUCAGAUGUAUACUUUUCGGAGACAGCCUUAUGGGUUUCCAUCGCUUCUGUUGCACUUCUCGAUUAAUGAUGUGGCUAAGUCUUUCAAUACAAAGAACAAAUAUGUAAGGAGAGAUUGGAUCCCCCUGGUGAAUCCCUCCAGAGGUCUUGAAAAGAAUCAGUAAGUUCGCCAUUCCAAAUAAUCUGCAUGGAAUAAGAGGUGAUGCACUCCAUGAUGAUUCGUAUAAAAUUCGUAGGAAGACCCACAAAAACCAAAGUCUCAUUGAUAAAAUCCCAACUUAAUCUUUCAUACGCUUUUUCCAAAUCUACUUUGAUGGCCAUGAAUCCUCGUUUGCUCGUCUUCCGUCUUAUACUAUGAAUAAUCUCCUGGGUGAUUAUAAUGUUUUCGAUGAUGUGCUACCUUGGAACAAAGCUAGUUUGAUGCGGACCUACAAGAUCAGGGAGAAAAGUCUUUAAUCUACUAGCGAUGAUUUUAGUGAUAGUUUUGUACAUAAUCGUGCAAAGACUAAUAGGUCAGAAAAACUUUAAACUAGUUGGAUUGUCAAUUUUUGGGAUAAGAACGAUUAAUAUCUUCAAGAAAUCUGCAGGAACGGUCUCGCCAUUGAAAACAUCUUUGAUUUGCUUGCAAACCGACUUGCCCACCACCUCCCAUUGAGAUUGGUAAAAAAUAGCAUGUAGGUUGUCAAUUCCCGGCGCCUUUAAAGGUUUCAUGCUAAAAAUAAUGUCUCGAAUUUCCUCAUCAUCCACUGAUUUUUUCAUGAUAUGGUACUUAUCUGUAUCAAGGCAAGGAAAAUCAUUAGGAAUAAAAUAAUUUUCAAAAGAAUUAUUGUCAGCCGUGUAUAAAUUAGUGAAAAAAUUAAUAGCAUGAGCCUUAAGCUCAUCCUCAUCCAAAAUCCACUAGCCCCCGUCAUCUUUCAUCCAGACAAUUUCGUUUUGUCUUCUCCUAGUCAUUGUUUUCUAGUGGAAAAAGGAAGUAUUUCUGUCCCCAAAUUGAAUCCAGUUGCUGCGAGAUUUCUGAAGCCACAAAAGUUCUUCUUGAUUGAGAAUAUCGUUGAGCUCCUUGCUGAGAUGAGUCUCCAACUUUAGUCUCCAACUUUAACAAAUUAUCCAAAUGGUGACUCUCCAAAGCUUUUUGAAUUCCACCUAGUCUAGCUAAGAUUUCCCUUUUUUGUUUAAAAAUAUUUCCAAACUCAUUCUUGUUCCAAUUAUCAAUUUUGUCAGUAAACUCCUUCAUCGAAACAUUAUAAUCAACAUCCUUCUUCCAAACUUGAGACACAAAACCAGAGAAACGAUUAUCAGUAAGCCAAGAUGCAAAGAAUCUAAAUGGUUUCAAACCUUUGUUCCCAGUACCCUCAUUAUUCAAACUAAGAAGGAUAGGCCGAUGGUCAAACCCCAAUCUUAGUAAGUGAAAAACUCGUGCCUUGUUAAAAGUGUUGAACCAAAUAUCAUUGCAAAUGGCUCUAUCCAAGCGUUUAUAAAGCGAUCCCCUUUUCCAAGUAAAUUUUGGUCCAGUAAAAUGGAGAUCGCAAAAUCCGUGUUUGUGGAACCAAUUUUGAAAGUUUUUACAAGGUCGGCUACGACUAUUAGUACUUCCUUUACUCUUUGAGGUUGAAAGAGUGGCAUUGAAGUCGCCUGCUAGCAUCCAUGGACCUUGAAUAGUCUCAGCCAAAUAAUUUAAAUCCUUCCAAAGAAAUUUCGGAGAGAAGUAACUGGACUGGCAUAAAUCACGGUGACCCAGGUAAUUAACCCCCUUGUAUCAGACACUUGGAAGUGAAUAUAUUGCUUAUGAUUAAUAAGGAUUGUGACAUCUAAACCCGCUCUCCAUAAUAACCAAAUUUCACUUGAGAAACCAGCCACCUCAACUCGAUGGGAAUGCUCAUAACCACUGAAACGAAUAAAAUCAUCCGUUUUAAUUCCACUAAUCCGAGGUUCACAAAAAGCCACAAGUUUGGGUUUAUAGUUUUGAACAGACAUCUUGAAAGUUCAUCUAAAGGACUGCGAGGCCGCCCCCUGGUAAUUCCAAAACAAGCACGACAAAUUCAUUAGCAAAAAAAAUUGAAAGAAAAGCACAUACUUACUCCAAAUGCUCAGAGCCUUGCUGAUUAACAUCCAUAUGAUCCUCCUCAACAAAAAAAUGAGACUCAUCUGAUGUCUCAGAUUCGUCAUCCUCUGAUUCCUCCAUAUAUUCACUAUCUGAUGAGUCCUCCUCCACCUUAUCCAUUUCCCUAUCGCCUAUAUCAGGAGGCUCCUCAUUCGGGUUUGGUUCGGGAGGCAUCGAAGGGGGGGCCUGGACGGUCCCAUUUUUUGAAUUGUUUUUUAAUAUUAUUGCUUAAUGAUAUUUAGGAUCCAAAGAAGUUGGGAUGAAAGUUGGUUCAAGAUAAUGGGUUAUAGAUGACUUGGAUUUGUUACGUGAGAUAUUUUUUUUCCAUGGGCUCAAAAGGGUGUUGAUUUGAUGAGCUAUGACCACUUGUGGGGGGGGUGUACUGUGUAUUUCCCGUGAAGGUUUGAGGGUAGUGUGUUCAGAUGUGGCAACCUUCUUGUUUCUUGUCACGGGUUUUCCCUUGCUUCCAAAUAUCAUCGUUUGGGUGGAGCUUUUAGAGUCACGUGAGAUCAUCUUUUCCAUGUUUUUAGGAGGAGCAACAGUCUUCUUGUGAUUAUCCAUGGUGAUAGCUGCGUUUGAAAUCUCCCUAGAAUCAUUGUCUAACUCACUUUCCUGUCGUAAGACAUCGAAUCUGGAACCUAGACUCUGUUUCCCAAAAUUAUUUUGAUUAGUCUCCUUUGCAUCUGCUCUUCCCUUAUUUCCUCUAUAAUUUCCUUUCCUAGCCAUGAUCAUCCAAGGACCAAAUCUUGGAUUGUCCAGAGUAACCACCGCCGGCGAGACAUCUGAAAUUCCGUUGAUAGUUUCACCUGAAGCCAUAUCAUUCAUCUUCUCCCCUCUUGCCUCCAAAAUCAAUUUAUCCGGGCAUGAGGAAGAGGUGUGUCCAUACUUUCCACAUCCAAAGCAUAUUGUUGGAAGCACUUCAUAUUCAAACCUUUGGAUUCGUCCAUCCAGUAAAAAUUGAGAGAUUAAAGGACUCUUAAGGGAUACUUCCACUGCAUUACGGGUAAACUUACCCUUCGUCGCCAAUUCCGUAUUAUAAUCAAUUUUGAUUACUUUUCCAAUGACAUGCCCCAACAUUCUAAUGAUCUUUUUAUGGUAAUAAUGUAGAGGCAUACCUGGAAGCCUUAUCCAUGCAGUGAUUUCAUCAAUCUUUUCAUUCGAGCUAUCGAAAUGAGGCGACCAUAGUUGAACGGUCAGGUAAUGCCCCGAAACAAUCCAUGGCCCUUAUGUAAGAACAAACUUAGCAUCACCUUCCUUCCUGAACUUAACGAGAAAAUAGGCAUUAUCUAAAUCUAUAACAGAGUAUCCGCCAAUAUUAGGCUACAAGAUUUCCAGCUGUGAGCAAAACGCUUUGUAUCCAAUCAUGCGGCUAAGAAGUUUCACCACCACAGUAGAUUGCCAUGGUUUUAUGAGUUGCUCGUGGACUUUUUGUGAAAAAGAAAUCGAAGGUAAAAAGCCUUCCCGUUCAAUGACCACAUCCUCAUUUUCAAUUUCAUUAUCAUUUUCCUUCCCCAUGAAUUCUUCUCUACCGACUUCAGCAUCAAUCACCCCCCUUUGUUGUUCCAUUAGUUUAUCUCGAAAGAACAACAUAGAUGGAUUAUCUCCAUCCUCCCCUUGUGCUUUGAAUUUGGUUUUCUUGGUCGAUCGAUCAUCCUCAAGGGGAGGGGGGUUGUUCUUGUUAAGAGAGUUUUUGGUUGAGAGCAUUUUCCAACGACUAGUUUUUUCUUUUCUUUCGCAGAUAAUUAGACGUUUAAAUCACCGAAGCUGUGGAUUUGUCAUUUGGUAGUUGAUAGUUACAAAUUGUUUAUUCUUUAUAUUUAGAUGUGCGCAGAAAAUGGCCAAAAUUUAAUUUGAAAUUUGGAUCCCUCUAAGUUACAUGUAAUAUAACUUACACCCACUCACAUGAAUAGUGAACAGUGGGUGAUGUGAGGCCCACUCAUUGUUCAUGUGAGUGGUGUAAGUUACGUUACAUGUAACUUAACACUUGCCUUGAAAUUUUAAAUUUGAAUCCCUCUAAGUUACAUUACAUGUAACUUAACACUUGCCUUAAAAUUUUACAUAUGAAUCCCUCUAAGUUACAUUACAUGUAAUUUAGCACUUGCCUUAAAAUUUUACAUAUGAUUCUAUCCGGCUUUGUCAAUUAAUUCACCAGUGAUGAUGAAUAAUGAUAGAUAUUAAUGUUUGAAUUCAAAUUGAUUUGACAUUCAUUUAUUAGAUGAUAUAAUAAUAAUUUUAUUUUUGUCAUAUAAUAGAUGUGUGAUACUUAACAUUUACACUCAAAUUAAAAUUUAAAUAUUGAAAUUCUAAUAUUAGUGGAGUUAUAUUGAGUUGGGAUACAAAUUUUGACUAUUAAUGGUGUAACACUUGAUGUGAUGGUAUUAAAUUAUCUCAUUAUGAAAGAAAUAUUAAAAUUGAGUAAAGUUUAUAGGGAAAAUCAUUUUGUGUGAGUAUUCUCAAUUUUCAAUAUAAAAAUUACGAGACAAAAUUAAGGAGGAGAAUGACACAUUGCACUGUUUACAAGCUAUUGGAUAAUUUGGUCAUAUUUCAAAAAGCGAUUUAACCACGGAGGUCCAUCACAGAAGUUUAAAGACCUUUCGUUGAAAGAACAAAUGUGAUAAUUGAUAUUAUUAAUAAAGAAAUAAAUAAAUGGGAUAAAUCUAAUUUUUCAAAUUUCUCCGGAGGAAAAGGCUGCGAAUUAUGACUCUCCAUAAGAAAGACGUCACAUGAAUUUAUUUAUUUAUUUAUUUUCUUGUAAAUUUUACAUGAUUGGAAGUGUGGAGGUGUGUGAUUAUCAUUUCUGUCCUAAAAUACCUGUCAACCUUCCACAAUUUUUGAGAUUGCCAAUUAGUUUGUUGGUCCUUCAGGUAUUUGGAGGCUUAUGAUACUUAUUUGCGAUAGAAAAAGUUGGCGGAUGUCGAAGGAAGCCUGCAUAAUUAAUUAAGCCUUAUGGUACUCAUCUGUCAUAAAUUAGGAUUCGUCUAUGAUGCAACUGUGGUGUGCUACCACAAUUUUUGUCCUUAACCCAACUAACCGUUGGUUCAAAAGUUAAAUAAUCUAACAUGUUUUUAAUUGCCACACAUAUUUUCAAGUAUACUGGUGAAAUUAGGACAGUUAUGACUUAAUUUUAAAGAUCUCUUGCCUAAUAAAACUUACUUUCAAUUAAAGGGUAUUGCUACCUUUUUUUUUGUAUUUGGUAAUUCAUCAAACACGAACAAAUUGACGAACACAUAAUUUCUUUUCUUUUUUACAUUUUGCUUUUCAUCAAUUCCUUCAACGUCCUCUGUACAUCAUCUUUCUUUUUUUCUUUUUUUGUUGUUGCUGGAAUCAGUUGGUCGUUGAUGGUAUUGCCCCAAAAUUUCAUCUUUACAUCUUCAAGUCCUUCAUCUUUUUUUUUUUUUUCCUGUCUAAUCCUUCAAUGUAAUGAUCCAUUUCACUUAUGCAACUUUUGCUAGGACUUCAAGAUUGAUUUUUGUGUGUUAACUUACAUUUGAGUUGAAAACAACUUGGAUGUAUUUCAUGCCUGCUACCUGUUUGACGAAAUUCCUCACAGAAGAAACAUACAGUUUCAGAUGCUAUUCUUGCUAAAGAGUUCAAUAAGAGAGAUAUUUCUGGUAUUGAACAUAAAAAAUAGAGCAAUAAAUAGAAAAUUAAUUAAUGACAACUUCUUCUGAAAAAAAAAAAUUAAUUGAAUUUUGCUAUUUUUGAUUGAUAUGAUGAUGAUGGAAGUCAAGUGUGUUAUGUAAGACGAAAGACGAGAAAUCAAUGGUUAAUUUCAGCGCUCAAAAGAUUGUAUUUCAGUAUAAUGCACGCACCGAGGACGAAAAUGAAAAGAUGAAGUCAAUUAAUUGCAACUCACUCAAAAGGUUACCUGUGUCAGUCCAAUUUAUCCAAUAAUUAAGUCCAGCCCUUAGAUUAAAGAAAGAAGUAUCCAACGGUUUUGUUUGAUAUAUACAAAAGAAUGCGGUAUGGUGCAACUGUUGCAACAAGACACCAUAAAUUAUCUCAUUAUGACAGAAAUAUUGAAUUGCACGAGUUAAUUAGGAAAAUAAUUUUUGUGUGAGUAUUCUCAAUUUCCAAUAUAUAAAUUAAAAGAAAAAAAUUAAAAAGCAGAAUGACGCUUUACACUUGUUUAGAAGCUACUCGAUACUUUGGUCAUAUUUCAAAAAAUAUAUUAACUACGUAGGUCCACAUAUAAUAAAAGUUGUAAGAGAUUUUUUGUUGAAAGGAUAAAUGUGAUAUUUUAAAUAAACAUAUUUAAUAAAUGGGAUAAACCUAAUUCUUCAAAUUUCUUCCUAGGAAAGGCUGUCAAUUAUGGCUCUCCAUAAGAAUGACGUCACCCAGAUGAUGUAAUCAGAAACUUUUUCCUUCAUCAGUUACUACGCAAUUUUUAACGUCCAUUUGUUCCACUUCAACUGAAAACUCAUCACUUCCUGCCUGCAAAAGUUAUUUGAGUGUCCAAAAAACUAUAGUGAAUCUACAUUUUUAUUGUUAAGGGAGUCAUUUAAAUAUGAAAUUGACAUGACAGCUAAUACAAAGCUACAGUUGCUACUUGAACAAAAUUAACAUGAAUAAAAAAAGUGUAGCUGCAACUAAUAACAUUAAAGCAAAGGAAUAAAGUAUUAACUAGAGAUUUUAAACAUAACUGUUUGGUUUAAAAUUAUGGGAAUUUUAGAUUACACUUACAGUUUUUAUUGUUUUUUAAUUUUUGAAGAGAAAGAAAAGAAAAAAAAAGAUCAGCUAUAUGAUUAAAGAAAGAUAACAUGGUUAUGCAUGGAGGGAACAAAAGAGUAAUUGAAGUGAGUUAUUUAACGGACCACCGCAGCAUUGAUCGGCGUGUACGGUGCCGCCGGCGCGGUGACGUCGUCAGAGAGGUGGCAUCGUCGGCGUCAUUGUAAGUGUGAGUGUGACUGUGCGAGUGAAUAUGAGAGUGACUCAUCGUGGUUUUAAACUAGAGGCAGACUCAAAAUGUACAGUUGUCAAUAUAUAAUUGCAGUGCCCUUGCUCUCAUUUAUGAUACAAAUUAAUAAAAACUAUGAUUCAUUCAACAUUCACCAACCUUCCUCCAAUCCAAUUUUUUGGUCAUAUUAGGAUGGCUAUAAAUGCCAUUUAAUCGAUCGAUAACCUUAAUUUUCGAGAUUGCUAUGGCCGAAACUUUUUAAUUUUUUUUUUAAGUCUUUUAUUUCGUGCAAAAAUUAUAUAUCACGUUUUUUUAUUUCUCAUUAAUGACUGUAUUUUUGUGUCAUAAUUCAGGAACAACUUGUUGUUUCAAAGGGGCAGCAACAAGGAAUAGCUAUUUAUUUAAAAUAUGAAGUGGGGAAAAACUGCAAUACUUCAGAUCAUGAUCCAUAAAUUAUUCUCCUUUUUUAUCUCUAGAAAAAAUUGAAUUAAUUUCUUGAAAAAAGAUCCAACAAAUGAGUGCUUUAAUUUCGUAAUUUAUUAUUAUUAUUGCUAUUUCUGUUUAAAUAUGAAAAAAGAAGAAGAAGAAUUGGGUUAUUUUUAUUUUGUCGUAUAUCAGGGUUCAUAAUAGAUGUACUCGUGUCAAUAUAUAAUUGCCUUUGCCUUCCCUCUGGUGAAUUCAUUGAUAAUUGAAAAAGAUGGUAGCUGCUUGUGGUUGUGGGACGCUCUCGUUUAUGGUACAAAUUAAGAAUAAAAAUUUAUAUUUAAUUAACUCAACUGCUUGUGGUUUUGGAGGUACUUGGAUGUCAUUUAAACGAUAACCUAGAUUUUCUAGAUUGCUAGCUAUGGCCGAGUUUCUUAAUCUUUCUGAAGUCUUUUCGCGCAAAUAUUAUAUCCACGUUUUUUUCAUUUCUCAUUAAUGCAUUGUCAGUUCAAUAAAAAAUCUAGUGUGGAAACUGGAAAAUUUGGGAGGAAUCAUUAAUGCGUUGCACGUGCAACCUAAUCAAGAAUGUGCUUGUGUAUUAUUUUAAUAAAUCUAUUUCCAAUAAACCGAAAUAGUCAAAUUCUUAGUUCUCCCGUGCUAUAUAUUUGGUCUAUGGAUAUAUUAAUGUUUGUUUCUUUUAAUUAAAUUUUUUUUUUUUUUGCAUAUCAUAACCUCUCAGAUCACUGUCUAACAAGAUUGCCUUUAAAUUUGAAGAAUUUCACAUAAAUUGGAUACGGGUGAUUAUGGUGUCCUUCCAUUUUCUAACGAAUUAAUUUUCACUGUCAAUUUGUAAUUUGGCUAGCUGGAAUGACAGUGACCUGACUGAAAAAUAUGUUAUCUUGACGUCGACUGACCAAGUCAAAGUCUUUUAAGUGCACAAUCCAACCCUUUUGAAGUGGCGAUUCAGUUCGGCACUUCAAGGAAUAAGUUACUCGGCCGAAUUUGCAGAAAUAUUCCGAAGUUUAAUUCUUCACUUGGAUUUUCAUUGCUGAUCAUGUAAGUUAGUUGUUAUUUUUAAUUUUUUUCGGCGUUGUCACCCAUGUGCUUACACUUUUUGCGGAGCUAGUUUUAUGUUCUUAAUGUUCUAAUUUUCAAUGAAUGUAUUUGGACAAAGCCAUGAGCUAGUCUUUUAAAGGACUUAACUUGUAUUAAUAUUGCUGAUAUAUUCCUUAUAAAUCCAAAAGAGCAAACAAAGUUCUUAUAAAAAACGCAAGGAUAGCAGACAGUGAUUUAAUUUUUUUUAUUUUAUUUUGAUGUUAUCUCAAUUUUAAUAAUAGAUGAUUGAUUGAUUCAAUCUUCUUCUUGUCCAUAAUUAAGAUAACUACUUUCUACUUCCUAAAAAAAUCUCUAAUAUGUCGAAAUAAGUUUAUAAACAUUUGUAGAAAUCAAUAUCUUGGGAUUGUUGCUUGUUAAUUAUAUGUAAGUUAUACCAUUUUUAUGUUUUUUUUAAUCUGCUCGGCAUGUUUGAUAUAUUUCAACCCAAAUCCCCCUUGAUUGGGAAAAUAAACCAUUUCCUGCUCAUAUUUUGAAAUCCUACUCCAAAAUUCUCAUUUUAUUUGGUGAAAAUUUUCUAGAUGUUGAUAAACUUAUGUUAACUGUCAACUAAUGUUAAAUUAAGUCAAUUUGUUUUUCAACUAUCAGAUUUGGUAAUUUUCCCCUUUUUCCAGUGUAUGCAAAUCCACGACAACCACCCUACGCCUCCUUCCCUUAUUUUUUUAAGGAAGUAUGUGAUUUUUUAAACUGGGUUUUGAUUGCUGGCAACUGUAAUAUGUUGGACUUCCGUGAUUGGCUUGUUUGUACUCUACAGAUAUAUAUGUAUAAAAAAAAAAGGAAAAAAAUAUGACAAAACCUUAACUUGCGUUUCGAUCAUAUCAGGUCUCAGGAUCCAGAAGCAGGUUCAAAAGAUGAACAGUAUUCUAAAGUGUAUGGUACUGGAACGAUGUCGGCCGAUAAAAAACAAACUACAUGCUUAGGUUGCUUUAAAAAUCUUCUAGUUAUUAUACUUCUUUGCGUUAAAAAUCUUCUAGGUAUUAUACUUCUUUGUGUGGCGCUAUUAUGCUUUAUAAUAUUUGGUGGGACAAUAAUGCUAGUGCUUUAUUACCUGUUGAUUACAAUGAUUGUGUUAUAUCAUAAAACUGGUAAAGCGAUAGCGAGAGCAAUACGCAGGAUUAAAACAAUCAAGGAUAAAGAAUAUAUUGAUCGUCUAAUGAAUGUGACUGCAAUGAUCCUUGAUGUGACUGCAAUCAUCCUUGAUCCUUUAUUCUUCUACAUUCUGGUGCUGGAUGAUGAAAAGAAAUGCAUUCACUGGGACAAAACCUUGGGGAUUACAGCUACCGUCAUCCGUUCCGUCCUCGAUUUCCUUAAGCUAGGCCAUUUUAUCUCUCACUCUAAGCUGCAUAUGGCAAAGGGGAACCGAAGAGAAAAAUUUAAGGCCAUUUUCAAGGUGUAAUUUACUUUCGCUAACUAGUUGUUUCUUCAACUUCCAUAAUUUAUAUAAAUAUAGUCUCCGUUAUCUUCUUUGCUCCCUACGAAGUAUUUGCUUUUUUUUUUUUUUUUUUUGGCCUUAAAAGGGAGAAGGAGAAGUACCUGAAGAUCCAAUGGGACGAAUGCGGAAGCUCUUCCUCAUUGAUUGUUUGGCCAUCCUUCCCAUCCCCCAGGUAAAGGCACUAUCUAAUUUACAAUUACGUAAAUUCUGUUUAUUGACAUAUUAUGUAGUUCAAUCCUUCCCAUCCCCCAUGUGCAUAUCGUAAUAGUCUGCUUGAUUCCUGUCAUAUGUACAUCACAAAGUGGUUUUGAUUGUGAUAAAGAUAGAUCUUCAUACGAUUCAUGUCAAGGAUAAUGAUUUCAAUGUCAUUUUUCCCUUUACUUUGAUUAAAGUUGUAUUUAGACAUACAACCCUAAAUGUUUUGCAUGGAUAUUAGGGGUGGCAAUUUUCGCUAGUGAGUAGUGUUAAAUUUCAGCUAUGGGAAUUCGAUACUUUAUUAAUCUUGUUAAUAAUUUCAAACACCAACUCCACCUGUCUAUUAAUAAUUAUGUCACAUGCUUAAUAUGCUUUGAAAGUAUAUUUUUAAAUUUGACUUGUUUACAAGUUUUUAAGAUAUUUGUUUAAUUAAGAUAUUUAUAGUACUGCCUCUCAAAUUCAAAUCAAUUCUAGUCUUAAUAUAACUAGAUAAUUUUGAAAUAUAUACAAAUAGAAAGUAGUUCAAUUGUAUCCAAAAUCUAGUCGUACAACCAUUAUUGAUCAAAUAGUUAAUUAUGUCAUAAUUAAAUAGGCUCACGUGACAGGAACUUAAAACCUGAAGAAGUGAACACAACACAAAAUAUUUGUGUUCCUUUUCACCAACGCGAACAAACUAUUAUUUUCAUGCCAUUGGAAUCAGUUUCGCAGGUCAUUUCAAAAUUUGUCACCCCAGCUAUACCAUCGUUUUGCACAAAAAUAAAUAAUCAAUUUUGUUCAUAUUCAAUAUCCUUCAAAAUAUUUAUUUCCAUUAUUCCAUAUCAACUAAUAGGACAAACCGUCCAGGUUUUGGUGAUUUUUGGAAUAAGAGGCCCAGGAUUUUCAACGGCAAUGACCUUCUUUGUUUUACAAUAUUCGCUAAGGGUUAUUCGAACGUACUUUCUCUUCACACAUGCUACACGGGUUUCAGGGAUACUUGCCGAUGCUACAUGGGCCAUUUUUGCCUUCUAUCUUCUUCUUUAUCUGCAAAGCGGUCAUGUAAGUUCAAAGUAUUAUCAUUUUACCGAAAUAGUUUUUGGGAAAUUACAAUUUUUCCACCAUAUAGAUCGCCAAAUUAAAGGCCAAAAACAUUACAAAAUUUUGAAAUUUACAUUUUUAUACAAGAAGUUUCCAAAAACACCAUUUUUAUAUUAUAUUUUUUGGAAUCAGAAAAGCAUGAACUACGAUAUUCACUAUUUUGUAAUUUAGAAAAGCAUAUUCUAAUAAAACUAGAAUUUUAGCAACGCCCAGUUAUUACACAUAUAUACGCACAGUCAGUUAGCUUUUUUUUAUGUAAAUUUUAGAUAUUGGAAUUGUCGAUGUAUGAUAUUCCCUCUACUCUGCAAAUUAAUUUUUCUGAUAAGCUAUCUUUCAGAUGUUUGGAGCCUUAUGGUACUAUUAUGCCAUAGAAAAAGCGACUGAAUGCUGGAGGGAAGCCUGCAAAAAUCAUACCGGAUGCAGCGGUCAUAGUUAUUUUUCCUGUAAUAAAAGUUCCAGAGACUACAAUUUUCUAAAUGAUUUUUGCCGUAUAAGUACAGGAAGUACUACCAGCUAUAGUUUUGGAAUAUAUAAUGAUGCUCUUCAGUCUGGUAUUGUGGGGGAGACAGAUUUUCCUAAGAAAUUGAUACGUUGUCUGCGAUGGGGCCUGCAAAAUCUCAGGUUUGCUGUUUUUUAUAUGGCUUGGAUAAUGAUUAUUGUGCAUGUGAUCAGGUCCGUUACAGGUUCUCUUAGUCCGGUGCAGGUUUAUUUUGUAGUUCUUUUCGCAUCCAUGUAUUCUUUUUUUUUUCCCCAAUUCUCUUUUAUUCUUUUCUUUGUAGCUUCAUGCAUAUUGUAAGGGCUAAAUUUUAUUAAAACCCACUAAUUAGCCAAUGCAGACCAAGACAUUUUAUUGAAAGGGGCUACAUCAAAUAAUACCAAUAAUAUACAUAACAUAAGGGAUUAAUUAAGUUUAUAUGAUAAAAUUAAGUAAUUUCAUAUUUUUUUAUUAAAUUAAGAUGACAUGUGAAAGUAAAAGAGGGAUAUUGUUAUUAUUUUUAAAAGGUUUAACAAGGAGAGUAAAAAAUACUGUUUAAUUUUUUUAUAAAUUCAGAAUAAUUGAGGGGUACGUUUUUAGGGGUUUAUUUCAAACGAACUCUUUUAUUCAACUCAAAUAUUUAAAAAAUCAUUGGGGGUUUAACUAAUAUUUUCUGCUAAGGUCUCGAAUGAAAUUUCAGAGGGGUUAUAUGAAACAUUUCUUUUCUAUCGGCUAGUCAUUAGGUAAGUUCGAUCUUGUUUGUUCUCAUAAAAAGAGUACGAAUGUCGGGGCCACGCACAUUAUUUAAAUACGCAAUUAUGGGCUUUAGUUACCUUACAUUAUUAUGUAAAUUUCAUAAUUUUUUGAUAACUAUUUGAUGAAAAUCUAAUGGUUGUGAGAAUAAUAUGAUUUUAUUAUUUUAUAUUUCCAUAACCGUUGGAUUUUCAUCAAACGGCUGUGAAAAAAUUAUGCAACUUAUAUAAUAAUGUAAGGUAACAAGCUCCCGCAAGUAUGUAAUACUUAUGAACUGAAUUGAACUUUUUGCAGUGCAUUUGGUCAGAACCUCGAAACAAGUAACGAUGUCGGGGAAAACAUCUUUGCAAUUUGCAUGACCAACUACGGCGUAGUUCUGUUUGUCUUUUUAAUUGGAAGGAUGCAGGUCACAUACAUUUUUCUGUUUCUUCUCGAUUUCUCAAUUAACUUUCUUCUCGGGCUGUUAAUUAACUUUGAUCCUUUUAACUCAUGAAACACGAUAUAUAUAGGUUUUAAUUAGAUUUGAAAACACACAAGUUAAUUAUUUAGGUCAAAUUAAUUAAUGGCUAGAUGUACAGACUGAAAUUGCAAGGUCACAGAAGAUAAACCAGAAGUGGCAGGUGAUAAGGCAGUCGAAACACUAUGCGGAUAUCUCCCGUGAUCAAAAUGUCCGAGGGCAGUUCAAGAAAGCCAAGCGUGAAAAUUUGACAAACAAACACGUUGAUGUUCGCAUAGAUAGUUUUAUAAGCGAUCUCUCCCUCGACGCUCAAAAAGAAGUAAAACGCCAUAUGGGCCGAAAACUGCUCAGAAAAGUGAGUUUCUAUUUCUCUGGAUAAUAAUAAUCCUUAGCUACGUACCUGCCUCUUAUUAAUUAGUUAUUCAUCAGAAGAUGUCGAAGGGGGAAGUUUGUUAGAAUUUUUUUUGUGUUGACGUCUUAUAGCAACAUCUAGAAUGAUUCUUCAUUGUAUGUCCUUGAUUGUUAGAAAAUUAAUGGCAAAUGAAUUAGUAAAUAUGAACCAUAUAGGAGCAACAAUACAUAUAUAAGGGAAAAGGACAUUCAACCCCCCAACGUUUAGGAAAAGAGACAAAAAAACCCCUCAACGUUUCAAAAAGGACUUAUAAUCCCCUUUCCGUUAACAAACACCGUUUGUUUUAACAGUAAAUUUAUUUUUAAUUUUUAAUUACUAUUAUACCCUUAUAAUAAAAAAAUUAAUAUAUUAAUUUGAGAUAUAUCACAAUUAAUAAUUUUUUAAAAGCUUAAAAUUGAGAUACAAUUAUUUUUUUGCCAAAAUUAUUUACUAUAAAUUAUACCUUUCUAACAAUAAUAAUAUGGUUUUGAUUCCUCAAAGAAAAAGGGUUUAAUCAAAUUUCGUUUUAUUAGUAAUAAUCACAUAUGAAAGGUUUGAUCAUUAGAAAGGUAUAAUUUAUAGCAAAUAAUUUGGGCAAAAAUGUAAUUGUAUCUCAAUUUUUAGUUUUAAAAAAAUUAUUAAUUGUGACAUGUCUCAAAUCAAUAUAUUAAUUUAUAUUUAUUAUAAGGGUAUAAUAGUAAUUAAAAAUUAAAAAUAAAUUUACUGUUAAAACAAACGGUGUUUAUUAACGGAAAGGGGGUUAUAAGUCAUUUUUGAAACGUUGAGAGGUUUUUUGUCCCUUUUCCUAAACGUUGGGGGGUUGAAUGUCCUUUUUCCUACAUAUAAUGACAAUUUUUGAAUGCUGUCAAGAGGGCACCGAAUACGAAAGCAUUUUUAUCUUAUUAUCAUUUUCUUCUUAGUAAAUGAUAAUUAAGGAAAAUAGUAAUGACAGAGAGUACUGAUCUGGUCCAAGAUUUUGAAUCUUAUUAAAGUUUGAGAUAAUUAUUAAGUUAUAAGAUCAAAUAAUAAAACAGCAUUACACUCUUAAACAUAAGUUUUCACAAGUACGCAGUAGAUGGUGAGAUAAUGUGUAAUUAAUAGUGUAAUUAAGUAAUGAUGCUUCUUGAUGAGCCAUCAUCAAAUGGGUGAUUUUGACAAAAGUUAUAGAAUUUAUGUAUUUCAGUAUUCUAUAACUUUAUAAUCGUUGUAUAAAUUUGUAUUGACUCUGAUUCUCAUAUAUCAAGGUAGAAGAAUUACUUAAUGUAUUUCAAUAUUCUAUAACUUUAUAAUCGUUGUAUGUAUUUGUACUGACUCUGAUUCUCAUAUAUCAAGGUGGAAGAAUUACUUAAUGUAUUUCAAUAAUCUAUAACUUUAUACUCGUUGUAUGUAUUUGUACUGACUCUGAUUCUCAUAUAUCAAGGUAGAAGAAUUUCAAAAUUGGGAUGAGUUCUCUUUGGACUCUCUGUUUGGUUGUCUGAAGCCAGUCGUCUUUAGUGAAAGGACUGUAAUUAUUCAGGAGGGAGAUCCAAUUAAUGUGAUGACUUUUGUGUUGCAAGGCAAGACUUGGGCCUACUCCAAGAAAUUGUCAAUCACUAGACAGAGACAUCAGGACGAUUGUGAUGUUCGCCGAAAAGAACUCAUAGACUGGGCCAAGAAUGAAAACUCGUACCAGCAGCUCCCUAUAUCAGACAGAACCGUUCGAGCACUUACCGACGUUGAAGCCUUUACUCUUAAGGCUGAUGACGUGAAAUGUGCAUUACUUUUCGGUCCUGUUUCCAAAGAGGCAGCAACUCUCAUACAAUCAGUCUGGCGUUUCAAGAAGCGCAAACAUGCUAAUGACAAGAAUGCAAAGCCAAGAUCAUGCAUGGACCGCUGUUUCAGGACACAGGACAAAGUUGUACUGAAUUAAAUUAACUAUUUGGGAUUGGACUUGGAAGUAUUUAUUACACUACUAUAUCUGUUAUUUAUGUUUUGUGUUUCUGUUUAGGUACCAGAAAUAAAGUACUUCUGUUGAGUGACAAAGUAGACUAUAAUUAUCUGGUACAUGGUUUUCGAUGAAAAUAGUGUAAAUAGCAAUAGAUCACAACCCAUAGAGCACAGUCUAGGGAAGGAACAGAUGCACAAUUCCAGUCAAGUGAAUAAUCACAGGAUAUUUUCAUCCGCUUUUAAUAAAUAUAAAAAUGAAAACUAAACGGAGAAUAUUCUUAAACACAAGUACUGUGAUUGUGAUUAUCAAUAUUAAGCAAUCAACCUCGUACAAUCAUCAACCAGUGAUAAUGUAACAUAUGUGAAUUAAAAAUGAAUAAGUAUGAGGCGGUUAAGAAGUUAGUAAAAGCAAAAGAAUAAGCUGGUGACAGAGGAAACAUAUGCACGUGUAACAGAGAGUGAGAGAGAAGCUGCCAAACCGACCCAACUACAGACCCGAAAACCCGACCCGGGACCCGACACCUUGACCCGGCCAUAUCUCCCAUUUCUGGCCACCGUUUCGGCCGAGCUUGAUACCAAUCUGAAGCUUAGAAGCUGACCGCGUUCCUUGCCAUCCUCGCCGCCGAAAACCAACCGGAACGCCGGCGAUCGAAGCUUGAAAACCCGCGACUGUUUCGCUUUGCUCCGCCGGGAUUUUCGCCGGUUUUGGGUGACACCACCGGCUGUAUUUUGUUCCUCACGACUCCCUCUUCCAUUUCCGACCAUCCAUAGCCACCGGGUGUCACUGUUUUUCCGCCGGUCAAUUGUUGGAAUUCACGGCUGUCGAGCUAGAUUCCGGCGCCGUUGCCGCGCGUUGGAACUCACCGCCGGUACCAUUGAACUCAGCGUGAUUGGAACUUUCAUAUUUGAGCUUCCCGGCCAGCGUUGACCAAAUUCCGGUGACCGUUGACCGGCGAGGGCAUUUCGGUAAUUUCACACUAUAAGGGCAAUUUUGUAAUUUCUGAGCCUGUGGAUAUUUUAGUAAUUCCUGGAAUUGAGGAGUGGGUGUAAUUAUGAUUCCGAGGGUAAUUCGAUGAUUUACGAUUUCGAAGUAUUUUAAUGAUUUACGGACUCGAGGGUAUUUUAGUAAUUUUACCGACACGGGAGUUGUAAAUUAUGGAUAGAUGUUCGUUUCGAGUUUAUUGCAUAAAUUUAGUCGUAAUUCCGAUUUAUAAAAAAAUAAUUAUGUCAUUUCCUUGAUUUAGGAGGAUUCACGAGCGAGAACCGAUCGCGGACGUGGACGAUAACCGAGCGUGAACACCAUCACUGUGAGUGGAAUAUAGAAAACCUAUUUUCCUACUUAAUUAUGAUAUUAAAGCAUGUUUGUGAAAUAAGUAUUUUAAAUGUUCUGAUUUAAUGAUUUCCUCGAAAUGGAUUUUAUACACGCAUUGAUAUUAUAUUAAAAUGUUUUAUUAAUGAUUUUGCGUAUCGACUUUGAAUAAGCAUGAUAGUAUUUUAAAGAUGAAAAAAGUGGAUUCAAAUGUGGUAUGAUUUAAAGUAUGGUUAAAAUGUAUGUGAAUAUUAGUAUAAUGAUUAUUUUUGAAAUCAUUAGACAGUACCCUUACCCUCCAGAUACAAUGAUACAGAUGAGAUGAGAUAUAGGCUUUUGGGGCCGUCUGAACACACAUAGAGGUUUUGGGCCAUGUGUUUGGGCGCUUUUGCCUUUUGGGGGUAUAUACAUGCGGUAUGAUGAUUACAGAGAUACAUAUAUGAGAUAUAGACAUAUAUUGAGAUACAGAUGAUACGAAUGAGAUACAGGUCUUUGGGGCCCGACUGAGUACACACAGAGGCUUUGGGCCGUGUGCGUGGGCGCUUUUGUCCUUUGGGGACUAGAUUAUGCAUGCAUAGAUAUGAUGAGAUAUGAGAUGGUAUUUCCCUGUCUAUCCGUGUAGCUCCGGGGCGUGCGGUACCCAGAUAAUACGUCAUUGCCCAUCCGUUGAGGUCCAGAUAUGACGAGAUUAUUUUCCUGGAUACUUGUUUGGUGAUGAUUUUCAAAUUUGUGUAUUCUAUUUGAUAUUGUGAUAUGAUUUCUAUGGUUAUUGGGUACGAUAUUAUAUAUGUUUUUCAUGGUUAGUAAUAUGAUUUAAAUGUUAAAUGAUUUAUUACUGGUUUCUCGCAUAUGGUUUGAUAAAAUCGUGUUUGGAAAUGAUAUGAUUAUUUCUUUUAAAGUAAGAAUUAAUUUUCAAAAAUUACUAUCCAAUCACUGAUCUCACUGAGUUUUAAACUCACCCUGUUUUUAUUAUAUUUUUCUCCCCACGAGGAGGUUGCAGGUACACUAGACUGACUCAGCGACUGUAAAUAUAUUUUGAGUCUCGGCCACGUGAUGGUGUUAGAAGAUAAAAAUGUUUUUGUUAGGACAUCUUGGUUAUCUCGUUCUUUUGGGAUUGUAUAAUUUUGUUAUAUUAUUCUUUUGGGAUUAAGAAUAAAUUGAGAUAUUAUUAUUAGUUAUAAUAUUAUUUUUUAAGACUCUGGAGAUAUCUUGAGUAAAAUUCAGCAUUUUGGUUGAGGAUAUUGAUAAUUGGAAUUGUUGUAUAUUGAAUUAUAUUGAGAGUGUUAUAUUCAUAUUUGUAGAUUGGGAGUGUUAUAUUUAUAAAGGAGAUUCUGUCGAAUUUUCAGCAGAAUUCUUACUAAUAGAAUUAUUAUCAAGUCCGUUUUGAUGAGACUACAUUGACUCGCCCAGGGGGUUUCGGAGUGGGUCGUUUCAGAUAAACUAUUCAUGCCAGUAACAUGACCAUCUUAUUAAUUUCAGUCCACUGCAAAGUGCAAAAAAAUUACUCACAUCCUCUUCGACUAAAAUUGAAGUUUAUUCCUGGCUCCCUUCAACAAAUUUUCUUUUCUAGUACUCUACCAUUCACAUUCAUCCCAUAAAAGAUCAAUUUAUUAGAAGACGAUAUUCCUCCAUCAAAUUGAAAGAGAAAUUGAAAAUAUCAAAAAGGGAACAGCAAGAUGAUUCUAGUAUCAUGAUAAUAAAUAUAUCUAUAUCUAUCUAUCUAUAUACAUAUCUAUUGGUUUUUGUUUUGUAAAUGGAACAUCAUUUCUUCACUUCGUAAACUAAUGUUGAUAAAACUUUCAGGAAGACAACAACAUGAAACCGAGCCGAGGUGCACAAAAAUGAUGAAGAAAUAUUUCAGCUUCAUCGAUUGUCUCGAAUAAAAACAUCAAUGAUGUGUUAAACAUUUAACUCAGAAAUAGAUUGCUUGCCUUAAAGGUGUGCCCAAAUUAUAAACUUCAGUUUCGACUAUUGACCUUGGUUCGUGACGCGAUAAACUAAUCCGUGGCAUUUCACAUACCCAACAAUCUUGUAAGAAUUGGUUGAACUCUCAAAUCCCAUUCCAUAACAUGCAAAACUCCCUGAUAUUGCCAAUGGCGGUGAUAGGAUUCGUUUAAAGAGUUCCCCUUGUUGCCACGUACCUUUAAAGAACAAUAAACUAUUACCAGUGUUCUCGACACGGUCCCAUCACUCUAAAAAUCGAACGCAUGUGAGCAAAACAAAGGCAGUCAAUUAUGUCACUCCAGUAUUCAGAGACAGAUCGCCGACCCAUAAGUGAUUUAGUGGGCAAUCUAAGAAAGAUGUCGUAGAUGAUACAAUCAGAAAUUUCUUCCUCCAUCAGUUUUUUACAAGUUUUAACAUCCAUCUCAGAUUUUGUUCAAUUAAGAACUUAAUCAGUUCCUGCAUGUAAAAGUUGUUUUGAGUGUCAUAAAACCUGUAGCGAAUUGUGAAGAGAGCUCACUGUGCUGAGUUAAAACAAGAAAGGAAGCCAACAGUCAAGAUUCUUCAGCAAUGCCACGUCAGUGCUGAGUCAGCUGAUUCUGUUAAGGAUUGUUGAAAGCUCACGUGACUAUUAGUUAGUUAAUUAGCUUUUAGUUAGUGAUGCAGGAUUCUGAUUGGUUGAUUAAUUGCAAUGCUUAUUUGAUCAAUUGUAGCUUGGAAAUAAACUGUAUAUAAACAGAGUCUGUAACGAUUGCUUCUAUGAAAAAAUAAAAAAAAUAUUCCAGAGAGUUUAUCUAUUUUCUCAGUAACCAAACAAGCAUUUAGCUUAAUUUGCUAUUAUUUUACAUGGUAUCAGAGCCACAAUAUGGCAAGCUCAAGCAAUCCAAACGGAAAUUCAAACACAAUCACUGCAAAUCAAUCAAUACAAACCACAUUCUCCUUCAUAUCACCAAUCAAGUUAGAUCGAUCUAACAACAUGCUCUGGCGAAAUCAAGUUCUAGCCUCUAUAAGAGGAAACAGACUUGAAGGUUACAUUAAUGGAGAGAAGGUUGCUCCCAAUCAGUUUAUCACAACUGGAGGAUAUGCUGGAGCAGCAGGUAGUUCUACUCAACAGAAUGAAAAUCCAGAAUAUACAGUCUGGAGAUCACAAGAUCAGACAUUACUAAGCUGGCUGUUGAGCUCAGUCACUGAAGGUAUUCUCAGCCUUGUUCAUUCUUGCAAUACUUCAUAUGAUAUAUGGAAAACAUUGGAGAAAAAGUUUGGUGCAAAAUCUGAAGCAAGAGUACUUCAACUUAGAUAUGAAUGAGUGUUUUAAGAAAAGAUUCACUGAAUAUAGAAGAUUAUUGUUUGAAGAUGAAACAAAUAGCAGAUAAACUAGCAUGUGCUGGUAAUCCAGUUUCAGAUAAAGAUUUGCUGCAACAAAUUCUAAAUGGUCUUGGACAAGGAUAUCUUGAUUUAGCUACAUUCAUAACAGCAAGUAAACUUGAUUAUGAUGAUGCAUAUGCACUACUACUUACUCAUGAAACAAGACUUGAACAGAGUAUGAAUGAAAAACAGAUGUUCAAUGCAAAUUUUGCCAAUUUUACUUCUAAUAACAGUGGAUAUGGUAUGAUGAAUGCCUUUUAUGCACAAGCAAGAGGCAAUGCUCGAAGAGGUGGAUAUAAUGGAGGUUUUCACAGUGGAAAUCAAGGUGGAAGAAAUAAUUUUCAUACUGGAAGGGGAAUGUUUGUUAACUCUCAUCCAAGAGGUUUUCCCUCUGGAACUGGAAAUUUUGGUAACAGUCAUGGUAGAGGUCAGAUGAUUGGUAAUAAUAAACAGAUGCAAUUUAUGAGAGGUCAAUACAGUGGUAACUCUGGUAUGCCAAACUCUGAUGGUAAUGAUGAGCAAAGUGUUGUAUGUCAAAUUUGUUUUAAAUCUGGGCAUACAGCAACAGAAUGUUGGCAUAGAUUUGAAGAGAAUUAUGUACCACAAUACAUGAAGAAAGGAAGAAAUUAGAGAUCAGCUUAUAUGGCAUAUUAUGAUGCACCAACUGAAAAUUCAUGGUCAACUGCUUGUUCAGGAAUGCCUCAAAUGCACAAUCCAUCAUUCACCCCAUACAUGUCUGAUUCAGUGAACUUGUCAGGAGCUGGAGCUGGAGCUGCCUAUGUUGCUAAUUUUGAAGGUCCAGCAGAUGAAGGAUGGUAUCUUGACAGUGGGGCUACACAUCAUUUGACAAACAACAUGGCAAACAUGCAUGUCAGAGAUGAAUUCAAUGGUAAUGACAAGCUGAUUAUUGGCAAUGGUAAAGGUCUGUCAAUCACACACAUUGGUAGCACUACUUUUUCAGUUCAAGGUUUUAAGUCACAAGCUGCACGUAAAUGCAUUACACUUAAAGAUAUACUGCUUGUUCCUUCUAUCACAAAGAAUUUAAUAAGUAUUUCUAAACUUACUGCUGAUAAUAACCUAUCUAUUGAAUUCUUUGGAUCUAUCUGUUAUGUGAAGGAUUCACUGAAGGGGAAGGUUCUGCUACAGGGUAUUGCUGAGAAAGGUCUAUACAAAUUGCUGAUCAAAUCAUCUUCAAAAUCAUCACUACAACCUACAUACACCUCUUUUCUUUCUCAAAGCUUAAUAAAUCAACAUUUGUCUAUGUUGUCUCUCUGUCAUUUCAGUUCUGCAACUGAUAAUACUUGUUUUGCAAAUUGUUUUCAUUCAAAUAAAAACUCUUGUACUGAUUCAUCAUCAAAUAAAAUGUCUCUAUUUCACAGAAGAUUUGGUCAUCCCAAUGCUCAAAGUUUCAUUCACUUACUUAAACUUAUGCAUCCUAACUUGUUAUCUACAAAUAUGCUUAAUUAAGUAACAAAGCAUUUUUGUAAAGCAUGUCAGCUGGGCAAAUUUCAUAGACUUCAUUUUCCCAUAACUGAUAUUAAGUCUAAAUCAGCACUAGAACUAAUUCAUACUGAUCUAUGGGGCCCUUCACCAAUAUGUUCUAGAGAAGGUUAUAGAUAUUAUAUUAGUUUUGUGGAUGAUCACACUAGAUACACCUGGAUAUACCUUCUGAAAUUAAAAUCAGAAGCUCUAGAAGUGUUCAAAUUGUUUAAACUUCAAGUUGAAAAUCAGUUUCAAACCACCAUCAAAGUUCUACAAUCUGACUGGGGGGGGGGGGGGAGAGUAUAGACCAUUCACUAUUUUUCUAAAUGAAUGUGGUAUUCUUUUCAGACACUCUUGUCCCUACACACAUCAUCAAAAUGACCUUGUUGAAAGGAAACACAGACGGAUUGUAGAAUUAGGCUUGACACUUCUAGCACAAGCUAAACUUACAUUCCAGUUUUGGUGGGAUGCUUUUCAUACCUCAGUUUAUCAUAUUAACAGACUUCCUACCUCUGCCCUUAAGAUGUCUAUUCCAUAUGAAAAAUUAUACAGACAUAAAGCUGAUUACAACAUGCUGAAAUGCUUUGGUUGUGCUUAUUAUCCAUACUUGAGAGAUUACAAUAAGCAUAAAUUUGAUUAUCAUACAACCAAGUGCAUCUUUCUUGGUUAUAGUCCUUUUCAUAAAGGUUUCAAGUGCUUUCAUCCCUCUGGUCGAGUGUAUAUUGCUAGACAUGUCAAUUUUGAUGAAACUUCAUAUCCAUUCUUUUCAGAUCCUGAUUUUCAUUCUUUGAAUAAAUCUCAGUCCAACUCUUAUGAUUCCAUUACACCUAUACAAGUAUUUCAAUUGUCUACCUUACCUGUCAUAUCAGAUUUUUUGAAUAACAGCAGUGAGUCUCUUUCUCAAGCAUAUACCAGUGGUGAUAACUUUCCUUCAGCAGUAGAUUCAACACAAGUACAUGUCUCAGAUCAAUAACUCUCAAACACAAACAAUGUCUCAGAUCAACAACCAAUUUUACCUGCACCUACAACAUUACCUUCUCCAGAUGAAAUUCCACAAACUCAACAUAUUCUAAACUCACCAUCUCUAAACCACCAUCCCAUGAUUACUAGAGGAAAGGCAGGUAUCUUUAAGCCAAAGCUAUAUACUGUAGCUUUGUUGCACAAAGAACCAGAAACUAUUCAGGAGGCUCUCAAUAAUGAAAGGUGGUUUCAGGCAAUGAAAGCUGAAUAUAAUGCAUUGAUAUCAAAUGGCACUUGGACAUUGGUACCAAGAACAGAAAAUCAUAAGCUUGUUGGCAACAAAUGGGUUUUCAGAAUUAAAACCAAUACUGAUGGAAGUGUUGAGAAAUAUAAGGCAAGAUUGGUUGCUAAAGGAUUUCAGCAGAUUGUGGGUGUUAACUACUUCGAGACUUUCAGUCCAGUGGUAAAAUCAGCAACAGUUAGAGUGAUCUUAAGUUUGGCAGUGAUGAACCAGUGGCAAAUACGACAAGUUGAUGUGAAUAAUGCAUUCUUAAAUGGAGAUCUAACUGAAGAAGUUUAUAUGAGACAGCCAGAAGGAUUUAUUGAUCCACAAAGAUCAGACUUUGUAUGUAAACUGCACAAAGCUCUUUAUGGCCUGAAACAGGCUCCUCGUGCUUGGUUUGACAAACUGAAAAGUAGUCAUAUACAAUGGGGAUUCAAGAAUUCUAAGUCUGACACAUCUCUAUUCUUGAGAAGAACCAAGAGCUCAAUCAUUAUAAUUCUGAUAUAUAAAGAUGAUAUAUUGAUUACAGGAUCAGAUUGUGUUGAGUUGGAAGAGUUUAUUAAGUUGUUCAGCUCCACAUUUGCAUUAAAGGAUCUGGGGAGACUAUCUUACUUUCUGGGUAUAGAAGUAUUAUAUGUUCAUGAUAGUAUAUACCUGUCACAAAAGAAGUAUAUCCGAGACUUGCUUGCAAAAGUUGACAUGCUUGAAUGCAAGGGAACAGACACACCAAUGAGUAGCAGUAAAGAUUACAGAUUGCAGAAGAGUGUUGAGGGAGAAAUGGGCUACUAUAUUGAAGAUCCCACUCAUUACAGAAGCAUAGGUGGAGGACUGCAGUAGUUGGUUUUAACUAGACCUGAGAUAGCUUAUUCUGUUCACAAACUAAGUCAGUAUGUGUCUUCACCAACUCUUCAACAUCUUAUGGCAUGUAAACGAGUGCUGAGAUAUUUGAAGGAAACACAAGAAUAUGGUCUGAGGUUUGUUAGAGAAGGUGACAUGAAGCUUAUAGCAUUUACAGAUGCUGAUUGGGGAAGUGAUCUUAAUGACAGAAGAUCAGUUGGUGCUUAUUGUGUAUACUUGGGAAACAAUUUAAUCUCAUGGUCCUCAAAGAAACAAUCAGUGGUUACCAAGUCAUCAGCUGAAAGUGAAUACAGGGCUCUUGCUGCAGCUAUUUCUGAAAUAACAUGGCUAAAGUCAUUGUUCCUUGAAAUUGGUUUAUGUUGUGAUGAAAAACCAAUCAUAUGGUGUGACAAUGUGAGUGCUGCUGAACUUGCUCGCAAUCCAGUAUUUCACUCAAGAACAAAACACAUAGAAAUUGAUCUACACUUUAUCAGAGACAAGGUUUUGGCUGGGGACUUGAAGAUACUAUAUGUUCCUAGUGCAGAGCAAAUAGCUGACAUAUUAACUAAGCCACUGAACUCUUCUCAAUUCAAUUACCUAAGGCUCAAACUCAAUGUGGAGCUAUGUCCCUUGAGUUUGAGGGGGGCUGUGAAGAGAGCUCACUGUGCUGAGUUAAAACAAGAAAGGAAGCCAACAGUCAAGAUUCUUCAGCAAUGCCACGUCAGUGCUGAAAAAUAUUUGAGAUGCUUGAAUAUGGUGAAAAUAGUAAUUUUUUUUAUUACCUUUACAAUUCUUGAAUUUUACAAAUAUAUAAAGAUGUUCAAGAUGCUGUACAAGGAAAGACAAUAUUUACAAUAAUUAUAAUAAUCAACUAGCCGUUGUGAUGAAUCCACCAUGACAUGUGCUGCUAUAUUUUCCAUCAAUUAUGGCUUAGACGAGAUGUUGGAAAUCCUCUUGCCAUGGCGGUACAAGCUACCAUAUUUGGAAUUGCUAGUGACUUGUCCUUAUCAGCCCCCCUCAAGCUAGGCAGUGACAUGCGAUGAACGCCUAGCUUGGUUCGUAGCGUGAGAAAUUGAUGCUUCCCCAAAGGUUUUGUAAGAGUGUCUGCAAUCUGAAGAUGAGAAGGCACAUAUCGUGUAAAUAAUGACCCUUUAGCAACCUUCUCACGAACAAAAUGCACGUCAAGCUCAAUAUGUUUCAUUCUAGCAUGAAACACUAGGUUCUUAGUCAUAUGAAUUGCACUCAAAUUGUCACAGAGAAGUGUGGGUGCUUUCGGAAUACAGAACCCAAUGUCAUUAAGUAGAUAUGUGAGCCAUGUUAACUCGGCAGCGGCAGAGGCCAUGGACCUAUAUUCGGCUUCGGCACUUGAGCGAGAGACUGUGUGUUGUUUCUUGGAGCUCCAAGAGAUACAAUUGCUUCCAAGAUAAAUGCAAAAUCCUGUUGUACUUCGUCUUGUUAUCGGACAUCCAGCCCAAUCGGAAUCGGAAAAGGCAUAGAGCUUGAGAGAGCUUUGAGACAAAAAUCUAAGGCCAAAGUCAAGGGUACCUUUAAGGUAACGAAGGAUCCUUUUCACGUCCUUGAGGUUGGCUUUUGUUGGCGCUUGGAAGUGUUGAGAGACUCGAUUGACAGCAAAUGUGAUAUCGGGCCUUGUGUAGGUGAGAUAUUGAAGGCUUCCAACAAGGCCUCUAUAUUCGGUCGCAUCCACAGGUUCAUUAUCAUCCGAACACGGUAUUGAUCGUAUAGCCAUCGGCGUGUUGAUAGGAGAACAAUCCUGCAUUCUUGCCUUGGAAAGAAGGUCUUUAGUGUACUUCGCUUGAGAUAGGAAGAUGCCAUGCGUGAAUUGUUGAACUUCAAUGCCUAGGAAGUAAUGUAGGUUGCCAAGAUCUUUUAAAGCAAACUUUGAGCUCAGAUUGUUGAUGAUUGAUUGAAUUUCCUUCUCAUUAUUUCCUGUAAUGAUCACAUCAUCAACAUAAAUUAAUAUAAGUAUAAGAAUGGAUUUGUUAUUAAAUAUAAAUAAAGAGCUAUCAGCUUUGCUACUGGAAAAUCCAAGAGAAAUUAAGGCUUGAGAAAGACACUCGAACCACGCUCUAGGUGCCUGUUUCAGGCCAUAGAGCGAUUUUUGAAGCUUGCAAACAUAUGUUGGAUGACAUGAAUUGCGAAACCCAGGAGGCUGCUCCAUGUAGACAAUCUCCUUUAAUAGUCCAUGAAGAAAAGCAUUGCGAACAUCCAGCUGCUUGAUAAGCCAUUUUGAGCUCACAGCAAUUGCAAGGAUAAGGCGAAUAGUUGUGGCCUUUAUAACGGGACUGAAGGUUUCAUCGAAGUCGACUCCUGGAACCUGUGUGAAUCCCUUGGCAACUAAUCGAGCUUUAUAGCGAUCAAUGGUUCCAUCUUCUCUGUAUUUGAUACGAUAUACCCACUUCGAUCCGAUGACAUUAACAUUGUUAGGCCGCGGCACAAGGACCCAUGUCUGAUUUUGAUGCAAUGCUUGAAGCUCUUCUUCCAUAGCUUGAGUCCAAAGCGGAUUCUUUAAGGCAGUUUUGAGUGUUUUGGGUUCAAUUUCUCUACUGUGGCUGGCUUGAAGGGCUAAUUUAGGAUUUUGUUUGAGUUUAUUGCGUGUCAUCAUGGGAUGAGUAUUUAGGCUUUGCGGUUCUGCAGCUGUGUUUGGUAUCUUAAGUUCCAUAAAUAAGCGAUUGGAUAUGUCAGGAUAAUCUGGUUGUGAAUUUGUGGCAGGGCUGUUGUCCGUAUUUAUGGACAAAUUAGGUGGUUCAGUUGCAUGUGAACUACUAGAAUUUGAAUCAUUUGUUGUCAAAGGUUGCAUUGCAUGUGGAGACUCCAAAAUAUUUGGAAUUGCUUCUGACUUGUCGUGUGGAGUUGCUGAAUUCAAAUUGUCCUCUAAAUUGUCUUGUGGGAAAUCUGAAAUAAUUGGAGAAGUGGCAUUUGAGUUGUUGUCCAAGUUUACGUCCUUGUGGGGCAUGAAUUGCACAUGUGGUGUUGAUAUUGUAGCGCCUUUACAAUUGUUUACUUUGACAGCACGUGAAUCAUUAAGAUUCUCACAAUUGGGAGAAUUCUUUGGGAGCCACUCAUCUUGUUGAGGGAAGGUGGUCAAUGUACUAUGUUCCUGCACAUUAAAAAAUGAUGUUAAUUUUUUGAAUGGUAAAUAAUUUUCAUCAAAUACAACAUGCCUUGAUAUAUAUACACGAUUAGUCUCAGGUUGUAGACAACGAUAUCCUUUAUGGAGGGGACUAUAGCCUAUGAAAACACAUGGAUAUGAUUUUUUAUCAAAUUUUGUUUUACUGUAAUCCCGAAGAUAAGGAAAACAUCUACAACCUAGGACUUUUAACCCUCUAUAGUCCGGUAAUUUUUUGAAAAGAAUUUCAUAAGGGCUUUUAUUUUUUAAAGGUGAAAGAGGCAGCCUGUUAAUGAUAUAAGUGGCUGCAAGAAAAGAAUCCACCCAUAAUUUGAGUGGCAAAGAAGCAUGAAACAUCAUCGUCAAGGCUGUCUCAUUGAUGUGCCUAUGCUUUCUGUCAGCAACACCAUUUUGCUCCGGAGUGUAUGGACAAGAAAUUUAUCUUGUGAUGCCGCAAUUUUCAAGAUGUUUGAUGAAGGCCGUAGAAUUAAAUUCCCCUCCUCCAUCGCUUUGAAAUAUUGUGAUCUUUUUGUCCAAUUGCUUUUCAACUUGUUUCUGAAAUUUCAAGAAGCACUCCAAGAAAUCAGAUUUUUGUUUUAAGGGAUAUAACCAACUAAAACGUGAGUAAUCAUCUACAAAUAAUACAUAGUAACGAAAAUGUUGAGUAGAAGUAAUGGGAGCUGGACCCCAUAUAUCACAAUGCACUUUUUGUAAAGGAAAAUCUGCUUUAUUAUUAGAUAAAUUAAAAGAUUUCCUACAACUCUUGCCUAAUUGGCAAGAAACACAAAUACGGGGUUCUUUAGACCAACUAGAAAAGUCAAUAAAAUUAUUGCGUUUUAAGGCCUCCGAGAUUUUAGGAUUGGCAUGGCCAAGCCUCUUGUGCCAUAAACUAAAACCGCUAGAUUCUCCUUGAAUUGCGUUGAAGGCAGCAUGAAAGUCUCCUUCCAAUGUGUAUAGCUUCCCUUGCUUACUCCCCUUUGCCAGAACCUUGUUUUCCUUGCUCUUCACAAUAAAACCAUCAGUGUUAAAUUCAAAAACACAUUUAAUAUCAUCAAUGAGUUGUCCAACUGAUAAGAGAUUCUUUUUGAGUUUUGGAACAACUAAAAUAUUAUUUAAGUGUAAAGAACCAUGAUUUGUAUUUAAAGAAGCAGAACCAAUAUGUGAAAUAUUUAAAUCUUGACCAUUGCCGACAAUUAUUUUGUCAUUACCUCUAUACGGCCUUACAUGAUCAAGAUUACCUGUGUUAUUUGUCAUGUGUGAUGUUGCUCCAGAGUCCACAUAGAACUGUUGAUCAUUAUUUUCUUGAAGAUUCAUCGCAGCUAGGGCCUGUGGAUCCUCUUCAUUGUCAUAGUCGUAUCUGUACCAACAUUCAGCAGCACUAUGUUUGCGUUUGUGACAGAUUUGGCAAAUAACUUCUUCAUCUGAGGUAUUAUUUUCUUUAUUUGGUUUUUGAGGCUGCUGUUGUGGUUUACGGUUGUUGCCAUUGUUGUAGUUGUUGGGGGUAAUUUCUACCACCUGAGUUGCGUUGAGAUCCUUUGCCUCGGUAUGGAGGUCUUCCACCUCUUUGAUUUCUGCCUCUUCCACGUUGACCAAAGAAGGCUUGGUUUUGAUUUGUGCCAAGUCUAGCUUCUUCAUCUUUUUCUACGAUCACAGUAUGUUCAUGGUUUUGGAGAGCAUUGAUGAAUUGUUUAAGGCUGGGAUAUGGAGGUUUAGUGAGCAUUGCAGUUUUGAAGUCAGCAUAUUUGGGACCUAAGGCUCUUGCAAUUUGAAAAAUCUUGUCAUCAUCGUUCAUUGGUUUUCCAAUGGCUGCCAACUUGUCGCAAAGGCCCUUGAAUUUCUUAAGAAAUUCAUCAAGCUUGGAAGAUCCUUUCUUUAGAGAAUAAAGGCAAUCUUUUAGCCAUGUUUCUUGCUCCUUAGUUGCAGGCAGCAUGUUUUCUUCAACGGUGAGCCAGAUUUCUCGAGCCGUUUGCACGCCGAUAACCAUGCUCAACACGUCUUCGUUCAUCAUACUUCUGAGCCAAGUUGUGAGAAGUCCAUUAUUUUUCCACAUGAGAAAAUCUGGAUUGUUUAUCUCCUUCCCAUCUUGCUCUAUCAUCUUCGGUGGAGUCUUAACAUCAACUAUAUGGUGAUUUAGCCCAAGGGUAAAUAUAAGUGGUUGAACUUGAGAACUCCAAAUAAGAUAAUUUUCAGUGUUGAGUUUUAUUGGAACCAAACUCGAACACUGAUGGAAAGAUUGAAGGGAUAGGGAUGGUUCUGAAUUUGAACUUGAAGCCAUUAGGCUCUGAUACCAUGAAAAAUAUUUGAGAUGCUUGAAUAUGGUGAAAAUAGUAAUUGUUUUUAUUACCUUUACAAUUCUUGAAUUUUACAAAUAUAUAAAGACGUUCAAGAUGCUGUACAAGGAAAGACAAUAUUUACAAUAAUUAUAAUAAUCAACUAGCCGUUGUGAUGAAUCCACCAUGACAUGUGCUGCUAUAUUUUCCAUCAAUUAUGGCUUAGACGAGAUGUUGGAAAUCCUCUUGCCAUGGCGGUACAAGCUACCAUAUUUGGAAUUGCUAGUGACUUGUCCUUAUCAAGUGCUGAGUCAGCUGAUUCUGUUAAGGAUUGUUGAAAGCUCACGUGACUAUUAGUUAGUUAAUUAGCUUUUAGUUAGUGAUGCAGGAUUCUGAUUGGUUGAUUAAUUGCAAUGCUUAUUUGAUCAAUUGUAGCUUGGAAAUAAACUGUAUAAAACAGAGUCUGUAACAAUUGCUUCUAUGAAAAAAAUAAAAAAAUAAAAAAAAUAUUCCAGAGAGUUCAUCUAUUUUCUCAGUAACCAAACAAGCAUUUAGCUUAAUUUGCUAUUAUUUUACACGAAUCUACAUUUUCUGGGAGGAAUUUGAAUAUAAAAAUUAAUAGGAAGCUAAUAAAAAUAUGCAGUUUUUAUUCGAACAAAAUUAAUAUGAAUCAAGAAACAGAGCAUAACAGGGUAGUUGCAACUAAUAACACACAAAUUAACUCGUAAAAGUGACCUAACAAGCAUCAAAAUCUAAGGAUUAAAGCACCAAUCAGAUAUUGUGAACAAAACUUUUGUUUUAUAAUCAUGGAAAUUUGAGAUUACAUCAGCUAUAUGAUCAAUGAAAGAUAAGAAGCUUAUGGAGUAAAAACAACAGAAAUUAAAAUGAGUUUAUGUCAUGCACCGCUGCCAUGCACCGCUUGGAGAAAAAAAAAAAAAAGAAGGGAAGCCAAACGUGGCAAUCUUCAAAAGCAACAGCCAGCUGCAUGUUUUAUCAUUUCAGCUGCCUGCUUCACCUAUUUUCUUCAUUAAUUUAGUCACCAAUCGGCUUAAUCAAUUACCUUGUCAUCUUGCUCAACUCGGUGGCUAUAUAAAGCACAAAUGUUGAGAGUGCUUUCAUUUUAUACAUCUAAAGAAUUGAGAGCAAAACCGAGAGAAGAAAAGAAGUAAAACCGAGAGAAAAGAGAAGAGAAAAGAGAAGGAAAAAAAAGAAAAAGAAACGAAGAAAAGAAAUAGAAAGAAGCUGAGUGUGGGAGAUGAAGUGGAAUUAAGAGGAAAUAUUACGGAAAUUAAAACUGGACAUUUAGAUUUAUAUUAAGUGAGUUAAUGGGUAAUAGAUUUAUGAAAUCUAAGUAGUUACGAUUUAAUUUACGUUAUACGUACAAGUUUUUAUAUUUGUUCUAACUAUUAAUCUUUGAAUCCCGUAUUCUAGGAGAAAUCCACGAGUCCAGAGACUCACAACAGCCCCAACGAACCUCAUAGUGAAACAAGAUCUGUGAGUGGAUAUUAUUAUUACUAUUAUGUGUUCCGUGAAGCAUUUAUGUUUGAUAUUAUGAUUUUAUAUCAUGCUAUGAUUACAUGUACACAUAUUAUAUGUUUGAUUGAGUUAUGAGAUGUGAUUGCUAGUCACCAUAUAUGUACCCUUCCCCAUAGGCUAUGCGCAUGCGUAUUGAGAGUUAUGUUACUCUACCCAUGCGAGAUAGUUUAAUUACGCUGGGUAUUGAGAGGAUUUUCCCCCGCUCUACUCAUGCAAUGAGGAUCCUGGCGAGUAUUGAGAGUUAUUUUUCCUGGGUACUCUUUGGUGCAGUUUUGUGAUGUAUGUAUGUAUGAAUUACAUGUCUGCUAAUGUAUGAUGUUCAGUGUGGAGUUAAAUCACAUAAUUAUGCAUGAGCACCAGUACACUACUUUAUUAUUAUAUUUAUUAUUUUUAAUAUGUAAUUACAUCCACUCACUGAGCCGCAAGCUCACUAUUUUUCUAUUUACCCACUUCCUCCCAGGUUUCUGCAGGAUUUCGUGCAGACCAAUUUCUAGUCAGUUGAGGUUGGGCCACGAGACACAUUGCUGAAUAACUUGCAUUUUGAGCACGUUUAUGUUGCUUAUGUUUAUAUAUGUGUAAUUUUUGUGUGAGUGUGUAUAGUGAGACAUGAACUAUGCAAGUUUUGAAUGUAUAUUUUCGGAUGAGACACAAAGUUUGUUAUAUGUUUAUAUCAGACCACGAGUUUUAGUUAUUAGUCCACAUGAUUCGCCUCAGAUCCGACAUAUAAGUCGGGGCGGGUCGUGUCAGUUUAUGUAGCAUUGACAGGCCUGUAUGGUGUCGCCAGUGCGGUGACGCCAUUGGCGUCAGUGCGAGUGAAUUUUGGGAGACCUCCGGCUCCGGUUCCAUUGACUUUGCAUUAAAUUUGGUAAUUAUAUUUUUUAAUAUAAAGUGUUAAAAUAUUCCAUCUAGCGGAAAAUAGAAAACAAAUUGCGAAUGAAAUUAGAAUCCAAAUUUCAUUGCUAUCAUUUGAUAUAGAGGCAUUUCAAGUAAACUUUGGUCAUUUUUCAUUACCCAUGAGAGUGAGAACAGAGAACUCGAGUUAUCAUAUUGAAAAAUGCUAAAGAGAGUUGACAGAAUUUAAAUGCUUACAAAACAAUAAUUAAUUAAUCGGUGUUAGUUUAUCGUGUUUGCAGCUAUAUUUUAUUGGAAACCUUAAAAAAGAAAUGGAAUCUUUCAGUUCAUAAUGUAUUAUUAUAUUUAUUCCACUCUUGUUUAUGACAAUUUGCAUCUGAGCCAGCUGGAAUGCUAUAGACUGAAAAAAUUAACAAUGUUUUCUGAGGAUGACUGACCAAGUCAAAGUCUUUGAGGCGCACAAUUAAUCUAACCGGGGCGAGCAGAAAUUACUGUAUUUAUAAAAUUUUGAUUCACUAGUUUCAAGUGAAAGAAAUAUUAAAAUAUAUAUCAUUCGCCUAAGAUGAGGGAGCCUCUAACGAUUAUUAAAUCAUUUUAAGCAUUUAUGUAUGACUAUUACAUUUAAUUAAUUGUAUUGCAUAAUUUGCAUAGGCUCCUCCACUUUGAGGCAGUUACUUGGGUUCAAAUUUGCAGUUGCAGAGCACCAAAGUUUGCUUUUUCGAUCUACUUGGAUUUUUCUUUGUUGAUCAUGUAAGUUAUACAUACAGCACUGCAAAAUGCCUCUACAAUAUUGCCAGUUUUCGUAUAACAUGUCCUUAGGAGGACUCUGUGUACAUAAAUAUGUUGUUCGGUUAAUGUCGGUCUCGUUUAAUUGUAAUUCACUGUAGAUCCAAAAUUGUAAACUAUUGUUUCUUUAGCCUGAACUUGUGAACCAACUGAUUUGAUCAUCAGGUCUCAAGACUUGGAAGCAGAGGAAGAUCUUAAAAGAAGGCUUCUGCACGGAGAAGGUAGGCCCAGUGAUGGAAAAAACUCAUCAGUUGUGUCCGUAACCGGAAGAUCCGGAACGCAAGCAGUAAAGACAAGUUUUCUUCAGCUGGAAAAGAUGAGAAAUUAUGCAGCAAAUUACAGAAUCGAUUUACCAUGGUAUGUGAUUUCAAUAUUAUGGGAUCCUUUGUACUUCUACACUCUGGUGAUCAAUGAUGAAAAGCAGUGCAUUGAAAUGGACUUUUCUUUGGCUUCCUUGGUGAUUGAACUCCGCUUCUACUUUGAUUUGGCCAAGUUGAUCCACAGUUCGUUUGUGAUUUGUGUUGAAUAUUUUGAAAAUAGAAAGAUAAGCGUGUGGCUGAUGUUCGCAUGGCUCAUUGACUUUGUGUCCAGUAUAAUAUUUACCCAGGUGCGUAAUAGAUCUGAAUUUAAUUUAUUUAGUUGUCUAAUAUUUCAAUAUCAUUUAUUUGAUUACCACUACUUCAAAUUCAUAAAACAACAUCCAGAUGGUGGUGGGAAUAACGGACAUUCUGUACUCGAGGAAUUUCUUUCUGUUUCAAUAUUUGCUGAAGGUUAUUCGAACCUACCACCUGCUUACAGAAGCAACAGGGUUUCAGGGAUAUUUGGUGAAUCUAGAUGGGCCAUUGUUGCGUUCAAUGUUCUUCUUUACAUGCACGGCAGUUACGUAAGUCAAAAGUACUAUCAUUUAUGUAAGUCAAUUUAUAAUAAAACCCUUCUCAGGCAAAAAGAAAAAUUAUAAUAGAACCAGUACAUAUCUGUGUUCACAUUCAUGCAUCCUGCUUUCUUCCUUCCUAAUUUUGAUAAAUGAAUUCUUUUAGUCCUUAAGAUUCGAGUUAAUUAUUCAGUUACUACUGUCGCAUAUAUUGUCAGACAGAAGUAAUGACAGAGACAUUUUUGUGUAAUUCUUAAAAAUAUGGAGAUUAACUGAAUAAUUAACCCAAGCACUCGUGAAUGAAGGGAAAUUGACACUCGAAGCUUUUCUACUUUCUCAACCGCGCAUGUUUCUAAUCGAGUGGUCCUUUAGGUAUUUGGUGCCUUGUGGUACUUUUUUGCCAUAAACAAAGCGACCGCAUGCUGGAUGGAUACCUGCAUGAAGAAUACUGGUUGCUGGGGCGUCUUAAACAUUGAUGCCUAUUGUGAGGGCCGUUCAGGAGACUAUAAGUUUCUAAACGAUGUUUGAUCUGUAAAGACGGGAAACUCAACAAACAAUUUUUAUGGCUUAUAUGGUGAUGCUUUUCAGUUAGGAAUUGUGGGGUUGACCGAUGUUCCAAUGAAAAUCUUGCAUUGUUUACUAUGGGGACUGCAAAAUCUCAGGUUUGUGCCUUCCAUUGUCGUUACUGUGUGAUGUGAGGUCAGCCGUUAAUAACUUCGAAAAUUGUGAGUUCAUUGAAUUGCUUUUUGCAGUGCUUUUGGUCAGAGCCUCCAACCAAGUAACGAUUUCUGGGAAAUUAUCUUCGCAAUUUGCAUGACCAACUAUGGCAUCGUUCUGUUUGUCUUCUUAAUUGGAAAGAUGCAGGUUCACAUAUAUAAAUUCUAUAUCGUAAUUGUUAUGACAUAUGAUGAUAUAAUAAAUUAUCAUGUGUUAAUUAAUGACCGGCAUCUUACCAUCUCGCUGUUACAUAAAGAAAUAUUUUAGGGCUGUGAGAAUGCCAUGUCAAUUAGAAUUAAUACAAAUUUUGUAUCCCAAUUCCUUAUAAAAUUAGCGUUACUCAUAAUUUUCUGUUUACGUCUAUAGAUUUGAAGAUUGAUGCACAAUUCAAUUAUUGACUCUGUUUCAUUUGAAAUAUCGGAUACAUAAAUAUAUAUGCAGUCUGACACAGAAAGAUCACAAAAGAUCAAACAGAUGUGGGAGGAGAUAAAGCAAUGGCAGCACUUUAAGGAUAUAUCUAAUAAAGUUCAAGAUCAAAUAAGGAAAGACAAGCGCAACAACUGGGAAGAAACCAAAGGAGUUGACAUAGAUAAUUUGGUGAAUAAUCUCCCUAAGGACACUGGAAAAAAAAUAAAACGCGAUCUCGGCCGAAAGCUGCUCAAGAAUGUGAGUUCUCAUCAUCCCUCUUUAUAAUUAUAAUAAUUGAUCACUUUUCUAUCCUGCCCGCUCUGAAGUUCAAAUGUUUCAAUGUUUCAAUCAUUUUCAUUCUUAACCUGAUCGGGCGAGCCAAAUUAAUCCUUCGUUACAUUAAAAUUACAGAUUCGUCUUAUUUUUUUCCCUCUUUGAUUGGUACUCCUUCUGAAUCCAAGCAUCGAACCUAAGUCAUACCUCAUUGAAUUUCAUGGGCUUAACUAACACAUGGUCAAAAGCUAGCUAGUUCGUAGUCAGGUUGAGAUUUGCCUCAAGGUUAAAUACUUUAUUCAUGAUUUACUCUUAGCUGACAUGCAAUGUUUUACAUACACAGAGAGAUAGAGAUAGUCAUUCUCAAAUGCACGCCCUCAUUUUUUUUAAUAUGAAUACUCUGUUAACAGAGUUAAUUUUCAAUAAAUUGUAAACCCAUAAUAUUAAAAAUUGACUUUAUUAAAUUGCAUAGUUUAAAUAUGUGUCCGUAAGAAAAAAAAAAAAAAGAAAGCACCCGCACUUAAGAAUUAUUAAUAUAUAAUAUGGACGCCCUCAUUUUUUUAACAAAGACUCUGCCUGUAUAGUCGUGAUUACUCUGUUUUCUGGAUGGGGCACUGUUUUAUUUCAAGGAGUGGGUGUUUUAAGCAAUCCUUGGAGUACUGUCAGAAUUUUUGUAGUUUGUCUCAGAGCUAAGUAGCUUUGUUUUUUGGGCUUUCCAGCAUUUGCAGCAAAAUUAUCCUUGGCCCAGCAGUCCAGUACUCCUCCACUCACAGCUUGCAUAUUGGCUGGCUGUUUCUUCUCCUUUAUUAUCAUUUUUAUUUGCCUCGACCUUACUUAGGUUUGAUCUAUAUUGAUAAUCUUGCUAAGGAUAUGAUAUGACUAGGUGUGGUUUAAGUAUAAGUGAAUAAGACAGUCACCUAAGACCCUAUUGUGAGAAGGCCUCAUUUUUUGAGUAUUUAAUCAAUAAUUCUUUAACUAAUAAAUAUUUUUUUAAAUUACGUAUUAUAGAAAAGUCUAUUAGACAUCUUUUUAAUUAAUAAUUAUCACAUAAUUAAGAUUUAUUUAUUUUAAUAGAAAAUCUAUAUUUGGUAACCUUAUUGUUAAAGAGAUAUAAUUAAUAAUAUUGUCUAACCAUUAAUUCAUUUAUUAUUAGUUUUGCAAGAAAAAUAAAUAAAUUCUUUUCCUUUUUAGUUUCUAAAAAAAAAAACUUAAUUAUUUAAUGUUAGAAUCUUUGACUUUGAGUAUUCCUUUUAAUUUCUAUUAAAAACCUUAUAAUCUAAAAAAUUAUAGAUGAAAAAGUUUCUGGCUCUCUUCUCUACAAAGAAAAUUAUUGUAUGCGUUAGUUCAUUUAAAAAGAAAAAAUAAGUUUCCUGAAAUAGAAUGUUCAUAUCCAUUAUGUGAUCUUUAAUUCACCAUCUCAAUCGUCUAUAUACUAUUCUAAAUAUUCUAUUUGAAAAUAAUAUUGUUCUUAUUUACUUGUUUGUUAAAUUCUAAUGGAAGUAAACUUUUACGUUCUAUUUUUGAAAUAAUUUAGGAUGUUCUUGAUUAUUGUUGAAAUUUAAAAACUAAAGAUGAAAUGGUUUUGAGCUCUUUUAUUAUUAUUAUUUUUUCAGUAUUGAAGUUGCUAAAUAAAAAGAGACCUCUUAAAAAUGUUCACCUAAGGCCUUAGAUAUUCUAAAGCCAGCCUUGGUUCUGAUCCACUUGAGAAUGAUUAAUAUAUAAUAUGGACGCCCUCAUUUUUUUAAUAAGAAUAUGCUCUUAAACCGUGCAGUUUAAGAGAGUUAAAAACUAUAUGCUCUUAAACUGUGCAGUUUAAGAGAGUUAAAAUCUAACUCUCUUAAACCUCAUGAUUUAAAAGCGUUUUUGUAUGAAAAAAAUGAGUGCGCUCACACUAGAGAAGAACUCUUGGGUGUGUGUGUGUAUAACUUUUUAUAAAUGUAUUUUUAAGGUCACAUGACGAGGUGGGCUUUCAUUCUUAUAGCUAAUCUUUGUUAUCUCGAUUUACCCAUGUAAUGGUUGGAUAUAUUUAUACUCUAAUUCUCAUUCUUGGAUAUGUGUAAAUAUAUAUGAAGGUAAAAGAGUUUCAAAAUUGGAGCGAAACAUCAUUAGAGGAACUAUGUGAUUGUCUGAAGCCAGUGUUCUUUAUUGAACGUACUCGAAUAAUUCGAGUAGGUGAUCCAAUUGAUGAGAUGCUCUUCGUGUUGAAUGGCAAGCUUUGGACUUACUCAUAUGACUUCAUGAAUGUAACAACAACUGCCUCUAUGUUGAUCCAUCGUCGUAGCCGGGAGAAUCUUCUAGAAGAUGGUGAUUUUUGCGGACAAGAACUUAUAGCUUGGUCUCAAAAUGAAAGCUCAUCACCCCACCUCCCUAUCUCAACCAGAACCAUUCAGGCGCUUACUAACGUUGAAGCUUUUACUCUUAUGGCCGACGACUUGAAACGUGUAUCAUUACUUCGACAUUUUGAUCGGGCAGCUCUUUUGUUACAAUCACGCUGGCGUUUCAAAAGGUUGUUGCGUGCUAGAAGGAAUCCAGAGAAACGAUCACGCCUGGAAUCACUAAUGUAUAAAUUUAUAUAGAGAUACAUAUAUACGUUUGUUGCAGCAUUAUAAUUAGUCCCGAUUAUGUAAAAGCAAGUACAGAAAGCCAUUUAAAUAUGGGAAACCAAGUAAAACGUAAAAAGGAUUAAAUAAAUGACACCAAUCCCCGGCAACGGCGCCAAAAUUUGAUGGUUGUCGAAGCCAACAAAAAUAAAUUCCUACUCUAAAUAAAUUGUGUAUAGUAAUUGAGCAGGGUCGUGUCCACAGAGAUCGGUAAUUAUUUAAAUCCUUUUGAAACGUAAAACGUAAAAUGGGGGAAUUGUUGACAAUAAUAAAAAUCAAAUUAAAAAUAACAAGAAUGCAAAUUAAAGUUGUAAUUCAAAUUGGAGAAAGCUCUGGUUGAAGGAAUUAACUCAGCUUGAUUCGACUACUGAUCAUUGAUUCAAAUAUAGAUUAUUAUUACUUAUGAAUAGACCGGUUAUAGCUAUUGAGACCCUCUAAUAGCCAAUCUCUCCUUAACUAGUCGAUAACCAAGGUACGACCGUUGGAUAUUUCCCUAAUCAAUAGACAACCCUAGAUACGAUCAUAGGAUUUAAUCAAUUGACAGCCUGAAAAACUAAAGAGACCCAAAUCCUAAUCAACACAUAUGAUAAUUCAUUUAAAUUAGAUUGUUUAUUCUCACAACACAACUCUCUGCUAUGUUAUUUGUCACAAACAUUAAAUUCUUCAUACGAUGAAUCCUUUAAUUGACAAUAGAUUAAGUUGAUAAUUAAAUAGUGGCCAAUUACCUAAUUAACAAACAUUAUCAUGAAACUAAUUCAGAGAAUAAACAAAUACCCAAAAAGUAAUAAAACAAUUAAAGCAUAAGAAAGAUCUCACAGUAGUGAUGAAUCAAAGCUUCAUUAACCUUCAACCAGAAAAAUAAGUUUAGUUCUUCAUAGAGAGAAGAGAAAAAUUAGAUCUAGGGUUUCUUUCUUUUUCUCCAAUCAAAAUCCCCCUUUUUCACAAUAGAUUCCUCCCUUAAAUACUUUCUCUCUCUUCUCUUUUAGAGUUCUAUUUAAAAUAAAAUACUAAUAUUUGAAAUAUUAAAUUCGUAAUUAAAAAAAUAGCCAAAAAUACAAAACACGUUAAACUAAAAACUACAGGUCCGCAGUUGACAGCACGCGCCCACGCCUUAUCAAAAAAGUUCUUCUGCCGCUCAUAAUUUCUCCAAGAGAACAAUCAUCCUUAAACAUCAUCUUAUAGCUCAAUUUUAUCACCAAUCAAUAGAAUUGCACAGGUCCGCAGUUGACAGCACGCGCCCACGCCUUAUCAAAAAAGUUCUUCUGCCGCUCAUAAUUUCUCCAAGAGAACAAUCAUCCUUAAACAUCAUCUUAUAGCUCAAUUUUAUCACCAAUCAAUAGAAUUGCACCUACAAUAGUAAAACACAAGUAAAUCAUCAUUAUUAAGUGCAAAACAUCGAUAUUAAGGGAAGUAAAUAAUGCAAAACUAGUGCAUAAAUUGCACUCUAACAAAUUCCCCCACACCAAGAUGAUGCUUGUCCUCAAGCAUAUAACUCAAGACUAAUCCAAAAUCUCCACUCAAUUCUCAUCUCAGCUCAUCCAAAAAUAAUUUUAAGCAAGCAUACCUCAAGAAAUUAAGUCGAUUAACAUUCGAGAGACAAAGAUUUUAAAGCAUAGAAUCUCAUAAGAUAGAAUAAGAACAUUCAACCACCAAGAAGAUCCAUUCAAAAUUCAAGUGCAACAAGAUUUAAUAGCCCUCUCAAUGACUUCACUCCAUGCACUCAAAGUGUUUAGGGUAUCAUUUAUGCACUCAAAUCAAAUCAAAGAAUGCUAUUACCAUAAGCUUGCUCAUAUAUCACAUCUCAAUCCACAAAACAUGAAUAAAAUGCAAAAAUCUAAGGGUCUUAAAAGGGUUGUAAUGGGGUUAAAUAGGUUAAAUGAAAAAGAAAGGUCUAUGAAAGAAAAAGAGAUCAAAAUGAGAAGAAUGAACUCAUUGAACGAACUUUAUGAUAUCGAAACGCUUAUUUCUACUCAAGUCACCAAGAAUGUAAACAUUUUUUUUUCUUCUUUUUCUCUUUUUUUUUUUGAUUUUUCUUUUUCUUUUUUUUUUCUUUUUCCUUUUUUUUUAUUUUUUUUUUUUGUUUUUUGUUUUUUGUUUUUGAAUCAAACAAAAGAAACGAACCUUGCACAAUUUAAUUCAAGCAUAAUGCUUGUUGAUCUAAUUGAGAAACUUUAAUACAAGGUAGAAAAAGCAACAAAAUAUAUCCACACAAUGAGUCCAAAAAUCUCCUUAAAUUGAGGCUCAAAAAGAAGAAAAAUGGUUAAGUAGACGGAGAGAAUUAGAUGGGUAAUGGUUAAGUAGACGGAGAGAAUUAGAUGGGUAAUGGUUAAGGCUCAAACAAAGGUAGCAAAUAAAGGUCUUCGGGUAGAGAAAAAGGAAAAUGCGAGAAUAGAAAAAUGGUAAAUGGUUUGCCUUUAUCAUUUUAAUGCAUAAAAUCCCGUAAUGUGGCUUCAACAUGCAUAACAAAGCAAGUUCUAGAAUAAACAAACUAGGAUUGAUAUUCACAUAACAAAAAUAAUUAGAGCAAAGUGGUUGCUCAUAGGCUCAAAUCCUCACAAAGUUGGUAAAUUUGCCAUCAAAUCAUGUACACUCUUCAAAUGAAUCAACCAUCAAUAGUGGUGUAGAAUGAGAAGAAGGUAUGAGUGAGAUAUAAAAGGAAAGGUAAAAAGGAUAAUAAGGGAGAAAGAUGUAUGUAUUAAAAAAAUGAAAGAUAAAAUGUGAGUGAUGAAAGAGUAUGAUAGAGAAAAAAAAAUAGAUGUAAAUAAUUUGAGAUAGAUGGGAAAAGAGUAGUGAGAGAGAAAGGAAAAGAAAAUUAAUAAUAUAUGAAGCAUACUAACUCCAAAAUCAUUUAAGGAUGAGUAGAGUGAAAAUAGAUGAGCAGAGUGAAAAUAAUAAUUCCAGACAUCAAUAAUGCAAAAAUCCCUCCCCCACACCAAGAACUUACAUUGUCCCCAAUGUAAGAUAAUCAAAACUCACAUAAAAAUUAAAUCGUAAGGAUAAAAGAUUAAAGGCAAAAACUUCCCUGAAUUGUGAGCUUUGAUCCUCAUAACGUCUAUGGGCUUGGCGGAAAUGGUGAGAUAGUUGCGCACAGGCUGCUCGGUGAAGGCUAGAGCGGCUGUUGCUGCCAAAAAAAUGUUUUUUUUUUUUUUUUUUUUUUUUUUUUUUUAGUGAUGAAUCACUUGAGACACUAAAACUUUCAGAAGUACUUUUCUAAUAAGCACGUAGGCACGCCUUAAAACCAUUUUACUUUAAAAAUCACAGAAGUACUUAUUAGUUAAGACGUGGGCACGCCUUAUCAAAAAUUUUCUUCUGACCAAAAUAAGCAAACACAUUAUUUAAAAAAAUAUGAAUCAAAAUUAAAAGAAGAUAUAACAAAAACCAAAAUAAAUAAAUCAUUUGGGUUGCCUCCCAAAAAGCGCCUUUGUUUUAUGUCUUUGGCUAGACACAUUUAUGCAUCAAUCUCCAUAAUUGGGACUCUCGAGAGCCACAUCCUCCACAAUAUUCACCAAAAAACCUUCAUAAAAAGGUUUUAAGCGAUGACCAUUAACCUUAAAAACUUUGUCAGAGGUCGGACUCCGAAUCUCAACUGCACCAUGAGGAAAAACAUUAGUAACAAUAAAAGGUCCAACCCAGCAAGAACGUAAUUUACCCGGAAAAAGUUUAAGCUUAGAAUGAAAAAGAAGAACUUUUUGACCAACAGAGAACUCAUUUCUCAAAAUCAUUCUAUCAUGACAUGUCUUCGUUUUUUCCUUGUAAAUAACUUCCUGCACUAUAGGGUUAAUAACAUCCACAGAAAAUACCGAAUGUUCCUCACUAGGAUAUUUCAUGGCAUCAUUCAUAUUGAAUUCUAUAACCUCUCCAUCAAACUCCAUAGUAAGAGUCUCUUUAUGUACAUCCAUUUUAGUCCUAGCAGUCUUAAGAAAAGGUCUUCCUAGCAAAAUUGGGACAGAAUUAGAGAAGUUAUCCUCUUCCAUAUCAAGUACAUAAAAAUCAGCAGGAAAAACCAACUCAUUAACUUGUACUAGGACAUCUUCUAAUACCCCAUCAGGAUAUGCAUUAGACCUAUCAGCUAGUUGAAUUAUCACGCCAGUUUCUUUUAAUGGACCAACAUUCAAAGAUGAAUAAAUGGAACGAGGCAUGACAUUAAUAGAAGCUCCUAGAUCUAACAUAGCCUUUUCAACUUUGACAUUACCAAUUUUGCAAGGGAUAGUAAACAUACCUGGAUCCUUGCACUUAGGAGGUAGUUUCUUUUGGAGAACUGCUGAAACAUUCUCCCCCAUAUGAACCUUUUCAUCUCCUCUUAAUUUUCUCUUAGAGGUGCAAGGUGGUGACUUUUUUGGAGAAGAACUUAUUGGUUGGGCUGAGAGUGAGCACUCUUCCAAUUUGCCUAGCUCAACCAGAACUAUUCAAGCGCUUAGUGAGGUUGAAGCCUUUGUUCUUAUGGCAGAUGACUUGAAACAUGUAUUCUUACUUAGACAUUGUGACCGGGCAGCUCUUUUGUUACAAUCACGCUGGCGUUUCAGAAAGCUUUUGCGUGAUAGGAGGGCUAAGCAAAAAUCAAUCUUGAGAAGAAUGCGGAAUUGCGCAGCAGUACUACAGACUAUAGAAUAACAAUUUGAGACUGGAUUUGAAAUUAUUAUUUGUAUGAAUACUACCAAAAUGAAAAUAGGUGGUAAAAGCUGAAAAAUUAAGGGGAAAAUUGUCGAUCUCCCUUGUUCGAUUAUGCAGUCAACAAGAUCAGAAACAGUAAUCGCCAAGUUCGAUUUGGAAAUCUUAUCCAACCAAUGGUACCUUUUUCUUUUUUCUUUUUUUCCCUGAAUCAAGGACUUCACGCUUCGUUGAUGGGGAUACCAUUCCUAAAAUUAAAAGAUAUUGACCAUUACUAUCUCAAACAACAAUUAAUUAUACAUUGCCAGCACGCAAAAAUGAGCGACAAACUUCUUCAUUAACUAAUCUAUUUGAACAACUGCAUUUCUAAGCAUAUAUAUGAUCAUUUCAGAUGAAAAUAGUUUAAAGUGGUUAUAGAAGAACCGGUAGAUCACAGUUGAGAGAGUGAAGCAGAUCAUCAGGGGGCAAUCUUAAGUGUGUCACGCGGGUAGAGUGAUGUUUUGCGAAUGUUGUUGAGAUCGCAGAAAAGCAUCACCACACUCUUCAAUCCCACUUCACAUCCACUAUGUCUCGAAAGGAAUCCAAUGAUAACAUAAAGCUAACAGUUUUUAGAGGACCACACUGUUUUUCUAUUUGCGUACAAAUGGACAGUGGUUUCAGAAUAACCUUAGCAUUGUCAAGUUUAACCAGAGAGCAUGGAAACCAAAGCUAGAUCAAAAUUCAAAACCACUAUGGAGGAUGUGCAUGGAUUAAUGUAAAAUACUAUAUUCAAUUUGAACGAUAAACACAGUACAAAUAAAAAUUAUUAGAUUCCAUCUUCUAUUCUAUAAUUUUUAAUUCUUGCACUUCUUUUUCUGGGAAUCAGAUUUUUCUGAUACAGAACGUGAACCAACAAAAGCCAAAUUUUAUGAUAUUUGAUAAAAGCAACUUCCAAAAUAUACCAUAACCAUACCCAAUUAUUUUUUGUAUAAUAAUAUUUAAGCUUUUAUAGACACAGAUCGAGCUGUUAUGCUCUCAGCAUAAUAGGCUUGCGGCACUUGAUCAAACGAGAAAAAUCAGGGUAACAAUACCUGAAAUAUUCAAAGAUAUUUUCUUUACAUCAAUGCCACCUGCCUGUGCACGCUCCACCAAGAACCCGGUGUUGUGCGCGGAAUGCGGAAUCAAGCGCACCAAAAAUUACUGAAAAAUAAAGGACACAAGAAUUUACGUGGUUCGGUAAUUAAACCUACAUCCACGGAGGCAAGAAAGAAUAAUUGUUUAUUUAACAAUUAAUAGAAUACAAUAUUUGAGUAACGAAUCUCACUUCCCAGAAACCCAAAUAUACCCAGUACUCUCACACUCUGCAGGAAAGAUAAAUUCCCCAGACACACUUCUCUCACUUCUCUCAAAAGUUUAGAAACUUAUAAGCUUAACAAUUUUGGGAUGAUUUCAAAUGAAUGAAAUCCUAAGCUAUUUAUAGGAAAAAUGUUGGCACUAUGCAAAGAAUAAAAUAAUUGAAAAUAUAAUAAAUAAUUAUUAUUAUUUUCAAUACAUCCCCUUUUUCCAUUCUUUCUUUUCGGCUAACAAAAACCAAAUUGGAUUUUGCUUCUCCAAAGCCUUCAUGCUAACAAUUGCAAAGUUGGCAUUUGCUUCUGACUUUUCAACAAUUCUCCACCUCGGCGAAAAUUUAUCCAAAUAUGAGCCGAUUGACAAUGAUCCGCCAAACUUCAUCCCUCACAUGAUCCUCAAAAGGAUCCACAUUGGCUGCAUCUAUCCGACUGCCUACGUACCCAAAAUUUGGGAUCAAGCCAACCGUAGUUCAAAACAUCCCCCACAUGAUCCUCAAAAGGAUCCACAUUGGCUGCAUCUAUCCGACUGCCUACGUACCCAAAAUUUGGGAUCAAGCCAACCGUAGUUCAUAAUUCCCGAAGGACAUAUCUUAACACAAUCGAAGGAUUUGAAUUAAUUUCAAGCAAUGUUGAAACUUAACUCCAAAAACUACCUUCGUCAACAUAUCUGAUGGAUUAUCUUUGGUAUCGAUCUUUCUCAACAACACAACACCGCUCUCGAUAAUCUCUCUCACAUAAUGAUAUUUCACAUCUAUGUGCUUCGUCCGAGCGUGAUAUAUUUGAUUCUUCGCAAGGAAUAUCGCACUUUGAUUAUCACAGAAGACCGCAAUGUUCUCCUGGAUUACUCCCAAAUCACCUAACAAGCCUUUCAACCAGAUAGCUUCCUUUACAGCUUCAGUUGCUGCCAUGUACUCUGCUUCCGUAGUGGACAGAGCAAUUGUCGAUUGCAAAAUUGACCUCCAGCUAACCGGACCUCCACCCAAUGUGAAUACGUAGCCCGUUGUUGAUCUUCGCUUGUCAAGGUCUCCAGCGAAAUCAGAAUCACAAUACCCAACACAUUGUUGACCACAAUCCUUCUUGAACAAUAACCCAACAUCAACUGUCCCAUACAGAUAUCGGAAAAUCCACUUUACCGCAAGCCAUUGAUUUUUACCCGGAUUGUGCAUGUAUCUACUAACCAUGCUCACUGCUUGAGAUAUAUCGGGCCUUGUGCAUACCAUAGCAUACAUAAGACUACCCACAGCACUAGCAUAUGGAACACGAGCCAUGUAAUCGCGCUCCUCUUGAGAUCUAGGACAUGAAGAAGAGCUUAAUUUGAAAUGAGGAGCUAGAGGUGUACAUACCGGCUUAGUUUUGUUAUCCAUACCGAAUCUUUCUAGCACUUUCUUCAAAUAAGACUUUUGAGUCAACCAUACGCUCCCAUUCUUCUUGUCUCUAUGAAUCUCCAUCCCAAGUAUUCUUUGUGCAUCACCCAAGUCUUUCAUCUCGAACUCAGAAGUCAGCUGCUUCUUUAAUCUUUCGAUCUCAUCUCUAUUCUUCGAAGCUAUAAGCAUAUCGUCGACAUAGAGUAACAAAUAGAUGAAAGCUCCAUCUGGUAGUCUUCUAAAGUAAACACAAUGAUCGUGUUCACUUCUGGUGAAUUUCUGCCCUUGUAUAAAUUGAUCAAAUCUUUUGUACCACUGCCUUGGCGAUUGCUUCAGUCCGUACAAAGAUUUAAUCAACCUACACACAUGAUUCUCCUUUUCAGUAACUCUGAAACCACAAGGCUGAAUCAUAUAGAUUUCCUCCUCCAAAUCUCCAUGUAAGAACGCCGUCUUAACAUCCAACUGAGCCAACUCUAACUCAUAUUCUGCAACUAAGGCAAGUAGGAUACGAAUGGAAGUAUGUUUUACAACUGGAGAGAAAACUUCAUUGUAGUCAAUACUUUCCUUUUGAGCAAAACCUUUUGCCACGAGCCUUGCCUUGUAUCGAGGAGUUGUUUGAUUUGGAGAUCCUUGCUUUUUUGUGUAGACCCAUUUAUUGCCAAUAGCCCUUUUCCCCUUUGGUAAAUUUACAAGUUCCCAAGUCUGGUUUUGAUGGAGAGAUUUCAUCUCUUCCUCCAUGGCUAGCUUCCACUGAUCACUUUCAUUGCUGCGUAAUGCUUCACCGAAAGUAUUGGGGAUGUCAUCAUCAAUAACUGGAAGUGCAUAGGCUACCACCAUAUAUUUAGUAAGCCAUCCGGGUUUCUUUAUCUCUCUUAUUGGCCUCCUUGUUGCUAUAAAAUCAUCAUCAUCUACAUCAUCAAUUGUUUCUUCAUUUUGUGGGACGUCAGAAGAAACAACCUUUUCUUCAACUUUAGGUGUCACCUCCAUAGUUGAACCAUUCUUUGAUGUAGAACUAACUGGUACAUAUGGAGUUGCAUCAAACUCCACCCGCUGCAAUACCUCUGUGGUCUUGUUCUCCACCUGCUGAGAACUUGAAGCUUUUAUCAUUGAAGCUUCAUCAAAUGUGACAUCUCUGCUACACACAAACUUUUUGUCUUCGAGAUCCCAAAGCUUGAAGCCCUUUACUCCACCUUUGAAUCCCACAAAGAUAGAUUUUCUAGCACGAGGAUCCAGUUUACCAUCUUUGACAUGAUAAUAAGCUGGACACCCGAAUACACGAAGGGAAUCAUAGUCUUGUGCAUGCUUUCCAGACCACAUUUCCAUAGGAGUUUUACCUCCAAUUGCAGCAGAAAGCAACCGAUUUACCAAGUGACUUGCGUAGCUCACAGUUUCAGCCCAAAACUUUUUAUCUAAACCAGCAUUAGAUAACAUACAUCGUACCUUCUCCAGUAAAGUACGAUUCAUACGCUCAGCCACACCGUUCUGUUGCGGAGUAUGUCUCACCGUGAAAUGUCUUUUAAUACCCUCGUUCUGGCAUACUUGCAAGAAUGGAUCAGAAGUAUAUUCACCCCCAUUAUUAGAUCGUAAUACUUUGAUCUUUCUGCCAGUUUGAGUCUCCACCAAUUUCUUCCACUUCACGAAAAUCUCUAGAACCUCAUCCUUUGCUCGCAUGGUGUACACCCAUACACGUCUAGAGAAAUCAUCAACAAAUAUAACAAAAUAAUGGCUUCCACCAAUUGAUGCAGUCUUGGUUGGUCCCCAUACAUCACUAUGAACAUAUUCAAGGAUCUCACGAGUAUCGUGAUUAGCUGUACCAAACUUGACCCUUGUUUUCUUGCCUACUACACAAUGCUCACAGAAAUUUAAUUUACAGGUUUUGGUACCUUUUAAGAGUCCAUGCCUCAUCAGAGUUUGCAAAGACUUCUCUCCUGCAUGUCCCAGUCGUACAUGCCAUAGCUUGGUGGUGUCACUGUGCGCCUCAACAACAUUUGCUUCAUCAGUUGUACCUCCCUUCAAAUAGUACAGAUUGUGACGCCGAACCUCUUGCAGAAUCACCAUAGCCCCAUGUGUAAACUUCAUUAUACCAUCUUCAAUGGUAACCUUGUAACCUUUAGCUUCCAAAACACCCACAGAAAUUAGAUUUUUCUUUAAAGCUGGAACAAAUCUAACCUCUUUGAGUUCUCUGACCAUUCCAUCAAACAUUUUGAGCCGAAUUAUUCAUAUCCCCAUUGUGCGACAAGGUUGAUCAUUCCCCAUCACAACUGCACCGGAUUCCAGAUUACGAAAAUCCGUAAACCAUUCCUUAAUAGGACACAAAUGAUAGGUUGCUCCAGUAUCAAGUAUCCACUCGCUCGAACUAGCCACGUAUGCUGCAGGAGUAAUACUUAGUGAAUAAUCAGAGCCCUCAUCUUUCCAUGCCAUGUUUGCUGCUGCUGGUUUCUUCCCAUCUCUCUUUUGAGCCUUUGGACAAUCUUUCCUCCAAUGGCCCUUUUCAUGACAAAAGGCACACUCGUCUCGAGCUAUAUUUCUGCUUCUCGAUUUGGAUCGAGAAUUCUUUCCACCACGCUUUUUCUUUUUCUCCAUCGCCCAAUCUCUGCUCACCAAAGCUUCAGACGAUGCUCGUUCAGAAUUUUUAUUAUUAUUCUGAAUCUCCAAAUUAGUCAAUGCUGUGCAAACAUCUUUGAAGAUGAUCACACUUUUUCCAUAUAUCAAGGUAGUCACAAAAUGGCUAUAUUCCUCUGGUAGUGAGUGUAACAAAAUCAUAGCCUUGACUUCAUCCUUAAUAUCUUCAUCAAGAUUCUUCAAAUCAGCAAGUAACUUUUCAAAUCUUGAAACAUGAUCGUGCAUUGACACCCCAGACUUCAUUCGAAAGCCAUAUACUUGGCUCAUUGCAUGAAGACGAUUUUCAGGACUUUUCACCAGGUACUUCUCUUCCAAUGUACGCCACAAAGUCACUGCACACUCCUCAUCUUUCACCAAGUAUUUCACCUCCUUGGUCAAACAAGAUCUGAUCUGACCACAGGCUUUCUCGUUCAUACGAUCCCAAAUUUCUUCAUCAUACAAGUGUCUUUUAUUUUUCAGGACAACAUCGAGAUCGAUUUGAAUAAGGGCAUCCAUAACUUCGCGCCUCCACAUGCCGAAGUUGAUUUUCCCAUCAAACUUUUCAACAUCGAUCUUCUGGCCUCCUAUAACAGGUGCUGAAUAGCGAUUUGACAAAUCUCGCCUCCCACCUGAAGUGUCUCCUGAAAUAGUCUCGGUAGAUCUCUCCCCAAUUCUGGAAGUUUCACCUUCUACCAUUUUUUCAACGAACUAUUUCCACUUGAAAAACAGCCUCUAUGAUGUUAAUUUCGCGUGAAUAAAUGCACCAGGAAAGUUCCCAGGAAACUGGACGGGAACUCGGUCCCAAUUAAAAACCAGAAUCCUUAGACUCUUAUCGCCUUUGUUGACAGAACUUUCCUAGACAUGCAAAAAUACACACUACUUACAAUAGACUGUCUCCCAAGUACAAAUGGCCGUCUCCACCGUAUUCGUGAACAGUACCGUAUGUGAACACUACCGUAUACGGGAAUAGUACCGUAUACGUGAACAGUACCGUAUCCCCCCAAGUACGAACCGUCGGCUCUGAUACCACUUGUUGUGCGCGGAAUGCGGAAUCAAGCGCACCAAAAAUUACUGAAAAAUAAAGGACACAAGAAUUUACGUGGUUCGGUAAUUAAACCUACAUCCACGGAGGCAAGAAAGAAUAAUUGUUUAUUUAACAAUUAAUAGAAUACAAUAUUUGAGUAACGAAUCUCACUUCCCAGAAACCCAAAUAUACCCAGUACUCUCACACUCUGCAGGAAAGAUAAAUUCCCCAGACACACUUCUCUCACUUCUCUCAAAAGCUUAGAAACUUAUAAGCUUAACAAUUUUGGGAUGAUUUCAAAUGAAUGAAAUCCUAAGCUAUUUAUAGGAAAAAUGUUGGCACUAUGCAAAGAAUAAAAUAAUUGAAAAUAUAAUAAAUAAUAAUUAUUAUUUUCAAUACAUCCCCUUUUUCCAUUCUUUCUUUUCGGCUAACAAAAACCAAAUUGGAUUUUGCUUCUCCAAAGCCUUCAUGCUAACAGUUGCAAAGUUGGCAUUUGCUUCUGACUUUUCAACACCCUGGCAUAUCAAUACGUUGAGCACCCGAAAUUAUCUCUUCACCUAAAGAGGAGGAAGAGAUGCUCAAAAAUCCGGUCAAAUGAACAAUCACAUGAUAUUUUCAUCCAACAAGUAUGAAUGUUUGCAAUGAAAAGAAAAAUGAAAACCCGACAGAAAAUUCUUCAACACAAGGAUUUUGAAUGUGGUUAUCAUUAUAAUUAAGCAGUCAACCUAAUACAACCUUCAACCAGAGGUGAAUUCAUUUACGCCAGUCACAUGACCACUCCUAUCAACACCACUGCAAAAAAAGCACAUCCUCUUCAUUAAUAAAUGAAGUUUUGUUCCUGCUUUACUUCACCAUUCAUUUUCAUCUCAUAAAAGAGCAAUUUAUUGGAAUGCAACAUACCUCGAUUAAACUGAAAGAGGAUUAAGAUAAUUUAAAAAAUGAAAACUGCGAGACAAUGCGAGUAGUAUCAUGAUAAACUUAACUCCAGACGGACAUCCAUUUUUUAAUCGUAAUUAAUGAAACAAAUGUAGAUCGAGAUUUCCCCAAAACAACACCACAAAUACAAGUAUAUGUGCAUCCAAAAUGAAGAAGAAAUGUUUCAGCUUCAUACAUUACCUCGAAUAAAGACAUCAAAUUAGUUUCUGUAAAGAGCAUUGUCAGGAGGGGGCGCCAAACAGCCCAAGGAUAACGAUGGAGUAUAUAAAAUUCGGCGCCAUACCUGCAAUAGGAAGCAACAAUCAGGCACGUAUUGAUGAUAUACAUAGAAAUUUAGGCUUAAAAAUGAGAAAACACUUGUCAUGAGCUAAGAGCAAUGAGGCUCUUAAUUGUUUCAAAAUUUGAAACUAAUAAUAGAUGUAUGUUAUACAAACAAAUUCAUACUUCAAUACUUGUAACAAAAAUCAAGUCAGUAAAUAUGGAACCUACUUAUCUUCGUUCCAUAGGUUUGGUUGUCUUUUUUUUUUUUAAUUAAUGUUCAGAAUCGAUUAAAAAGUUUUUUAAUUCGAGUUCUUGCUAAUUUCAUUUUUUGAUUCCAUUGUGAAAUUCAAUUUUCUUAUUUAAUUUUAUUCCGAUCCUAUCUACCCAUUCGAAUUUUGGUUGCUUAAUUGUUCAGGAUGUUGGAGUUGAGAAUGAUCCUCUUGAAGACUUGAAUACUGAGGCAGAGAGGAAUUUGAUCCAACUAUUUUCCUACGAUUCUUGGGAACAGUAGAUACUACUUUUAAAGUAUUCAACCUACUAAAUGAUUCCUCCACACUUCUGUUACCCUUAAAAAUCAUCUAAUUAUUUAUUCAUACACUAAUCUAAAUAAUGGCGUGAUAAAUCAGAAACCUUUCUUCAUGAAACAUGAACUGAGGGGAUGAAAGAAAUUAAGUUACCUUGAGCAUUUGAAUCCCUUUUCCGAAUGUAAGACAAAGAGUCUUUGCCUUGUACUGCAACAUUUAGAAAAUGCCACAAUCAGGUUCAAGAAUAGAGAAAAGCUGAGGUGAUAUAUAAUUUUCCAUAUUCCAAAUAUAUCUAAACUAUACAAGAACUUCAAAAAUUAUUAUGAUAAUAGAAUUUUACGAACAAUUCAAAAUAAAUAAUGACCUUCAGAGGUUCAAACGGACACUGAUUCGCCACAUAUUCAACUUCCUUUUUGCACCUCUCAUUCUGUUAGGAAAUUGAGUUUCCUCCCAAGAUCUCUCCAAGCAAUUUAUCAAGCAACAAAUUAAUAAGAAAAAUUAAAUAAAGAAUAUACCAACCACAUAACACAAGAUUUACGUGGAAAACUCCAAAUCCGGAGAAAAACCACGGCCGUUGUCAAAAAGACAACCAGAGAAAAAAUAUUCACUAUGUGGAAAAUUAUUACAACCACACUCUCAAAAAUAAUUUUCUCUCACCUAAGCCCCAAAUACACCCCAAAGAAAUACUCUCUGAAUGAAGAAAAGAAACCGAGGAUUAGAUGCAAAAACCAAAAAAUGGGGAGCUUCCUUUAUAUAGCCAAAAUUGGCUAUUAUUUUAUUAUUUUUACCACCGUCUUCAUUCUUCUAUUUUCUUCUUUCUUCUUUUUCUUCAUUCCAAAUUUGCUGCUGCCAAAUUCUUCUUCUUCUUCUUUGAACAACAUGGAUGCUGACCAUCUAGAUGGCUGCUUCAAACCAUCUAGAUGGCUGGCUGCUUUUGACAUUUCUCCCACUUGGAGAUUUGAUUGAGAAUCAAUCAAUCUCCACACUAACCUUAAUAUUUUCCUCACCAUAGAGAAUUAUCAUACCCCACCAUAAAAGAGUAUACCACUUAGAAUUAAUUACCAAUUCUAAGAAUUUUACAUCGGCUCAUGUCGAAAUAUCCUGCUGAAAUUUAUGGUGCAACUUCCAUGUUGGCCUUCCUGGAAGUUUGUCAGCCAUCGACAUAAAUUCCACCACACACCCUGCAUCAAUGCCAACCAUGCCUUGUGUGUAAAUCUUGUGGACCCGCUAGUAGUAACAUAUCUCCUUUCAUGGUACUAGCGAUAUACCAUGAGGAUGUCAUCAUCAUCCAUUUUACAAGGGAUCAUCGUCUCCCACGAUGAUGAGAGACUUACCACUAGCAAUACUAUCAGUAUCUGAUCUGGAGCCACUUGCCGAUCCUGCUCCAUUUCUACUAUGACAAUCUCUUUUUAAGUGCCCCAAUUGUCCACACCCCCAGCAAACUCCUUUCUUCUUAGAUUUAUCUUUCUGCCAAUUCCCUACAACUGCCAAAGCCGAGACAUCUGUAGUUUUAGUACUUUCACCACCCAGUCUCCUUUCUUCUGAGAGUAAAGUACUAGUAACUUCUUCAAGAUCUAUUGUCUCAUUCCCGUACAUCAAAGUAGGUAACAAGUGUUUGUAGGAAGUUGGAAGUGACCAUAGUAACCUAAGCGCCUUGUCCUCAUCUUCAAUUUUAACUCCAAUGGCUUCUAGUUCUGACACAAUACCAUUGAGAACACUGAGGUGAUCGGAAAUUUUUGUACCUUCAGCCAUUCGCAGUGUGUGAAAUCGCUCCUUCAGGUACAAUCGAUUUGAGAUGCUCUUUGUCUGAUACAACUUUUCUAGCUUCUCCCAAAGUUCUUUCGCUGUAGGAAUUUUUCCUACAUUUGCAAGAACAUUCUUUGCUAGACACAGUCGUAUGGCACUUGCAGCUCUAUCAUCUAAUUCUUCCCAAUCUUCAUCACUUAUACUAGUUUUUCCAGAGCCACUACUGGAAGCAGGGGAUGGCUUCCCCUUCAAUGCCUUGUGUAACCCAGAUUGAAUCAACACAUCUUUGACUUGAACUUGCCACAAGCCAAAGUUAAUUCUCCCAUCGAAUUUUUCUAUUUCAAAUUUCACCGGACUUGAAAAUUUCAAUCCUGACAUAUUUGCUUUGCAGAUAAGCUUUUACUCUUCACCACGGACUGUUUGGAUUGGCUCCCACUGCUUCACGUGAAUAGUACUGUAUACGUGAACAGUACCGUAUACGUGAACAGUACUGUAUACGUGAACAAUGCCCCAACACCAAAACUUCAAUCAAUGGCUCUGAUACCACUGUUAGGAAAUUGAGUUUCCUCCCAAGAUCUCUCCAAGCAAUUUAUCAAGCAACAAAUUAAUAAGAAAAAUUAAAUAAAGAAUAUACCAACCACAUAACACAAGAUUUACGUGGAAAACUCCAAAUCCGGAGAAAAACCACGGCCGUUGUCAAAAAGACAACCAGAGAAAAAAUAUUCACUAUGUGGAAAAUUAUUACAACCACACUCUCAAAAAUAAUUUUCUCUCACCUAAGCCCCAAAUACACCCCAAAGAAAUACUCUCUGAAUGAAGAAAAGAAACCGAGGAUUAGAUGCAAAAACCAAAAAAUGGGGAGCUUCCUUUAUAUAGCCAAAAUUGGCUAUUAUUUUAUUAUUUUUACCACCGUCUUCAUUCUUCUAUUUUCUUCUUUCUUCUUUUUCUUCAUUCCAAAUUUGCUGCUGCCAAAUUCUUCUUCUUCUUCUUUGAACAACAUGGAUGCUGACCAUCUAGAUGGCUGCUUCAAACCAUCUAGAUGGCUGGCUGCUUUUGACAUUUCUCCCACUUGGAGAUUUGAUUGAGAAUCAAUCAAUCUCCACACUAACCUUAAUAUUUUCCUCACCAUAGAGAAUUAUCAUACCCCACCAUAAAAGAGUAUACCACUUAGAAUUAAUUACCAAUUCUAAGAAUUUUACAUCGGCUCAUGUCGAAAUAUCCUGCUGAAAUUUAUGGUGCAACUUCCAUGUUGGCCUUCCUGGAAGUUUGUCAGCCAUCGACAUAAAUUCCACCACACACCCUGCAUCAAUGCCAACCAUGCCUUGUGUGUAAAUCUUGUGGACCCGCUAGUAGUAACAUAUCUCCUUUCAUGGUACUAGCGAUAUACCAUGAGGAUGUCAUCAUCAUCCAUUUUACAAGGGAUCAUCGUCUCCCACGAUGAUGAGAGACUUACCACUAGCAAUACUAUCAGUAUCUGAUCUGGAGCCACUUGCCGAUCCUGCUCCAUUUCUACUAUGACAAUCUCUUUUUAAGUGCCCCAAUUGUCCACACCCCCAGCAAACUCCUUUCUUCUUAGAUUUAUCUUUCUGCCAAUUCCCUACAACUGCCAAAGCCGAGACAUCUGUAGUUUUAGUACUUUCACCACCCAGUCUCCUUUCUUCUGAGAGUAAAGUACUAGUAACUUCUUCAAGAUCUAUUGUCUCAUUCCCGUACAUCAAAGUAGGUAACAAGUGUUUGUAGGAAGUUGGAAGUGACCAUAGUAACCUAAGCGCCUUGUCCUCAUCUUCAAUUUUAACUCCAAUGGCUUCUAGUUCUGACACAAUACCAUUGAGAACACUGAGGUGAUCGGAAAUUUUUGUACCUUCAGCCAUUCGCAGUGUGUGAAAUCGCUCCUUCAGGUACAAUCGAUUUGAGAUGCUCUUUGUCUGAUACAACUUUUCUAGCUUCUCCCAAAGUUCUUUCGCUGUAGGAAUUUUUCCUACAUUUGCAAGAACAUUCUUUGCUAGACACAGUCGUAUGGCACUUGCAGCUCUAUCAUCUAAUUCUUCCCAAUCUUCAUCACUUAUACUAGUUUUUCCAGAGCCACUACUGGAAGCAGGGGAUGGCUUCCCCUUCAAUGCCUUGUGUAACCCAGAUUGAAUCAACACAUCUUUGACUUGAACUUGCCACAAGCCAAAGUUAAUUCUCCCAUCGAAUUUUUCUAUUUCAAAUUUCACCGGACUUGAAAAUUUCAAUCCUGACAUAUUUGCUUUGCAGAUAAGCUUUUACUCUUCACCACGGACUGUUUGGAUUGGCUCCCACUGCUUCACGUGAAUAGUACUGUAUACGUGAACAGUACCGUAUACGUGAACAGUACUGUAUACGUGAACAAUGCCCCAACACCAAAACUUCAAUCAAUGGCUCUGAUACCACUGUUAGGAAAUUGAGUUUCCUCCCAAGAUCUCUCCAAGCAAUUUAUCAAGCAACAAAUUAAUAAGAAAAAUUAAAUAAAGAAUAUACCAACCACAUAACACAAGAUUUACGUGGAAAACUCCAAAUCCGGAGAAAAACCACGGCCGUUGUCAAAAAGACAACCAGAGAAAAAAUAUUCACUAUGUGGAAAAUUAUUACAACCACACUCUCAAAAAUAAUUUUCUCUCACCUAAGCCCCAAAUACACCCCAAAGAAAUACUCUCUGAAUGAAGAAAAGAAACCGAGGAUUAGAUGCAAAAACCAAAAAAUGGGGAGCUUCCUUUAUAUAGCCAAAAUUGGCUAUUAUUUUAUUAUUUUUACCACCGUCUUCAUUCUUCUAUUUUCUUCUUUCUUCUUUUUCUUCAUUCCAAAUUUGCUGCUGCCAAAUUCUUCUUCUUCUUCUUUGAACAACAUGGAUGCUGACCAUCUAGAUGGCUGCUUCAAACCAUCUAGAUGGCUGGCUGCUUUUGACAUUUCUCCCACUUGGAGAUUUGAUUGAGAAUCAAUCAAUCUCCACACUAACCUUAAUAUUUUCCUCACCAUAGAGAAUUAUCAUACCCCACCAUAAAAGAGUAUACCACUUAGAAUUAAUUACCAAUUCUAAGAAUUUUACAUCGGCUCAUGUCGAAAUAUCCUGCUGAAAUUUAUGGUGCAACUUCCAUGUUGGCCUUCCUGGAAGUUUGUCAGCCAUCGACAUAAAUUCCACCACACACCCUGCAUCAAUGCCAACCAUGCCUUGUGUGUAAAUCUUGUGGACCCGCUAGUAGUAACAUAUCUCCUUUCAUGGUACUAGCGAUAUACCAUGAGGAUGUCAUCAUCAUCCAUUUUACAAGGGAUCAUCGUCUCCCACGAUGAUGAGAGACUUACCACUAGCAAUACUAUCAGUAUCUGAUCUGGAGCCACUUGCCGAUCCUGCUCCAUUUCUACUAUGACAAUCUCUUUUUAAGUGCCCCAAUUGUCCACACCCCCAGCAAACUCCUUUCUUCUUAGAUUUAUCUUUCUGCCAAUUCCCUACAACUGCCAAAGCCGAGACAUCUGUAGUUUUAGUACUUUCACCACCCAGUCUCCUUUCUUCUGAGAGUAAAGUACUAGUAACUUCUUCAAGAUCUAUUGUCUCAUUCCCGUACAUCAAAGUAGGUAACAAGUGUUUGUAGGAAGUUGGAAGUGACCAUAGUAACCUAAGCGCCUUGUCCUCAUCUUCAAUUUUAACUCCAAUGGCUUCUAGUUCUGACACAAUACCAUUGAGAACACUGAGGUGAUCGGAAAUUUUUGUACCUUCAGCCAUUCGCAGUGUGUGAAAUCGCUCCUUCAGGUACAAUCGAUUUGAGAUGCUCUUUGUCUGAUACAACUUUUCUAGCUUCUCCCAAAGUUCUUUCGCUGUAGGAAUUUUUCCUACAUUUGCAAGAACAUUCUUUGCUAGACACAGUCGUAUGGCACUUGCAGCUCUAUCAUCUAAUUCUUCCCAAUCUUCAUCACUUAUACUAGUUUUUCCAGAGCCACUACUGGAAGCAGGGGAUGGCUUCCCCUUCAAUGCCUUGUGUAACCCAGAUUGAAUCAACACAUCUUUGACUUGAACUUGCCACAAGCCAAAGUUAAUUCUCCCAUCGAAUUUUUCUAUUUCAAAUUUCACCGGACUUGAAAAUUUCAAUCCUGACAUAUUUGCUUUGCAGAUAAGCUUUUACUCUUCACCACGGACUGUUUGGAUUGGCUCCCACUGCUUCACGUGAAUAGUACUGUAUACGUGAACAGUACCGUAUACGUGAACAGUACUGUAUACGUGAACAAUGCCCCAACACCAAAACUUCAAUCAAUGGCUCUGAUACCACUGUUAGGAAAUUGAGUUUCCUCCCAAGAUCUCUCCAAGCAAUUUAUCAAGCAACAAAUUAAUAAGAAAAAUUAAAUAAAGAAUAUACCAACCACAUAACACAAGAUUUACGUGGAAAACUCCAAAUCCGGAGAAAAACCACGGCCGUUGUCAAAAAGACAACCAGAGAAAAAAUAUUCACUAUGUGGAAAAUUAUUACAACCACACUCUCAAAAAUAAUUUUCUCUCACCUAAGCCCCAAAUACACCCCAAAGAAAUACUCUCUGAAUGAAGAAAAGAAACCGAGGAUUAGAUGCAAAAACCAAAAAAUGGGGAGCUUCCUUUAUAUAGCCAAAAUUGGCUAUUGUUUUAUUAUUUUUACCACCGUCUUCAUUCUUCUAUUUUCUUCUUUCUUCUUUUUCUUCAUUCCAAAUUUACUGCUGCCAAAUUCUUCUUCUUCUUCUUUGAACAACAUGGAUGCUGACCAUCUAGAUGGCUGCUUCAAACCAUCUAGAUGGCUGGCUGCUUUUGACACAUUCAAAUCAUCAAAAAUUGUGACAAAUAAGCGGUCCACAAUAUCCAUCACCUGUAUUCAGGUGUCAUUGAAAAAUUAACCAAUAAACCCCUCCAGCUAUACCUCCGAAUAAUGCUUCUUAAUCUCCAUUUCAACAUCAAGACCGGUAAAUUAACUCACACAAAUGCCUAUGAGUGUACGAGUCCUCUGGUCUAAAAACAGAACCGGUCUCAAAAACCCGCCCAAAAUCACCGCAUAUCGAUAUUUGCUUGUGACCUUCACUUGAACCAGCUAUCAGUUUUGGCAUGUGGAUCUCAACAAAAUCCUCAGAAAACAAGAAUUGUCUGAAUAUCUGUACAUUGAUGCAAUCAUUAAGGACCAACUCAAGGCCUUACUCAUAUUCCAAUCCAAGCUGGUUAAUGGGUUAAGGUUACUUAAACAUUUUAUAUUUUUGUCUAUUCUAAGAUAAUGUUGAAUAUUAUAUAUAUAAGAAAUUUUUUGUCUAUUCUUAGACAAAUUCUUGGCGGGAAUUUAACAAACUUCAAGCCUAAUAACACUUUGCAUAACAACAUGACAGCUUGGCAGUUGACUAAGCACUCUGCUUACAUGGCAAUCUGACUCAGCAGUUUACAUAGCAAUUUGGCUCAACAUAUAUACUCUUAACAGAACCAAAUAAAUAUUAACACGCGUCUCGACGCAUACCUUGCAUAUCAUCACAUUUAUAUAUGUACGAUGAUAUCACCGCCACCUAAAUUUCUCAUUUAUUAUAUUUGAUUAUUUUCUUUUUUAUUUCAUUGAUUUUCUCGUAUAAAAGUAGAUUUACUACGAUUUACCAUUUUGUUGUUGUGCAAUGGUCACCCUUUUUGUUUGAGCUGCCUAUUGAUGUAUUGCUUUUAGAAAAACUCUCAGAAUAGCUUUACAUUAUACUUUUCUAAUUUGCAAUGAAUGCAUCCAGGAGUAUAGGAAAGAAAGAAAUAAAGGGGGAAAAAAAAAAAGAAAGAAAGAAAUACUCCCCGUGUAUCACCUAAACUAGUUUUAAAACUUCUUGAAUUGGACAAGAAUAAGUUGGCUGACAAGCUUUCCUAACUUCUCACAACUUUUAUUAUUGUUACCUUAUAUUUUCAUAAUCGUUAGAUUUUUAUACUUGAAUUGGUACCAAUCUCUCUUUUAUCAAAUUUAAACAGAGAUAAUUGAUUGAAUGAUUCAGUCUCCGUCGUCCAAAAGAAUUUUUCUUAUCUACAACGUUCUUAUUUGCUCAAACAGAUGGAAUCCAGAAAACUCAUCCAUUUGAUUCUCUUCAAUUGAAAACUCAUCACUUCCUGCAUGUAAGAGCAAUUUGAGUGCCAUAAAGCCUGUAGUGAAUCUACCUAUUUAGGGAAUAAUUUAAAUAGAAAAGUUAACAUGAAGCUCAUACCCUAAUAAAAAGCUACUCUUAAAAUAACAUGAAUCAAGAAACAGAGCAAAACAGAGUAGCUACUAAGAAGAACACCCAAAUUAACUCCUAAAAUUGACCAAACAUAACAAGCAUCAAAUCAAAGCAUUAAAGCACUAAUCAGAGACUUCACACUAAAUUGUUUUUUUUUAAAUAAUGGGAUUUCAAGAUUAUACUUAAAAAGACCUCUUUUUUUUUUUUGGGGAAGAGAAAAAUCAUCUGCAUGGUUGAAGGAUCAAAAGCUCAUGGAUGGAAUAAAAGAGAAAUUAAAGUAAACAAUGUAACUAACCGGUUCCUUGAAGAAGUUGGUUAUCGACGGAGGCCCAGUGACUUUGUCGGAGUGGUGGCAUCGCUGGGUUAGGCCUGAGUGAAGAGUGAAUAUUGGGAGAUCUCUGGCUUCGGUUCUUUGACCUUACGUUAUUUUAUUUAUUCAUUAUUUUUUUUUCUAGUAUAUGCAGAUGCUCCGCUCACUUUAAACUCUGGUGGAUGCAGUGUGGCAACUGAAGUGAUCAGUUGCUGCCCAAGAUCACAAACCAAAUCUGCCAAGAUGCUUCCAAGAUCAAACUGAUUUGAAGCUUAAUUGAUAUGUGUAAAGAAUAUAUUUCAGAAUUGAAUUUCUUGCCCCCCUUCAUUCACAAACUCAUGCACGUAUAUAUACAGAUUACAUUCCUAUAAUUAAGGGGAUAAUAUUCCUACGUAUCCCUAUAGUCUAGCAGUUGUCAUUGUUUGUUUACAACUAAUAUUCCAAUACCCCCCCUCAAGUUGGAGCAUGCAAGUCUUGAAUGCCCAACUUGCGAAUGAAGAACUCAAACCGUUGUCUACCCAAUGCCUUCGUAAAUAUAUCAGCCAGUUGUGCAUGGGUCGAGACAUAAGCUGGUUGAAUGUUACCAAAGCGAACCUCAUCACGAACAAAAUGACAGUCUAUCUCAAUAUGUUUGGUCCGCUCAUGAAACACUGGAUUUGCUGCAAAGUGUAAGGCUGCCUGAUUGUCACAGUAUACCUUCAUUGGAUUUGGAUGCUCCACGCCAAGAGUCAAUAGUAGCUCUUUUAACCAUUUUAAUUCGCAAGUGGUUGCUGCCAUAGAUCGAUAUUCUGCCUCAGCCGACGACCGAGAGACAGUAUGUUGCUUCUUCGUCUUCCAAGAGACUGGUGAAUCGCCAAGUAGAAUGAACCAUCCAGUCAAAGAACAACGAGUUAAUGGACAACUUGCCCAAUCUGAGUCACACCAAGCUGAUAGUUGCAGGUCACAGUCUGAUCGUAGCAUUAUUCCUUGACCAGGAUUCCCUUUCAAGUAACGCACAAUGCGUAAAGCAGCCGCCCAAUGUUCUUCUCGUGGUUGUUGCAUGAAUUGUGCCAACACAUGCACACUGUAAGAUAACUCGGGACGUGUAACAGAGAGAUAAAUAAGUCGGCCCACCAAACGUCUGUAACUCUCAGGUUUAGAUAAGAAAACGCCAUCGGCCAAAGCCAAAUUAUGGUUGUGCUCUAGCGGGAAAGAUGCAGGUUUAGCUCCGAGUAGACCAACCUCAGAGAUAAUAUCCAGCGCAUAUUUACGUUGGCACAAGAAAAUUCCUGUAGGACUUCGGGCUACUUCGAUUCCGAGGAAAUAUUUCAACAUUCCUAAAUCCCUCAUAUGAAAACAUUUGCUCAAAUAUUCCUUGAAAACUUUAAUGGCUGCAUGAUCAUUACCUGUCACAACAAUGUCAUCAACAUAUACAAGGACAUUGAUUUGUACCUUGCCUUGGCUCAAAGUAAAAAGAGAGGAGUCCGAGUAUGAUUGUUCGAAACCAUAACUCUUCAGAGCAGUAACCAAUUUCGCAAACCAACAUCGGGGAGCUUGUCGUAAUCCAUACAAAGACUUCUUCAAAUGACAUACCUUCCCUGGGUUCUCUGAAUGAAAACCAGGAGGCAUACGCAUGUACACUUCUUCUUCCAAAUCGCCGUGUAAGAACGCGUUAUGCACGUCCAUUUGAUGAAGUUCCCAGUGCUUAGCAGCUGCCACUGCCAAAAGAGCUCGAACUGUAACCAUUUUUGCCACUGGAGCAAACGUCUCAUUGUAGUCAAUCCCUGCAACUUACUUGUUCCCGAGAAUUACCAAUCGAGCCUUAUAGCGCUCAAUGGUUCCAUCAGCAUUAUAUUUGAUCUUGUAUACCCAUUUACAAUUUAUAGCUCGUUUUCCUGGUGGUAAGGAUUCUACAGUCCAUGUCUCAUUAUCUUCCCGUGCUUGUAUCUCUUUCUUCAUUGCAUCUCUCCAUUUUUCAUCUUUGACCGCUUCAGUAAAAGAACUGGGCUCAACACCUGCAGUGACAGCUGCCAAGAAAGCACGAUGUCGCAAUGAAAACUUAUCAUAGUUCACAUAAUGUGUUAUCGGAUAAAGACUACCUGAGGAAUGCGUGUGGCCAGGUGAGCGUGCAGAGGGGCUCGAGGAGGAGCUCAACCGUUGUACUGUGUGUAAGACACAAUCUCGCAAUCUGGUGGAUUGUUGUCGUUGCCUGCAACCACGCCCUAGCACAAUUUCAGAUUGCUCAUCGUCCAUAGUCUCAUUGGCACCCCCCCUUGCUACAGAUAUUCCUUGAUCUUGUUCAACAUAUAUAGGUGUUUCAAUAGAUUGCCCAUAAUCUAUAUCCCUUAUACCUUCUUGAUCCUCUUGGUGUGGCAUCCUAGAGUGGUGCUCCAUGUCCAAGUUAUCACUCACAGCAGCUCCCUGCAUAAUUUCCUCUUCGGCAACCAAGCUAUCUAACUCAUUAUUUUUCGUUUUGCCUUGCUCACUAGUGCCUUUGUUCUCAUAAGGAAACACAUGUUCUUUGAAUACAACAUCCCUUGAGACAAAGAGCUCACCCGAGUUCAUAUCAUACAAGCUCCAACCUUUCUUUCCAUAAGGAUACCCAAUAAAAAUGCAUUUCCUACUUCGACUGGCAAAUUUAUCUCCUCCAUGCCUUUGAUUAUGAGCAUAAGCCAAACAUCCAAACACUCGGAUAUUUUUAUACGAAGGGGUUUCACCAAACAAUAUUUCAUAAGGUGUUUUCCCUUGUAACAAGUCGGAUGGAGUUCGAUUGAUUAAGUAUGCAGCUGUCAAUAUACACUCUCCCCAAAAUUCAAUGGGCAAAUUUGCUUGGAAACGCAAUGCCCGUGCUACAUUGAGUAUAUGACGAUGUUUCCGUUCUACUCUCCCAUUUUGUUGAGGGGUCCCAACGCACGAGGUUUGAUGUAUUACACCUUUCUCCACAAAAUAACCAUCCAAGCAGAUGAACUCAGUUCCAUUAUCACUACGCACUAUUUUCACAUGUCUAUUAAAUUGCCUAUGAACCAUAGCAAAGAAAUUCUGAAUCGUUCGUGCCACCUCGGUUUUAUUAUUUAAUAAAUAAAUCCACACUGCUCUAGAGUAAUCAUCAACAAUAGUAAAAAAAAUAGUAUGAACCGCAAAAAGUUGGAGUUCUAUAAGGACCCCAUAAAUCACAAUGAAUCUUCUAAAAAACAUUAGAUGCCUUAUUAUCACUUGAUACAAACUCUUCUCGACAAUGUUUUGCUCGGACACAGACUUCACAUUCAUCAGUGCACUUAUUAUUAUUUCUAUUAACGAUGGGCAACAACCUAAUGACCUUGUUGGAAGGAUGGCCCAACCUUCGAUGCCAAAGAUCUACUGAGUCGUUUUCUGCUACUUUCAUAACUUUGACUGAUGUUAAGCUCCGAAAGUAGUAGAGCCCCUCGCGCUGCUCACCCGCACCAAUCAGCAUCCUCGAAUUGUGGUCUUGUAUAACACAAAAUUUAUUAGUGAACUGGACUAUACAAUUCGACUCCUUAAUCAACUGUGCUACUGAAAUUAAGUUACACUUUAAAUUAGGCACAUAUAACACAUUAUUUAGUUUUAGAUGUUUAUCCAAAACUAUGGUUCCUUCUUUCUCCGCUAUUGUUUCCUUCCCAUCUGGUAGCCUAACAGGACAUGAGAGGAUUUUCUUCACAUCACUUAUUGACUUAAGGCUUCCUGUCAUAUGAUGAGAGGCCCCGCUAUCAAUUAUCCACUCCAUUAUUUUAUGCUUACCGUUCAAUCUUCCUUGAUUCCCUUCUUUUUGCCCAUUUAAUAUAUUAAGCAAUAAAUUCCAUUGUUCGUUGCUUAGUCCAUUCAAUCCACUUUGUCUCCUUCGACUCUUUGUUCUUGAGCCGUGCUUCCCUGUGUUGUUACCUGCGCUGCGUUGGCCCGAAUCUGUCCACCUCGUCAUCUUCCUCCAUAUGCAGCAGGCUGCUUCUGUCCUCUUUGUCCACGACCUGUUCCACGUCCACCUCCUCCUCGAUGUCUAUCUCCCCACCAAUCGGGGUACCCAAUUAGCUGGAAACAUGAUUCUGCGACGUGUCCUGUUCUCUUGCAAUUUAAGCAUAGCACGGUUUUGUCCUUGCUCUCAGUCCGUCCUUUCAAGCUUGUUGCUGUUUGAACUGCAAAAGCCAUGGCCUCGACUUGCUGUUCCUUCCCGCGGGUUAUACUACAAACUCGCUCUUCCUGGAUAAUCAUAGCAUAUGCUCGAUUCAAGGUUGGCAAUGGUUCAGUGCUCAAGAUAUUGGACCGCACCGUCCCAUAAGUUGAGUCAUCCAAGCCCAUCAAAAACUGAUGUAGCCUUUCCUCUUCACGUCUCUUAUCUAAUUCCGCACCGAUGUUGCAUGCGCAUCCUCCACAUCGGCAUGUCGGGUAUUGCUCAUAGUUUCCCAAUUCUUCCCAGAUCAUCUUUAAUUUGCCAUAGUAACUCAUAACAGUUAUGCCUGGCUGUUUACAUUCAGCCAACUCAGAUUUAAGUUGAUGAACAGGUGGUCCGUUUUCUGCCGAGAACCGUUCCUUGAUAUCAUCCCAAAGUUCCUUUGCAACUUCCCUGUAAGUUAUAGUUGAGCGCAACGUUGGUUCAAUUGUGUUCAAGAUCCAUGAUAUCAGCAUGGAGUUAACUGUCCACCAAUCUUCUUGUGUCAUAGAAUCAUCCGAAGGCUGUAUCACGGAACCAUCGAUGAAGCCAAAUUUUUUCUUGGCCCGCAACGCCGUUCUCAUUGCUCGUGCCCAUUCAUCAUAAUUGUCACCCUUCAAUUGAACUUGCGUGAUGAUGUUCCCUGGAUUGUCGUUGGCCGAGAGAAAAUACGGUGAUGUUGCGCUCUUCGACGGCCCAUCAUCGCUGCCGUUCCUAGCCAUAUUUGUGUGGCUCUGAUACCAAUACUUUCGGUGAAGCAUUACGCAGCAGUGAAAGUGAUCAAUGGAAGUUAGCCAUGGAGGAAGAGAUGAAAUCUCUCUAUCAAAACCAAACUUGGGAACUUGUAAAGUUACCAAAGGAGAAAAGUGCUAUUGGCAAUAAAUGGGUCUACACCAAAAAGUAAGGAUCUCCGAAUCAAACAACUCCUCGAUACAAGGCAAGGCUCGUGGCAAAAGGUUUUGCUCAAAAGGAAGGUAUUGACUACAAUGAAGUUUUCUCUCCAGUUGUAAAACAUACUUCCAUUCGUAUCCUACUUGCCUUAGUUGCAGAAUAUGAGUUAGAGUUGGCUCAGUUGGAUGUUAAGACGGCGUUCUUACAUGGAGAUUUGGAGGAGGAAAUCUAUAUGAUUCAGCCUUGUGGUUUCAGAGUUGCUGGAAAGGAGAAUCAUGUGUGUAGGUUGAUUAAAUCUUUGUACGGACUGAAGCAAUCGCCAAGGCAGUGGUACAAAAGAUUUGAUCAAUUUAUACAAGGGUAGAAUUCACCAGAAGUGAACACGAUCAUUGUGUUUACUUUAGAAGACUACCAGAUAGAGCUUUCAUCUAUUUGCUACUCUAUGUCGACGAUAUGCUUAUAGCUUCGAAAAAUAGAGAUGAGAUCGAAAGAUUAAAGAAGCAGCUGGCUUUUGAGUUUGAGAUGAAAGACUUGGGUGAUGCACAGAAAAUACUUGGGAUGGAGAUUUGUAGAGACAAGAAGAAUGGGAGCGUAUGGUUGACUCAAAAGUCUUAUUUGAAGAAAGUGCUAGAAAGAUUCGGUAUGGAUGACAAAACUAAAUCGGUAUGUACACCUCUAGCUCCUCAUUUCAAAUUAGGCUCUUCUUCAUGUCCUAAAUCUCAAGAGGAGCGCGAUUACAUGGCUCGUGUUCCAUAUGCUAGUGCUGUGGGUAGUCUUAUGUAUGCUAUGGUAUGUACAAGGCCUGAUAUAUCUCAAGCAGUAAGCAUGGUUAGUAGAUACAUGCACGAUCCGGGUAAAAGUCACUGGCUUGCAGUAAAGUGGAUUCUUCGAUAUCUGUAUGGGACAGUUGAUGUUGGGUUAUUGUUCAAGAAGGAUUGUGGUUAACAAUGUGUUGGGUAUUGUGAUUCUGAUUUCGCUGGAGACCUUGACAAGCGAAGAUCAACAACGGGCUACGUAUUCACAUUGGGUGGAGGCCCGGUUAGUUGGAGGUCAAUUUUACAAUCGACAAUUGCUCUGUCCACUACGGAAGCAGAGUACAUGGCAGCAACUGAAGCUGUAAAGGAAGCUAUCUGGUUGAAAGGCUUGUUAGGUGAUUUGGGAGUAAUCCAGGAGAACAUUACGGUCUUCUGUGAUAAUCAAAGUGCGAUAUUCCUUGCGAAGAAUCAAACAUAUCACGCUCGGACGAAACACAUAGAUGUGAAAUAUCAUUAUGUGAGAGAGAUUAUCGAGAGCGGUGUUGUGUUGUUGAGAAAGAUCGAUACCAAAGAUAAUCCAUCAGAUAUGUUGACGAAGGUAGUUUCUGGAGUUAAGUUUCAACAUUGCUUGAAAUUAAUUCAAAUCCUUCGAUUGUGUUAAAGAUAUGUCCUUCGGGAAUUUUGAACUACGGUUGGCUUGAUCCCAAAUUUUGGGUACGUAGGCAAUCGAAACGACACAGCCAUUCUGGAUCCUUAUUGAAGGAUCACUUUGGGGAUGAGGGUUCGUUGGUAGUCGGCUCAGAUUUGGACAAAUUUUCGCCGAGGUGGAGAAUUGUUGAAAAGUCAUGCACGUGACAUUGAAAUUCAAAAAUGAAUGCAAAAUUUCAAAUGGCUACCAAACAUUUGAAGAAAAAAUGGAAAGUUGGCAAAUUUGUCAAAUUUGCCAAAUGGACACCAUUGACUAUUGGCUUAGGUUAGGUGGAAUAGUAAAGGGGUUGGUGCAAUAGUGCCAUUAUUUUCCCUAUAAAUAGAUGGCACUUCUUCCAUUCUAUAUCAUCCCAAAAUUGUUAAGCUUAUAAGUUUCUAAGCUUUUGAGAGAAGUGAGAGAAGUCAGAAGUGUGUCUGAGGAAUUUAUCUUUCCUGCAGAGUGUGAGAGUACUGGGUAUAUUUGGGUUUCUGGGAAGUGAGAUUCGUUACUCAAAUAUUGUACUCUAUUAAUUGUUAAAUAAACAAUUAUUCUUUCUUGCCUCCGUGGAUGUAGGUUUAAUUACCGAACCACGUAAUUCUUGUGUCCUUUAUUUUUCUAUAAUUAUUUGGUGCGCUUGAUUCCUCAUUCCGCGUACAACAGCUAGCAGGUCAUGUAAGUUGAUAAAGCACCAUUCAUGUAAGUCUAUUUAUAUUGACUUAUAUGCACAAGCCUAUAAUACAAACAGCAUUAUUGUAAUACAAAUUUGUUUCGGAAUUCAUGGCCUAUAAUACGCCAUUUAUGUCCUAGACUUACUUGUCAACCUUGCAAAAUUUUUGUGCUUGGCAAUUGGUUUUGUUGAUGCCGAAAUCCGGAUGAAUUGGUUAGUGACUCGAUCUCAUAUUCCUGCAUCAACAUUAAAUUUAUUUGGUGGGAAGCUGUUGGUUGAUCUCUAAGAAAAUCCUCCGACUAUGAGCAGAACAUUCAUGAGCUGUUGAUCAGUGAGCACCGAGAGCAGAUAAUUGAUGAGCAGAUGACCAAUGAGCAGAUGAUCCAUGAGUAGAUAAUCCGCGAGCCUGCGAGCACAAAAAAUAGUCAGGGGGUGCCGGAAGUUUUUCCGACGUAAACCCUCUGACACUCAAGUCAGCGAUUUGGGUCUACUUGGAAAAACUCAUACCACAAUUCACAUGGUUUAACUAUGAUUGUUUUAAACAAAAAGAUUUUAAAAAAAUUUAAAGGAAAAUAAUUGAAAAUAAUCAAUCUUAAAGAAAUCAUAAGCGAAAGAGAAAUUUUCCAGUGGUAGAGAGAGAAAAAGAUUCAAUGGAUUCAGUCACCCAAAGGGACAGAAGAAAAAGAAUCCCCCAUUUUCCCAUGGGUUUUAUAAGAAAUUAUAGCGGUUUUUAUCCUCUUCCCUAGAAUUCUCAAGAAAAUUACUAAUUUUGAGCCCACUAAAAACAUGGUUUCUAAUAUUUCAAAGAACAUAAGUGAGAUUUGUUUUGACUGAGUCGUGUUUUCUAAUAACAUCUUGGUCGAGGUGAUGUGGUCAAGAUAACCAAAUAACAUCCUGAUCGAGGUGUUGCUCAUUUUUUACUUAGAGGAGAGCACAAUAAUGUAUAAACAAACAUUUUAUCUUGGUCACCUUAUUAUAUUCCCCAAACAGGUUUGUCGGUCCUCCAGGUAUUUGGAGCCUUAUGAUACCUUUUUGCCAUGGAAAAAGUUAGAGGAUGUCAGGAAGGAAGCCCGCAUAAUUAAUUGAGCUGGAUGCAAACACAGUUCGUUUUACUGUGAAGACAGAGUUUAGGAGACGACAGAAAAUUUCUAAAUGACUUGUGCGGCAUAAAUAAUUUUGGAUAAUGUAAUGAUGCUCUUGAGUCUGGCAUUGUGGAGGUGACUGAUUUUUCAAAGAAAUUGUUACAUUGUUUACAAUGGGGCCUGCAAAAUUUCAGGUUAAUUUGCUCAUACAACAAUAUAUUUUCCUUGCGUGUGUUGCAUAAUACGAUUAAUUCUUGCGUUACAGGUUCUUCAUUUUGGAAAAUUGAGUUAAAGAAGUAAUGCUAACAGUACAUUAUAUCUCUUUUAGAUAUUUAAUAACACUUAGGGGCAAAAAUUUUAACUGAUAGUUGUGUUAACGGCACAAUCAAUUUUUUUGAAUGUCAAAGGUAGUCAAGGGCUUGAGUGAUAAGUUUUUUCUACAGAGGAUGUAAGUGAGGAAUUUAUGAAACAUUUUGAUAAAAAGAAUUAUCUAGGAUAAGCAAUUGAGCAGAAUUCUUUUACAGUGCAUUUUUGCAAUUCACAUAACCAACGUAGGGGUGGUGCUGUUUGUGUUUUUAAUCGGCAAGAUGCAGUUUGACUCAGCAAGAUCACAGAAGAUAAGACAGAAGUGGAAGGAGAUGAAGCAGUGGCCAAAUUUUGAGUAUAUUUCUUCUGAUGUGCGGGGGGCAGUUAAGGAAAUACAAGCUAUACAAAUGGCAAGAAACCAAACGUGUUCGUGUUGAUAAUUUGGUGAAUGAUCUUCCUGACGAACUUGGCAACGAAAUGAAAUGUCUGCAUUAAAGUGCUCAAGAAUGUGACGUUGAACUAUUCAAUCACUCAGUGAGGUUGAAGCCAUUACUCUUAUGGCUGAUAACUUUAAACAUGUAUUAUCUACCAUUCACACAUUCCAAUCGGCCCGCUCUUUUGUUACAAUCAUACCGGCGUUUUGGGAAGCUUUUACUUUGAUAGAAGGAAGGCUAAACAAAGAAAAUAAACAAAGUGGGACAUGUAACAACGACACAAUACAAGAAAAUUUAACGGUACUUGUGACUAAAUCAUUGAUGACAAACUGUUUAUUCUUUAUAUUUACAUGUGAAACCGCAGAAAAGGGCCAAAAUUGUAGUUUGAAAUUUUACAAUUGAUUUUGUCGUCAAUUGAUGAGCUCAUAGCGACAUUAAUUUAUUGAAUGAUAAAAUAAUAAUUUUAUAUUCAGUAAACAUAUGAAAUAUUACUUAAAUUGAAAAUUUGAGAUCUUAAUACAUUGGAGUUACAUUGAGUUGGGAGACGAACUUUGACUCUGAAUGAGACAGCACUUAAUGUGUCAUUUAUUUAUUAAAUUUGUUAAUGGUAUGAUAUUAUCUCAUUACGCAGAAAUAUUAAAUUGCAAUGAGUCUAGUCAAUUGGGAAAACAUUUUUUGCGCGAGUAUCUCAAUUUCCAAUAUAAAAAUUACAAGACAAAAUUAAAAAGGAGAAUGAUACUUUAUACCUGUUUAGAAGCCAUUGGUUAUUUGGUCAUAUUCAAAACCUAUUUUAACCACGUAAGUCCAUGAUAAAAGUUACAAGAGAAAAAGAAGAAUGAUACUUUAUAGUUUAUACCUGUUUAGAAGCCAUUGGAUAUUUUGAUCAUAUUUGAUAAAAGUUACGGGACAAAAUUAAAAAGAAGAAUGAUACUUUAUACCUGUUUAGAAGCCAUUGGAUAUUUUGAUCAUAUUUGAUAAAAGUUACGGGACAAAAUUAAAAAGAAGAAUGAUACUUUAUACCUGUUUAGAAGCCAUUGGAUAUUUUUAUCAUAUUUGAUCAAAGUUACAAGACAAAAUUAAAAAGAAGAAUGAUACUUUAUACCUGUUUAGAAGCCAUCGGAUAUAUUGGUCAUAUUCAAAACCUGUUUUAACCACGUAUGUCCAUGAUAAAAGUUUAAAAUACCUUUUGUGGAAAGGAUAAGUAUGAUAUUUUUUAAUAAAUAAAUAAAUUUAUUUAGUCAAUAGAUUAGGUGAAUAAUUUAGUGAGUUUAAAUAAUUUCGAUUAAUUUAUACGCGAAGAGUGAAGCUAAUGGCACCCUUCAUUAUUUUUAUAAAUCUCCACUUUAAAUAAAAUUAUAUUUAAGGACAAAUAAGAAUUAAACACAUUUAAGAAUUUUCACAAUAAAUUACUUUCAUAAUCAAUUCUUUUUUUUUUUUGCAUUCAUAAUCAAUUCUUUUUUUUUAUUUUCUACUUGCCACUUCUCUCUAAUCAAAAUAAAUUACAAAAAUUUAUAAUAAUUUAUUUUUCUUUUCUUAUUUCUUAAUAAUUGAGUAUUUUUAUACCUAUUACUUUCAAAUUAUAAUUUAAAAUGUGUCAUAUCUAUAACAUAAUAAUGUUUUGAGUUUUAAUAAUAUACAAAUUCAAUUAAAAAACAAAAUAAUGUAUUUAAAAGGGAAAAAAGGACGUUUUUGAAAUUAAAUACAAAUAUUCCAAUUGUUACUGUGAAAAUGUGAUAUUUUCAGCACUAGAGCUACCACUUUAUUGCAUAUCCGACCCGAGAGGAACUGAUGUGGUCCAACAGUGCUCGGAUCGGAUCGGUUGCCGUCAUAAUCUGAUCACAUUUAGGUAACUUUUCAGUUUUGUCCAGGAGAAAGGCUAUCGAUUAUGUCUCCCUAAGAAACACGUCACAUAGAUGAUGUAAUCAGAUUUUAUCAUGCGUUUGUUCCCCUUCAAACGUCACAUAGAUGAUGUAAUCAAAUUUUAUCAUGCGUUUGUUCCUCUUAAAUCGAGUACUUGUCACAUCCUGAGUGUUUGUGAAUCUACAUUAUUUUUUAAGGGUAUGUUUAUAUUGGAACCGUUCUAAGAUAAAAUAUCUUUUAUAACUACAUAAUUAAAAUAUAUAUAUAUUAAUUUCAGAUUUAAAACAAAUGAAGUCUUUGUUUUUAUUUGCAAGACUUUUAUAACACAUUAAUAUGUAACACUUCAAAUUUCACGGUAGAUUAGAUACAAAUUUUUUAUCCUUAUACUAGACACGUGAAGAGUAGUAAGAAACAAGUUAAAAAACAAAAAAAACACACUCUGAUGUAGUUAUUUUUAUCUUAAAGUAUUAAAAUCUAUAUUUCUUUUAAUCUUUUAACUUGUUUUUUACGAUAUUAAAAUAAGAAAAUCCUUUGAAAAUAAGAAAAUCCUUACUAAAAGUAAAAGGGGACUUGCAUGUCAUGUGCACAGUGUACAAUAUGUUUCAAAUGUUACUUGAUAGAAAUUACUGAAAGCAUUGUAUCAUUGGAAAACUCUUGCUGCAUGCUACUAAUUUGACAGUUUAUCAAAUAUUUUUUGCUGCUUGCUACUUAUGAAUCACGUUUAGUCCCCUUUGAAUUGUGUGCAUCCACCAUCUGUUAAAUUUAUCUUUGAACCCAAGCACGUUCAAAUCCCCGAGUUGUAAAAUUUACAAGAUGCAAAAAUCUCGUAGAAACCUCAGCUGAUGAACUCUGUAAAGAAUAUCGUCAUUCAUUCAGCUAACCCGUUGAACCAAAAUGCAAAAUCAUCCUCAAUAAGUACAAGAAACAAAAACUUUACAGGAAUAACUUGUGAAACUUGAUAAAUUUCUGCGGAGACUACAACGUCAUUUCAAUUUGUGAGGUAAUUAUUUGAUGCCAUGAUGCUGACUGAAUCUCAUUAAAUUAAUGAACAUAAUACAACAAGUGGUACGAUAACUCCAAAUCAGCUAUCACAUUAUGUAACCACUCGGGCAGUAGCCCGAGUGGCCAGGGCUGCUGCCCUCCAACUUGGAGGGCAGCAGUUCGAACCCCCACAAAAGCAUUGUGGGGGUAUUUCCUUCUUCAAUUAAUUUGAGUGAAGGUAGUCUUCUCCCUUACCCAUGAGUGAGGAGUAGACAUCCCUCGAAUAUUUGUGAGGGUUAAAAUCUGGGCAGAGCUCCAUUAGCAUUGAUGUCAGUUGGUCCCAGUAAUAGUCUAAUUUGUAAAUAUCAGUAAUAGUCUCAUGUAUAUGAGUUGUAAUCUGAGCAAUAGUCUCAUGUAAUCAAAAAAAAAAAAAAAAAAAAAAAGCUAUCACAUUAUGUAUUUGAUUCAAAUAAGAGAACAAAAUUUGCAUUAUUGAUAGAUAUUAUAUUGUUUCUUGUAACUGUCUCUUGACAAAUCGCCCAUUAAUGCAGUCAUUUCACCAAGAUAGCAAGCUGAUAGAGAAAUCUGACAAUGCAAUGCAUGUCAUCCUCACACUUCAUUUUAAUCGAAAAUGGGUGAGCCAUUUUGUUCAACUUUCACCUCCGGAAGUCGAAAAGGACAUGAAUGCAAUUAUGCAAGUCCUUAUCAAAGAUGCAAUGAAUGACGCCUAAACUCCUAUAGAGCAGAGUUAAGCUAUUAAUCACUGCACCGAUACAUCAAAAAUUAAGUAUAUGGAUCAAAGACAUCUUCAUUCAAGAAUCUCGAAAUUUCAAAGCAAUGCUUGUCAUUUACAUAUCAAGCAAAGGGACCAAAGAUGGUGGUGCUCUAAUAUUUGGUAAUUAUUUGAUGCCAUGAUGCUGACUGAAUCUCAUUAAAUUAAUGAACAUAAUACAACAAGUGGUACGAUAACUCCAAAUCAGCUAUCACAUUAUGUAUUUGAUUCAAAUAAGAGAACAAAAUUUGCAUUAUUGAUAGGUAUUAUAUUGUUUCUUGAAACUGUCUCUUGACAAAUCGCCCAUUAAUGCAGUCAUUGCCGACAAAACAACUUUGUGAAAAAGUUCACCAAGAUAGCAAGCUGAUAGAGAAAUCUGACAAUGCAAUGCAUGCCAUCCUCACACUUCAAUUUCAUCGAAAAUGGAUGAGCCAUUUUGUUCAACUUUCACCUCCGGAAGUUGAAAAGGACAUGAAUGCAAUUAUCCAAGUCCUUAUCAAAGAUGCAAUGAAUGACGCCUAAACUCCAAUAGAGUAGAGUUAAGCUAUUAAUCACUGCACCGAUACAUCAAAAAUUAAGUAUAUGGAUCAAAGACAUCUUCAUUCAAGAAUCUCGAAAUUUCAAAGCAAUGCUUGUCAUUUACAUAUCAAGCAAAGGGACCAAAGAUGGUGGUGCUCUAAUAUUUUGUCUAGUCAGAUUUCAGAUUUACCUUGUUCAUGUCUUUUUCUUUGGUGCAGAAGUUCCCCGCGGCCUAUUUCAACAUCAUUCGUCAUCCUCUCAAUCUCCUCCUUUUUCACUGGCAGAACCAAAAAUAUCUUGCACCUCAGUGAAAUAUCAUUGGAGACAAAAAAGUUUCUCCAGCUUAUUCAACAACCAAAACCAGCCAAAUAUCAUCUCCAGCCACAAAGCAAUGAGCCAAGUGAUUAAAUUUCCUUGAUGCAGGCUGAGGAAAGCCAAUAAGCAAUCAAAGGAGAUGGAAGAAUAGCACUAUUAAUUCAAGACCAACAAAGUUUGCAGCAAAACUGAUAGUAUUUAAGAUUUUGCAAAAGUCAAUCUUGUCUGGUUAUCAACACUGCAAUUAUAGCUUUUGUGCACCUCAGUUAGCCUUAAAUUGUGAAAGUUUCAGCCAAACCAACAAUUUCUAACCUACAUCUCAUGGUUAUACAAGCUAACUGCUAGCAUCUGCUUCACUGCAUUAUGCUUCAAAAACAAUCAUACUAAAUGUCACAAUUCUGGUAUAUAAAAGUUCAGCCGUCUACGCCAUUCAAGUUGAGCAUUUGACUGCAUCUCUAUGGGUACUAUUAAGGGAUGGCAAUAAUCAGUUAUGAUACGAAUAAUUGACAUCCGUAAUCCGAUAUAUCCGUCCGCACCCAUGUCUAAUUUUAGAGGUUUGAUAUGGAUAUUGAUUUUUGUUUAUAUGGAUAUUGAUAGGCAUAGAUAUUCGGGAAAAAAAAUUCUACUUAACACUAUAACGAAUAGGAUACUUCUUUUAUUAGAGCGUUGUCAUGCUGAUGAUGUGCAAGAUAUCAUAAAUAAAGGGGAUCGUAGGGAACGAAAUGAAAGAAGUUUAAAGAAUUUGAAAGAAACUGAUUAUUCUCUUAUUCAACAACUCGGUGUGCAAUUACAUUUUACACGAGGUCCAUGUAAUUAUAUUUGUCAUUAAGAAUGAGCAUUUGCCAAAAGAAGAGACACAUGUCAUGACAAUGAGUGAUUGACAAGUGACAAAAUUGAUAGACACCCGCCGAAUAUGUCAUAACACAAACUUCUUACUGCCUGAAACAACAUGGCUGGAGCAGAGAUUUUUCUAUCAAAGCGUGUCCAGGAAAUGGUCCUCAAUGGUGAAGAACCGCCAGCACCACAUAUUUGUAGAGAUGGUGAUUCAAUUCAAGAGGUUUCUGCUCCAUUAUCUCCGGUUCCGAUCAUUGACCUCAAUCUGCUCUCAUCUUCAACACCAUACGCCAAGCAAGAAGAAGAACUGCAGAAAUUAAGAUCAUUGACCUCAGUCUCAUCUUUAACACCAUACGCCGGUUCCGAUCAUUGAUCAUUGACCUCAGUCACUCCUUCAUGACCACAUAAUAAGGAGUGGCUAUUAAUUUAAAAUAUGAAGUGGAAAAUUGAAUUAAUUUAUUUGAAAUAGAAAUGGUCACAUGAAAAAUUUGAAUUAAUUUCUUGAAACAGGAUCCUACAAAUGAAGUGUUUUAAUUUCGUAAUUUAAUAUUAUUAUUGUUAUUUUGUUUUUAAAUAUUAAAAAAAGAAAAGAAAAAUUGGGUUGUCUUUAGUUUCUAGCGGACAUCAGAUUCAUCAUAAUAAGCGUACCCUUGUCCAUGUAUAAAUUGCAUUUGCCUCUGAAUUCUUCAAUAACUAGAAAAUAGAAUCGUGCUUCAUGCGGCUUUGAAAAAUGAAUUUAGUAUUAUCUUUUUUCUUAGUUUACACUUGAUGAAACUGAUAAAAAAUAUGAAUUGAUUUUUUUUUAAGAUGAGGUAGCCGUAUAAAAAACAAAAAAAAAAAACUAUUAGUCAGCAACACAAAUAAAGAAGCAACGCAAGAUAAAGAAUACAAUGAGAGAAUAUAUUAUAGAGUGAUUUUAUUCAUUCCAAUUGUGUGUGUACAAAACAAAAAGAUGAGCUCUCCUUUUAUAGUUACAUAAUCACUCUAUGAAAGUAAUGAAAAAUUAUGGAUCAUAAUUCCUUAUGAGAUAGUGGGAGUUAUAGGGAAGUUAAAGGUUGCUAAUGGGAGAUAGUAAGGAGACUAAGAGAUAUAUGUUAUAAACAUCUAUAUUUAUUUUAAUAAAUUCAUAACACUCUCCCUUGGAUGUUUAUUACAAAGAAUAUGUCUCAUUAAAAUCUUUACAUAAUUGUUAUUGUAUAAUAACAAUCAAAUUAAUUAUGAGAAGAUAAAAAGCCAAAUUUAAAAGAAAAUUUAUCUAUUUAUUAGAUAAUAGAGAAUAGAGAAUAUACAAAGAUGAGAAAUAGUGAUGCCACAUCACCUCCUCAAGUCCCAACUUUAUAUAUAUAUAUAUAUAUAUUGAAAAAGAUGGGUGCUCGUGGGACACUCUCAUUUAUGAUACAAUUUAGGAAUAAGAACUUAAUGACGCAACCAUCACCAGCAGCCUCUUUUUUGGAGGUACUCGGAUGGCCAUUAUUGCCAUUUAAAAGAUAACAUAAAUAUUAUAGAUUGCCAGCUAUGGCCGAGCUUUUAAAUUUUAAUUAUUUUUUUUUAGAGAAGAAGAAAAAUAGCCAUUCAAAAGAUAACAUAAAUUUUCUAGAUAGCUAGUUAAGUUUGAGUUUUCAAAAUUUUUUGAGAAAAAAGAUACUUAUGUCUUUGAAAUUUAGAAAAAUGAUCACACAAAUUCUCAAAUUUUUAAUAAGAUAAAUCAAGACCCCAUUUUAUUAUAAUAUCUUUUAAUUCUAUAACUAAAAAAAUUGACUAUAAUAUUUUAUAAUAAAAAAAUAACUGAAAUGACUCGCCCCGAAUCCCUGGACGAGUCUAUCUAAUAUUGCCAAUUGAAUUAAUAAUAAUCUAAUAUUUAGAAUUUUACCAAAAAUUCGGCAGAGUCUCCUAUAUAAUUAUGACAUUCCCAAACCUACAAUUUAUAAAAUUUAACACUCCUAAAAAAUGAUACAAUAUUCAAUCAACCUCCACAACCAACUUCUUCAAUCAAAUACCAAUAUCCUUCAAACAUAUAAUGUCAAGAAUACAAUAAUUUAUCUUUAAUCACAAAUAAGUAAUAAAUUAUAAAAUUCAAAAUAUCCCAACAAAACAUCUAUGAUUCCUAACAUCAUCAUAUGAUCAUAAUUCUAAAUUUAACUAUCGUUGUUGGGUCGACUGAUGUACCUACAUAUCUCUUGUGGAGAGGGGUGUAUAUAAUAAAAAAAAGAUGAGUAUAAAAUUCAGUGAGCUCAGUUGAGUAUAGUGUGAAAAAAAUAAAUUUACUUCAAAUAAUCUAAUCUUUCCCAAAUCAAUAUCAUCAAAAUAUUAUAAGAACUUAAAUAAACUUAUUUAAUUUAAAUCAUGUUUUGAUAUAACAAUAAUACAUAAUACGUCAUGAAAUCAAGGAAAACGUGAUACUUAUAAUAGCAAACACCAAAUACCGAAUCUAUCACCAAAUAAGUACCCAGGGGAAUAUCUCACCAUAUCCAGACCUCGACGGAUCUGUAAUCAGGGAACCAUCAUGGCCCGAAGCUACACGGAUAGACAAGGAGUAUUAUCUCAUAUCUCAUCAUAUCUGUGCAUGCAUAAUCUAGUCUCCAAAGGACAAGGCGCCCGAGAACACGGUCCAAAGCUUCUGUGUGUACUUAGAGGGGCCCCAAAGACCUAUAUUUCAUCUGUAUCAUCAUAUCUCAUAUGUAUCAUCUGUAUCUCAAUAUCUGUAUCUCUGUAAUCAUCAGACUGCAUGCAUAUGCCCCUAAAAGGCAAAAACGUCCAAACACACGGCCUAAAACCUCUAUGUGUGUUCAAGCGGGCCCCAAAGGCCUCUCAUCUCAUAUGUAUCACUGUAUCUAGAGGGAAAGGCUACUGUCUAAUGAUUUUAAAAACAACAUCUUAUACACAUAUACAUAAACAUAAAAUGACACUUAAAUCUCAUUUCUUUUUCAUGUAACAUACUUUAAAUCUAUUUUAUUCUCUUUAAAACCAUUACCAUGCAUUUACUCAAAAAUGAUAAUAAAAUCAUGAAUCAAACUCAUUUUUAAUAAUAAUAAAUAUCAGCAUGUAGACAAAAAUCCAUUUUCUAGAAAGUUAUUAAACUCGAGUAUUAAAUACUUAUUUAUCAAACAUGUUGUACUGUAUCGUAAAAUCAUAAUAUAUUAUGAAAAUAUGUUUUGUAUAUUCCACUCACAGUGACGAUGUUCGAGCUCGGUAUCGUCAACGUCUGUGGGUUGAUUCUCAUUCAUGGAUCCUCCUAAUAUAAAGAAAUAACAUAAUCAUUCUCCGUAAAUAUGAAAUACAACUAAUUUUACGCGAUAAAUCUCGAAACGAAUAUCUAUCUGUAAUAAACUAUUCCCUUAUGCAUAAAAUUACCAAAAUACCCCCUGCAUGCUAAAAUUACCAAAAUGCUCCCGAUAUCAAUAUUUACCAAAUUAUCCUCAUAAUCCUAAAUUACCAAGCUGAUGUUACGAAAUUACUCUUAGAGUGUAAAAUUACCAAUAUGCCCUUAAUAACAUAAAUUACUGAAUUACCCCUAAAAUCUCAAAUUACCUAACUGCCCUAGUCCAAAAUUACUAAAGUAUCCACCAAUUUUGAAAAUCACAAAAUUAUGCCCCACAGUUUUGUAAAUUACCGAACUACUCCUGCCGGUUAACGGUGACCGGACUUCAGUCAACGGUGACGAGAAGCUCAAAUAUGAUAGUUCUAAUCUCAGUGAGUCCAAUGGCGCCGGCGAUGACCACCCACGCUCGGCGACGGCGGUAGAUCGAGCUUCUCUAGCUGCCAGCUUUCCGAUGGUCGAUCGGUGGAAUUCCAGCCGUUUCAGGCAGCGAGUUUGGUUGGAAAAUGAUGAGGGUGAGCUGAGGAACAAGAUCCAUGCAGUGGCGUGGCCUAAUUCUGGCGAAAUCAACAUUGAUGAAAACGAGUUGAGCUGCGGGUUUUUCAAGCUUGAUUGCCGGCAUUCUACCCAUUUUUCGAUGAGGUGGUCGGAAUCGGUGGCUGGAGUUGGGUCGGGUUGCGCGAGUUCGGGUCGAGUAAGGUCAAACUCGGUCAGCUUCUCUCUUUCUCUCUCUCCCUCUCCCUUUCUCAAUUUAUGCAACCAAUUCUCUUUUUUUUUUCAAAGCUUAAUACAAAUUAAGCUAAUACCGAAUCCAUAUUGAAAAUAUAAUCCGACUACCUGACCUUUUAAUCGCGCUCGAUUUGUCUUGAUUUAUUGUCGUGACAAAUUUAAAAUAAUCUAAACACAAUAUAUAUUAAUAAAUAUGUAACAUUUAACAACCAUCCCCCAUAAUAUUCGAAAAAAAUUGAGUUGCAUCAACUUCACUGUAAAAAUUCGUAACAAGUCUGCUAAAUUUAAAAUUAAUGCCGAAGGAGAAAAAUUAAAUGAUACACUUAAUUAGCAAAUUUAAAGCACAUAUAUUACAAUAACAUUAAAAUAAAUGAAAUAAUAUGUACAUUUAAAAAUUAUUUUUAUAUUUACAAUCUAUUAGAUAUAUUUUAUUCUAUUAAAGAAAAUUUUUAAUGAUAAAUAGAAACUUAAUAUUGAAUAUUUUGUACAAUUUUAACAUUAUUAAUGAAGAGAUUUUGUUAAUUUUAAAAUCUAUUUAACUCAAAUAUUUAUUUAAAAUCUUUGUAAUAAAUCCAAAUAUAUUAUUAAAUUUAAUAAUUUUAAAUGUAAAAAAUAAUUUAAUAUUACUACUCUACUAGAUAUAUUUUAUUAUUUUAUAUUAUUUUUGUAUUAAUUAAAAAUAUAUAAAGUCAAUUUUUUUAGUUACUAUAUUCAAAGUGUAUUAUGAUUAAAAAAGGAUCCUAAAGUAUAUAUAAUCAUUUUUCAAAAUUUUAGGAGUGUAAGUGUCGAUUUUUCUUUUUUUUUAUAAUUCUUUUCGUACAAAAAUUAUGUUCACGUUCUUUUAACUUCUCAUUAAUGCAUUUUCAUUGCCAGGGUUUCUGCGUUUUCAAUCAAAAAUCUAGUGAAGAAACUGGAAAAUGUUGGAGGAAACGCUAAUGCAUUAUACGUACAACCUAAUAAACAAAUUGUUGGAGCGUACGGCUAUAGCAAUUUGUUUAUGGUCAUCUGUGCUUGUGUAUACUAUUAGUAAAUCUAUUUUGAAAUGAACCCAAAUAAUCAAAUUGUCCAGUGGCACUUACGGUCCAUGGAUCUAAUAAUUUUUGCUUCUUUUUAUUUAUUUAUUUAUUGCAUAUCAUAACCUGUCAGUCUCAUAAUAUUGUCCAACAAGAUUGCCUUUUUGAAAAAUUUCAAAUAAAUCGGACACGGGUGAUUAUGUUAUCCUUUCUUUUUUCUAACAAAUAUAAUUUUCACUGUCAUUUUGUGUUUUGGACAGCUGGAAUGACAGUGACCUGACUAAAAAAUAUUUUAUCUGGACGACGAACGACCAAGUCAAAGUCUUUUAAGUGUACAGUCCAACUCCUUUUAAAUAGCAAUUGAAUUCUGCACUUUAAGCAAUAAGUCACUCGGCCAAAUUUGCAGAAAUAUUUCAAAGUUUAAUUCUGCACUUGGAUUUUUCAUUGCUGAUCAUGUAAGUUAGUUAGUUAUUAUUAUUAUUAUUUUUUUCACCACGGUAACUCUUGUGCUUACACUUUUCGCGGAGCUAGUUCUAUUUUCUUAAUGUUCUAAUUUUCAAUGAAUAUAUUUGGACAAAGCCACGAACUUGUCUUUUAGAGGGCUUAACUUGUAUUAAUAUUGCUGAUAUAUUCCUUAUAAAUCAAAAAGAGCAAACAAAGUUCUUAUAAAGGAAUCUCUAAUCUGCCGAAAUGACUUUAUACACAUUUGUAGAAAUCAAUUUCUUGAUUAUUGCUUGUCAAUUAUAUGUAAGUUAUACCAUCUGUUAGUUUUUUAGUUGGCAUUUUUGAUAUUUUUCAACCAAAAUUCACCUUGAUUGGGAAAAUAAACCAUUUCCUACUCAUGUUUUUUAAUCCUACUCCAAAAUUCUCAUCUUAUUUGGUGAAAAUUUUCUUGAUGUUAACAAACUUAUGUUAACUGUCAACUAUUGUAAAAAUUAAGUCAAUUUGUUUUUCAACUAUCGGACCGGAAAAGAGUACCUAAUAACAUGUAACGUUAGGAGAGUUUUGGUGAGGUUUAAAGCAUGAAAGGAAAUGGCUAAUUGCCUAAUUCCAAUAAGAAGGGAGAUUUAGUAAUUUUCUCCUUUAUCAAUGUAUGCAAAUCCACAACGGCCACCCUGCGCCUCCUCCCCUUAUUUUUUAAGGAACUGCAAGCAACUGUAAUAUGUUGGACUUCCGCAAUAGGCUUGUUUCUACUGUACGGAUAUUUAUGUAUUAAAAAAAAAAAAUUUAUGACAAAACCUUGACUUGCAUUUCGAUCAUAUCAGGUCUCAGGAUCCAGAGAAAGGUUCAAAACAUGAACAACCUGAAGUGCAUUAUAAUGGAACGAACUCGGCCGAUAAAAAACGAACAACAUGCUUAGGUUGGGUUAAAAAAUUUCUCGGUAUCAUACUUCUGUGUGCAGCGCUAUUAUGCCUGCCAGCAUAUAGUGGGGUAAUGCUAGUGGCAUGCCUGUUGAUUAUAAUAAUUACAAUAAUUGUGUUAUAUCGUAAAGCGAUAGCGGCUGCAAUCGAGAAUAAAAGAUAUCUUCUACUGAAUGUGACUGCAAUUUUCCUUGAUCCUUUUUUCUUCUACAUUCCGGACCUGAAUGAUCGAAUGAAACGCAACGAUGCCGUGGGGAUUACCGCUACUGUCAUCCGUUCCAUCCUCGAUUUCCUUAAGCUACUACAUAUUAGCUCUGAGCUUUGUGAGGCAGAUAAAAAAGAGAACCAAAGAAAAAAAUUUAAACAUUUAUGGCAGCAAUUAAAAAAUUUCAAGGUAUAAUUUACUUUGGCUAACUAGUUGUUUCUUCAACUUCCAUAAUUUAUAUAAAUAUAGUCUCCGUUAUCUUCUUUGCUCCGUACGAAGUAUUGAUUCUUUUUUUUUUUUUUUGCCUUAAAAGGGAGGAAGAGAAUUACUUGAAGAUCCAAUGGUACGUAUGUGGAUGCUCUUCCUCAUUGAUGGUUUGGUCAUCCUUCCCAUCCCCCAGGUAAAGGCACUGUCUAAUUUACUAUUACGUAUAUAUUGUUUAUUGAUUUCUUAUGUAGUUUAACCCUUCCCAUCCCCCAUGUGCAUAUCGUAGUAGUCUGCUUGAUUCUUCUCAAAUGUACAUCGCAUAGUGGUUUUGAUUGUGAUAAAGAUAGAUCUUUAUAUGAUUCAUGUCAAGAAUAAUGAUUUUAAUGUCAUUUUUCCCUUUUCUUUGAUUAAAGUUGUAUUUACACGUAAGAACCUAAAUGUUUUGCAUUGAUAGUAAUUUUGGUUAGUGUGUAGUGUUAAAUUUCAGCCAUAUGAAUUCGAUAUUUUUAUUGAACUUGUUUAAUAAUUUCAAACACUAACUCAACCUGUCUAUUAAUAAUUAUGUCACAUGCUUAAUAUGCUUUAAAAAUAUAUUUUUAAAAUUUGACUUGUUUACAUGGGUUUAAUGUAUUUGUUUAAAUAUUUAGAGUACUACCUCUCAAAUUCAAAUCAAUUCUAGUCUUAGCAUAACUGGAUAAUCUUGAAAUAUAUACAAAUAUAAUUAAACUCGGUUCAAUCGCAUCCAAAAUCUAGUCAAUGCAACAUCAUUAUUAAUCAAAUUGUUAAUUAUGUCAUAAUUAAAUAGGUUCACGUGACGGGAACUUUAAACUCACAAGAUACUAAUUUGUGUCUCUUUUCACCAACCUGAACAAACUAUUAUUUUCAUGCCAUUAGCAUCAGUUUCGCGGGUUGUUUCAAAAAUUGCCACCCCCCCCCUAUAUCAUCAUUUUGCGCAAAAUAAAUAAUCAAUUUUGUUCAUAUUCAAUAUCAUUCAAAAUAUUUAUUUACAUUAAUUAUUCCAUAUCAUCUAAUAGGACUUCAAUUAAUAUCGUUCAGGUUUUGGUGAUUUUCCCAAUAAGUGACACAGGAUUCUCGACGGCAAUGACCUUCUUUGUUUUACAAUAUUUGCUAAGGGUUAUUCGAACGUAUUUCCUGUUCACAGAUGCUAUAGAGGUUUCAGGGGUGAUUGCCGAUGCUACAUGGGCCAUUUUUGCCUUCUAUGUUCUUCUUUACCUGCAAAGCGGUCAUGUAAGUUCAAAAUAUCAUCAUUUUACCGACAUAUGUUUAGGGAGAUUACAAAUUUUCCACCCUACAGAUGGCAAAAAUUUCAAACUUACCAUUUUUAUGCCAGAAGUUUUCAAGAUACCAUUUUUAUAUUCAAUUUUUGGAAUCAGAAAAGCAUGAAUUAUGAUAUUCACUAUUUUGUAAUUUAGAAAAGCAUAUUCUAGUAAAACUAGAAUUUUAGCAGCCAUCAGUUAAUACACAUAUAUACGCACACUCAAUUAGUUUUUUUGGAUGUAAAUUUUAGAUAUUGGAAUCGUCGAUGUACGAUUUUCCCUCUCCUUUGCAAAUUAAUUUUUCUGAUAAGUUAUCUUUCAGAUGUUUGGAGCCCUAUGGUACUAUUACGCCAC